UUUAUUACUCCGUUUGAUUUUUGGUGAGAGACCUAUGAUGACUUAUGUGAUAAAAUUUCUUGGAAUUCAAAUUUCGUUGAUAAUUUGAGCAUAAUUGGAACUAAUUUGCAUAAUAUUUUAGUGAUUUUAACCUUGACUUUUGGACGUUGAAUAUACCUGUGAGGAUUUGAGCCAUAAUUGUAUAUCAUACACAAUUUAUUCUUUAUUGUAAGUUUUGUCAUGCAUGUGGUGAUCUUCUAGAGCUUGUUAUGGUUUAUGUAUUGAGGUUGUUGUUGUUCCCAUGAUUAGAAGAUGAUUUUAGGCCAUAUUUUGUUAGCCACAUUAUUAUCCCAAACAUUGUCCUUAACGAAUAAACUAUCAUUUGUUAUCCACUUUGAGCCUAUUUAGCUUUUAUUCUUUAGCCGGAUGAUAGGGGGUGGUGUAGUAUAUGGGGAUCUCUGUGUGGUGAAUGUUCAUAGUGGGUCAUGGAAAAGAAGGGAUGAUGUUGUGUUACUAUUUACUCUUAUAAGCUCUAGGAAAUUGUGAAAAGAAAAAAAAAUGUUGAAAGAAGGAAAAAAAAGAAAAANAAGUAUGAAGUCAAGUGUUUAUUGAGAAAUUUGUUGGAAAUCGACCUUGUUUAUGGAAAAAAUAGUGUUGAAGAGCAUAAAAGAGUGUCUAGUCUUGAAUUAUGAUGAUUAAAUCCCUUGGUUGGAGUGUUUAUGGUGAUAUAGUUGGGUGGAAGAUGAAAUUUAUUCCAUGCUUGAUUAGUGAAGUCAUAAGGUUGGUGUUCUUAAUUUAAUUGAGUCACUUAACCUAUAUUUUCGCUACCUUAACCAAUGUCCCUACAUUAAAACCCGAAGAAAAAAACCUUUUUGAUCUUAGUCUUGGUACACUAUUAGCGAUGGAGAUUGUAGACGAUUGACAAGCUUAUGGUAAGUGAUCUACAUUGCAUUGAAUUCGAUGAGAGAAUACACGUUCCAUUCCACCAAUUGAGAGUUGAAUGAUACACAUACCUUGUGAGAUUCAAUUGUUUGGAAUGUCAAGGUUGAUUUUGCUAUAAGUUGUGUUUAUUGGUGAAUUUUGUGCUUAAUUGUUGAGGAUUUGAGAAUUCUAUCUUUCUAUGUUUUUCUGAGGCUUCUAUGAUCCAGAUUUCUGCCCAUUCGUGUUUAUUGACUUUAUUCUUCCCAUUAUUCGAGGACGAACAAUGACUUAAGUUUGGGGGAGUUGAUAAACACUCAUUUUGCGUUGUUUUUAUGAGUGUUUAAGUGCUAGGAUUAUGCUUGAUUGUGAAUCAUAUGGUUUAAGUUUUAUAUUCUUUUGUGAUAUUACGUUUAGGUUCGGUUUUGGCUAUUUUGUUAUAGGUUUGAGUGUUUUAACUAAAUAUGAAUAUUGAAGAUCCAAGUAUCGAGUCACAAGUGUUUCGGAUGCGAAAAUCGAAAAAACGAGCUCGAAGAGCUCAAAAAAUGAAGAUGUGGAGUGGACGGCGGACUGCCGGCGACCGCCGCCCACAGGAGGAAGUUUGUGAAGGAUGCGGCAACCAGGCGGCGCCCGCCGUGAAAACCAUCGAGAAUUCGGCAUUUUGUGGUGUGUUGGCGGCGACCGCCGGGAAACCGCCGCCACAUGAAGAGAUUUAUUGAAGGAGGCGACGACCGCCGCGUAAUCGCCGACUAGGUCGCUGCGUGUCCGAGUUUUUUUUUCUUACGCGUUUUCAGUGUUGUUUUUUAGUUAAAACUCUAUUUUUUACCCUGACACUAUAUAUAGAUCCUCUUUCGACCUAUUUAGGGGUCCCGACUUUAGUUUUUCAAUUUCUUAGCUUUAAAUUAUUAUUGCUUUCCAGUUUUGAAGGCUUGGAUUGGAUUUCUACAAGAUUGAAGAUUCAAACUGUUGCAAUCGUUUUAUUUCCGGUUUUAUAUAAUUCAGUUUUUACAAUUGCAUUUUUUUUAAUUAUGUUUCCGUUUUAUUUCAAUAUGUCUGCCUAGUUUUCUUAUCUGAUUCCAGGGUUCGUAAGUAGUUAAUUGAAUUCAUGUGAUUUAUUUGUUAAUACCUAUUUACUUUCCAGUUUAUGAUUCAUAAUUCCUGGUGCUUGAAUUCGUAUGAAUUAUCUGAUCAAUAGUUUGCAUGUGUAGCUAUCCGGUUUGAGACCUAGCGGAGAUAACUGUUUAGCGGAUUCAAGAAUGGAUGAUAUGAUGUUAACCUUGAGACCUAGCGGAGAUAGAUUGAUCAUAGAGAGUUAUUCUUAUGUGCUUUUGGGAGUUAGUAGAUUUUCUUGAGACCUAGCGGAGAUAGAGAAUUUACUAAUCCACGAUCAUUGCUGCUCUAGCGAGAGUAAUUGAUUAAUUAAGUGACUCUCAUUAUAACUGGAUUAAACUAGUUAAUAUGAUUAAUAGAUUGAUUAUGUGGAUUUAGUUAAUGAAUUUACUACCUUAGGAUCAGUUGUUUUCAUUAUUUGAUUUUCCCUAUUGAAUUUUAUUUGCUGCUAUUUGAAUUUAGCUUUAGUUAAAUUUUCUUCAUUUUAUGUUUGCCUGUCUACUGUUAGGGGUGUAAGUGAGUCGAGCUAGCUCACGAGCUACUCGGGAUCGACUCGAAAAUUACUCGAAAUCGUCUCGGUAUAAGUCGAGUCGAGCUCGAGCUCGAGCUACUCGACUAGGUAUCGAGCCCGAGUUCGAGUUUCAUCAUACUCGACUCGUUAGGCUCGCGAGCCUAAUCGAGCUUUCAAACAAAUUACGAUUUUAUCCCUAUAUUAUAGCUUAAUUACUAAUAUAGCUCAUAAUAUAUACAAUUUGUUGAAGCAUGUAUGAGACGAGCUUAAACGAGCUCGAGCUCACCGAGCAUAAACGAGCUCGAGUUCGAUUAAGAUUCAAUAAUCGAGCCGGACCGAGUCGAGCUCGAGCUCAUCGAAUAUGCAAUCGAGUCGAGCUCGAGCUCAAAAAUCUCAAACUCGACCGAGUCGAGCUCGAGCUCGAGCUUGAUACAUAUAGACCGAGCUCGAGCUCGAGUAUGUCAAUACUCGACUCGACUCGGCUCAUUUACACCCCUAUCUACUGUGAGAAUUUAUUUAGGGAGUAGCUAGGGUUAUUUUGGUUUUCAGUCCCUGUGGAGACGAUACUCUGCUUACUAUUUGUUACUAUAAUUGUGCUGCAUGAGUUGCGGUUUUGUUGCUAAUAAAAAUAGUGAUCACACUUAUGGCACUAUUAGUGCCAAAGUACCAACGGAAAUCCAAAUUAAACCAUAAGUAUCAAUGGAAAUCCAAAAUAAAACCAAGUAAAAUCUUGAACCUAACCCGAUCCGGCACGCGACCCGCGUGCCUAAUCCUACCUGGUUCGCCUAAUUAAGGGUAAAAAUGUCCGAAAUCAUUAAAAAUGCUAAAAUUUACGUUUUUUCAAUUAGUGGCCAUAAAUGGUGUUUUAUGCUUCAUUUUGGUUAUUUCAAAAUUUCGCUAAAAAAUGGUUUCAAAGAAGGGCAACGUGGCCUCAUCACAGCCGUUACCACAUUGUGGGUCAUUCGGGAUAGAACGUCCCUCUAUGUGAUCAAAAUAGUUGAAGAAGCGCACGUGCUGUAAGCCGCCCACCGCCCAAUUGCUUUGCAACUACAAUUCCAAUUUCAAUUCUAACCCAUCGAUGCUUCCCAUGAGUUUCACCUUUCUCCUCUAACCAUAAUUCAACUCUCCAGGGCAAUGGCUUCUCUGCACCUUCCCUUCUUUUCUGUAAGUCUCUCUCUCCCUCCGAUGCAGAGCAGACCGCAAGUAUUUCCUAUUUGCUGUUUUUCUUUUGAUUUAAUGCGAAAAGUUUUUCGAAUGCCAAAUCUCGGAUAUUAUAUGGUAGUAUUCGCUUGAGCGACGGUAGCAAUAUAAAUGUGCCAUCAUUAUUCUUCCGCGCAUGUCAGCUUUGUUUGCAUUUAUGUUAACAGAGUUUAAAAUUAAUGUUUCAUAGAUCAAAUGAUCGUUUAAAUUAUCGUGAUUAGUUUACUGAACGAGGGAAAUCUCACUAUCUGAGGAAUGGGAUAGUUUUCUUCGAAAGUUUAGACUAUAAUUUUCCAUUUCUCUUAACUUCUUAAGGAGGGCAGCUGGUAAUUCCGCGAACUUCCGAUGCGUGUGCAGAUAAAUGGGAAGUGUCAAAAUUGAAUUAAUGGAGUAGGAAGUGGGUGAAAGAAAAGAUAAAUGGGAAGUGGCAAGAUAUAGUUAAUUGAAAACGAAAUAGGUAAAGUUCUUUCAACUGAUUUUCCCCCAUUGAAUCUGAAUUUCUAGUUAGAACAACAUAUAUUGGCAACUUAGUGUGUUACUUCAAAUUGCGUCUUUUUGAACGCUUUUAUGAAAAAUUUAGUUGCCUCAACUCUGUGUCAUGAUUUGGGAAGGAAAGAUAUACCAUUUGGAGUUGAGUAUAAUCCGACUCAAAAUUUAUUGUUUAAACUUGCUCCUCUUUCCACGUCUAGAUGUCUAUCACUUGUAUUGGUUGCAAGCAUCUCUAUGAUUGCCUGAGAAUGUGUUUCCAUGUGCAUAUGGAAUUGCUAAAAGGAUAUAGAUUGCAUGAGAAGAGUAGAAGCCUGUAGGCUUUUUGUUGAUAUUCUAGUAAGUUAUGUCUUCCUACACAUGCAGAAAGUCGGUGGUACAAGAGAGUCGCUGAGGACAUUAUUAGCUGGCAAGUCUUCCCUCAUUGUGUUAUUGUUCUUCAUCUUACUGAUCAUUCUCUAAUAUCCCUUACUUGUGGCAGAAACCGUUCGAUCAAUUAGUAUGAACAAAGAAACUUUUUGGAGGCCAAGAAUGAUAUCUUUUCAGGGAUCUCUCAAGUUUGUGCAUACUUAUCGCAUCACACCUACUGGAGCCACAAUGGAGAAUAAAGAAUUACCUUCAAAUUACUUAAAAGACAAAAUGAUGGUUCCAAAUGCAGAUCCGCCCAGAGACGAAGAUGUCAAUCUUCUAUCUCAGUUCUUCAAGAGAAGGUACAAAUGGUUCGAGUAGUGAGGUCCAGAGUAGCUACAUGAAACUCUUCCAGAUUAAUAUUAUUUGAACAAACCUUCAGAAAUUGGUUAAAUGAAUACUCUAAUUUAUUUCAAGCAGAGCUUGCUAGCAAUUGCUAGUAAUUCCAUUUUGCUGAAUAUAACUUGGCCUGAUGAUUUAUGUGAGAAGUCAAGUAGCAAGUUGGUUUGAUCAGUCACCAACUGAAAAUCAGGCUUGUCUUAAUGUAUGAGAGGCUAGUCUGCACGUUGGUUCUGUUAUUCGCUUAUGCAUGUUUUUGUUCAACCUAAGAGAUUCUUGCUCGUGCUAAUGAUAUCAAAUAUGUAUAUAUGAAUAAUAUGAUUAUAUCUCUGUAUCUAAGUUUUAGUUUGUAAAAAGAUAUUUUGCUGAAUCAUGGCAAGCAACAUUAAUCGUCGGCUUGCUAUGAGGUUCAUUAUGUUUACCAGUGCCGUUGUUUGAGAGAACAAUUUUUCUAUUUUGGAUGCAUAAUAUGUACUUAUGUUGUGGUGGGUUCAUAUCUCAGACUAGAUUGCAUUCCUGACUGGGUAGGUCAAUGAAAGUAUUUGCAGAAUUACAUUGCAUCAAGUUCCUUCCAUAAUGUUAGCAUCUCUUGAUCAAAUUAAAUGUGUUUCUUUCUAGUGCAACAUCUGAAAAUAUUUAGAUUGUUUUGCAGUUCAAGGCUUGUUAUCUUGACUGGAGCUGGGAUAAGCACAGAGAGUGGGAUUCCUGAUUACCGGAGGUUAUGUUACAACCUUGUAUAAAAGUUUCCUGCUGAUACAUAGAUAUCAACGAUGACCCCUCAUAAAGAUUCUUCUAUGUUACUUAACCCCCCCCCCCCCCUUCUGAAAUACAUGAUACUUCAAAAGUUCAAAUUAAAAACUCCCUAUGUCCGGAAUGACAUUUGUUUCAUUGAUUUUUUUACUUUCUUUUCUUUCUGCUUCUUAGUUAUUGUAGUUUCUAAACUUAAUUUCCAUCCAAUUCUGCCAUUUAGUUGCAGAUUUUACUUUUUUCUUUUAUUGUCUAAGCUAUCUUGUAUGGCUAUGUCAUCUGUCAUUUUGUUAUUCUCAUGCAGCCCACAUAAAGCAAAAUUCAUAAACUGUGAUACACUGUCUUUUUUUUCUGAAUUUAAAGUAACUGCUCUGAUCCUGUGAGCUUGUGGCAAAGCUUCCCUAUAUUAUUCAUUCAGUUGUUGAAUUCCGAAUUUAUUGUUCACAUCUAAUGUUAUUUGCAGUAAUAGUUGUGAUUAGGGUAUCCACUUGGAGGUUUCUUCUAUAGCCACUAUGAGCAUUGUGUUGUUUGGUUCAGUCAGAUUGUGAAUUCUAAUGAACAGAUGGAAUGCAGCUUCAUAUUAAAUUUUCAAACUUGUUUUGAUUCCAUUAACUUGUUCUUACCUUGCUUAUCCUUAUUUCAUUUUAACAUCAAAAACUUAUCUGUUAAAGUUAUUCAGAUGUUAUCUGAUUACUGGUUUCUAUCUUAAAUCCUUGCAGUCCAAACGGAGCUUAUAGUACUGGUUUCCGGCCAAUCACUCACCAGGUGAUAUAAGCAUGUCUUGCAAAUAAUUUAUUUUCUUUAUAUUAUCUUAUUUUUAAAUUUUGCCAACUUCUUUAUGCAUUUGGGUCUGAGGUAUUACUAACUAUGGCGUGUGAGUAAACUGCCAGUUGACUCAUAUGAUAGUUGUGCUGUUUCAUUAUUUACUUCGGCUAGAUCUUAAAAUCUCCCAUGCAUCCUUGAUAGAUGCAAGCAUGGAAUAAAAGAACAUCAUUGAUCUCUCUCUAUUGUCUGUAAAAAACUUGAUUAUCUUUCUUAUAGGAUAAGGGCGGAAACACAAGAAUUUAUGGCUUCAUCUGGGCAUUCUGGCCUGCCUUUGUUACUAGAGCAGGCUGAGAGUUGCUUAAUAAUGAAAACUAGCUUUUGAGAUUUCCCUUUUAUCUGUUCUUUUGGUUCUAAAGACUAAUAGUUUGAUAAGUUGUCAAUGGUCAGUAUAAUAGUCUUGUCAAUCAAUUGAAAAGGAAAUUUUGGACGACUAAUCUGUUAUUUUAAACUUGCACUGGCCACCUGUGUAUAUGUGUGUCAGUUUACAUAGAUGUACUAGAGUUUUAGAAAUCUAUUACUUUCAUAUUAUCAUACUACUUAAUCCUCUUUGCCUUGAUAAGCUCUUUAAUUGUGAGAAUUUUGAUGUACUUGCAGAUAGAUGAUUCAAAUAUUUAAGUUUUUAUAUGUACUAUUUCAAUAAUAGGAAUUUAUGCGGUCCAGUCGUGCCCGAAGACGGUAUUGGGCUAGGAGUUAUGCUGGGUGGAGAAAAUUUACUACAGCACAACCAGGGCCUGCACAUAUUGCAUUAGCUUCUCUUGAGAAAGCCGGGCGUGUAAAAUUUAUGAUGACUCAAAAUGUAGACCGGUAAUGGCUAUUCACUCAAGGUAUCUAGUUUUAAUGUUAGUAACGCUUUUAUAACUUUAUUAGACAUUAAUUAUGUGUAGAAGUUCUAACAUAUCAGGUUAUUAGGCAGUAUGGUAGGAAUCCGCCUCACCCUGCAACUUGUCUGCUGUGUAUACUUAUUUAUGCACAUAUAUAUGUGUAUGAUGUAAUUACUUGUAUUCUAAAAACAGCAGCGUACGUAAUACGGAUACGAUACGGUACGGGGACGUAAAUACGUCAUUUUUCCAAAAAUCAAGAUACGAUACGUCAAAAAUACGUUUUAGUUUUUUUAUUUAAAAUAUUAUAUAUAUAUAUAUAUAUAUUAUAAAUUCAUAAUUCACCAAGAAUAUAAGUAAAACACUACUAAUUCACUCAUCAUCGCCUUUCUCCUCCUCCUCUUCCUCUUCCUCUUCCCUCAUAGAAGAAGAUGUAGAACUAGAAUUUGUAGUAUUCAUGGCUGCCAAUUCAAAUAAAAAACAAAAAUCAAACUUCAAUUCAAAUAAACCCACUACCCAAUUCAAAAUACCCACAGCCCAAACCAACGAAUUGAAGUAAACCCACUGCCCAAUUCAGAAAAUUACCCACGCCACUGCCAAUUCGAACAAAUUGAAAUACAUCUGCCUAAGUUAAUUGAAAUACACAAAAACCCAGUACCCAAUCCAACAAAUCAAAAAUUAAACUUCAAUCCAACAAAACCCAAAGCCAAAUUCAGCCAAUCAUCAUACAUACCCACUGCCCAAGCCAAAUAAAUGACUACCCAAGCCAAAUUAGAUUGACCUUCACUUAUUGGGGUGGCGCGGCCGCUCCAAGCGUGCAAGGAGGCGCGAUGGUGAUGGAGGGGUGGCGCAGGGCAGCGCGACGGUGAGGCGCAGGGCGGCGAGACGGCGAGCGGCGAGUGGGGUUGCGCAGGGGCGACAGUGAGCGGGGUGGGUCAGAGGAGAAGAGGGGCGAAAUUGUGGAGGCGCUAUUAAGGUUCAGGUUCAAAUUCUUUUAAAACGUAUUUUUACUUGUCAAAUAUGUAUUUGACCGUAUCAUUAACGUAUUUUUAACGUAUUUUUUAUUAAAAAAAUUAAUUUAAAAAAGGGUCGAGUAUUUUCCGCGUAUCGUCCCCGGGACGUCCCCGGGACACAUACGGCUGGUAGUUACACGUACCCAUGCUUCAUAGCUUGUAUUGGCAUAAAAACAGCAGCGUACUGGAUUGCGCAUUCUUUAUCCUUGAUGUUUGUUAUGAAUUCUGUACCUUUUCAAUCCCAAAACACACUGGAGAAGUGCUUCCUUUUUUCAGUAUUAACCACAAGCACUUGUUAUUUCCAUCUAUUUAACUUUUUCUUUUUAUUACUUACUGAGUUACAAGUAUGAUUACUUUUNUUAUAAUCAGUAUUAUUUACUUGAGCUCUAGUUGAGAAUAACUUGUAAAAGCCAAGGGCUAAAUAUACUAAAACGAACAUAACUUAGUAACAUAACUGGACUGCUCAAGUAUAGAAAGAAUUUUUGGCGGGUUUACUGUUGGUAUCGUGCUUAUAUGCAAGGGUUUGGUCUACACUUGAACUACCUGGCUAAACCAUAUAAACAUACAUAUCUUCAGGCGUUAGCAAUACUUUUAUUUCUAUAUCACAGGUUGCACCAUCGAGCUGGAAGCAAUCCUCUAGAGUUGCACGGGACUGUAUAUAUUGUUGCUUGUACGAAUUGUGGCUUUUCUCUUUCUCGAAGCUCAUUUCAGGAUCAAGUGAAGGCUAUAAACCCAAAGGUUGCUUUUGGAAAUCCACACUGUUUUUUUGUAGUUUUGUUUAACAAAGAAGCUUAGAUAUUGCUUUUAAAUUUGUAAAUUGUACCCUGAACUAGUUUAGCCUUGAUAACCAUUUAUAAAAUAAAACUUGAUAGUUUGAAGUAUAUAAAAGAUGACGAUAAAUUGAUUCAAUAAUUAUUGUUAAUUUUAUUAAUUUAUUUUCAAAAUUAUUUGAUCUGAAAUUAUUUCCUCCAUCAUUGUUCUAAUUAUGAUUCAACUGUAUACUUUAGUGGUAUUCGAAUAUAUGUUAGAGGCUAAUGGAAAUUGGGCAAGUCAUAGAUGUAAGCCAAAUGUUGAUCCAUUUUAUAUCUGUGCUUGUUUCAUUCAUAGAUCAUAUACUCCUCAUGGGUGUCUCAAAUCAUUCUUGGCUACGCUUUGGUAUAAUGUCUUACCUUGUUCCGGCUUCUGGGUAUAUUAUACUUAUUCACACUUCAAUUUCAAAUUCAUGGCUUAUUCCGCCUAAUGACGUGUUAUUUUUUGUCUUUUCUCCCCACUUGAUAGAACUACAGCACUUCCAAGAUCUAUUCAAAUCCUUCAUCUGAUAACAAGUUGCGUACUUCGACAUAUGCAUGUUCAACUGGAGAGGAAAUUUUAAAAUUUGAAGUUGCUAACUUGAAAUAAUUAUAAGCACUUGCUUCCUAUUAUUCUUCUUAUUGACAAUCCACUUUUAUAAGUUUAUAGUUGGAAUGCAAUUGCAAGGGAGAAUAUUAUAAAUACACAAGUGUUAUAGCCCUUUGGAUAUAUAUCUAUGUAAUGGUGUUGUAUUAUUUGGUAAUUAAGAUGAUAUAUUUUACUUCAGGAGAAAUUUUAGCCAUCGAUGUGAUGUCAUGUCAGUAUUGCUUUUGUGGUAGUCAGUGCGGCAUAUGAUUAUCUAAUUAGAAUAACAUUCAUAAGUAUCUGCAGAGAAUGAAAUAUGUUCCCCUAAAACUUUAGUGUCAUACAUCUCUGUUAUAGGAGAAGGGAAUCAUCCCUGGUAAAUCCUAAACAUGGCCACAACUUUAGUUGAAUCUUGCCUGACUAUUUUCUGGAGCAUGAUUUUGCUCAGCCUCAAGAACUCUUGCUUGGUCCAUAAGCAGUUUUAUGGUGACUUCUGUUUGUCACGAUAUGUAAACCUCCUUUCUGGCUGCUUAACUGAAUUUACCAAUAUAAAGGAAACUCAUAAUUAAGAAAAAUCUUGCUUCUUCUAUCUUUUCUGUUCCUUAUAAGCUUCUCCUUCAUCAUGUAUCUUUUCACGGCAGACCACAAACUGAAGCUGACAACUUUUAAGUUUUUUGUAGAUUUCCUUUGCUUGCUUCGUGUAGGCUUAUUCAUUAAUCACUCUAGCUAUUGCAAAUUUAUGCUACAAUAUUUAAUGUCAUUGCAGUGGGCAGAAGCAAUCGAAAGUUUAGAUUAUGACAGCCGUUCGGACAAGAGCUUUGGAAUGAAGCAAAGGCCUGAUGGUGAUAUUGAGAUUGAUGAGAAGUUCUGGGAGGAGGAAUUCCAUAUACCAAAUUGUGAGAAAUGUGAUGGUAUACUGAAACCUGAUGUAAGCACCUCCUUAACGUGUUAUUUGGGUCCUACCCUGAGUAUUAUUUCUUUGUUCCGUGCAGCAUAAAUUAAAGUAUGUAUUCGUUGAGCUAGUUUGUGCUGCAUGCUACUUUUGUUGUUAGUACUUGUAUGUUUUUUGAACAAGUAAUAACCUUAUUUUAUAUAACAAUUAAGACUUAUCAAAAGAAAUUUGUGUAAUUUAACAAAAAUAACAAAAAUAAGUAAAUAAAUAUCAAAUGGUGAAAGGACAUAUGUAACCUAAGUUUAUUAAAUGAAACAGUCAAAUGAUCAAAGAGGUAAAGAAUUAUGUGUAAUAAGAAAACCCUUAGUGUUUAAAUUUUUAAAGGCGCAUUGUAUUUGAACACCUUUGUUCGUGUGAAGGGUAUCUCGAUCCAAUUAACUGAACAAUGAAUAACCCUUUUAGUGAGUUUUCUUUUCCACAGUUUUUUAUGAUAGCUAUAGCUUUCUGGGUGGACAUUUUCCUAAGGAGAAUCUACCUCAUAUUUACUUGCAUUAUCUCUCCUUCCAUGGAGGUAGCAAAUUUUGGAUGAACUACAUAAAUCUCUCAUAUACUAUCUAGUUUCACUCUUCUCAACUUUGUGAAAAAUUGUUGUAUUCAGCUGCUAACGUUUUGUAAAUUUAGCCUCAUAGUUUUACAUCAUUAAGAUGCUAUUGAAUUCAGGUGCCCUUCUCUCUCUCAUAGAUAUACCUUUUCAGGUUGUCUUUUUUGGUGAUAACGUCCCAAAGGGUAGAUCAGAUAGAGCAGUAGAAGCUGCGAAAGAAUGUGACGCUUUCCUUGUACUUGGUUCUUCAUUGAUGACGAUGUCUGCUUUCCGACUCAUUAGGUAAAACUUAUGCUGGUGUGUCUUUUAUAUUCAUGUAAGUUAUGUAUUUUUCUCUGUCUAUUUCAACAUUGUGGAUGUCCAUAUAAUCUUUGACCAUAUGUCAGGAAUGGUCUGUAACUUUCUAAUCUGUUGUCAGUCUAGAUUAUAUCAGUUGACUUAAUCAUUAGUGCUUUCCAAGGUUUAUGUAUCAUCUAGGAUACUUCUGCGUCACUACAAAAUUGAUUUAUGUAAACGAGAGUAUGUUAUCAUAAUAAGAUAAUAAUUAAUCUAUACGUAUAGUGAAAAUAAUACUUGAAGCAAAUAAUGCAAUCAUACAAACUGCACAAUUCUAUUUGGAAAACUGCUCAUUCUAGUUGGAAAAGGGUUUUAACUUUAAUGAAAAUGAGUAAUGAUGUAGGAAUUCAAGGACUUCAGGGCUGGCCCUGUAGUAUGGAAAGAUCUUCCCAUGUUUAAGCCUUAAUUUAGAUAACUUAUAUCCGCCUAACCCUGUUGCUUUCUCAAUCAUGAAAUGAAACCAUACUUCCAUAUAUUUGUGCAGAGCUGCUCACGAAGCUGGUGCUGCUACUGCUAUUGUAAAUAUUGGCGUUACCAGAGCUGACGAUUUCGUUCCUUUGAAAAUUAACUCCAGACUUGGAGAGGUAUGCAUUUCUAUCUCUUGUACUCAAACCUAUGUAGUGGAAUUAUUGAUGUUUCGUCACCUGAUGGUACAGAUAUUACCAAGAUUGCUUUCAGUUGGAUCCCUUGGUGUCCCUGUUGUCUAGAGCGUGCAGCAAAACCAUGUAAGGUUGACUUGCUGCACAGACGCUCCUUGUUGUAUUUGAAGUCUAAAUAUAAUUAUGUUGUUAUCAAUUCAAAAAUUGGAAAUUCAAAUUUUCAUUGGAACUCAUAUUGUGUCGAUGAAAGAUGCCUAUCCCAGCCAAGUUCUAAUUGAGGGAACCUGAUGUUUCAAGAAAGUUAAUAUUCUUUUUCUUCUAGAUCAAUGCAAGAGAUUUGUUACUUGCACCUUCUCAUAUUUACACUUCCUCCGUUCAUGAUAAGUAUGGUCUUUUUGUCAUUUCAUUCGUCCAUAAUAAGUAUGUUUUUUCGUUUAAAGAUAUAUACCCUUGUAUUUUUCUUGUCUCGCACACGAUAUGCAAUAAACUUAUCUCACAAAUUAUUUAUUGAUUACCUAACAAAUUAACUUUGGUGGAUCUCUUUUUUCAUUUUAUCACAUUUCUCAAUAUUUUUUUUAACCUGUGCACCACUCUUAUCAUGGAAGGAUAAUAUGUACAUUUUGGGGCAAUAGUGUUAAUACUUUUUUUAUCCUGACAUAUUUCAUGAGUUGGUGUCAUACCCAACUCAAUAUUUUGUUGAGAGGCACUCCCAUGCGCUUUGAGCGUACGGUGUGCUCACCCAAAUUAACGCAUUAGUUAGAAUAUAGAUAGAAAAGGAAUAGAAUUUAUACCAAUUGGAGUAUGUGGAUAGAUGGUCCGUCACUUGGUUUUGGGCUCCACUUUUGUCCUUGAUCUCGAUGUCAAACUCUUGUAGCAAUAGGAUUUGUCAGAUCAACUUUGGUUUGGACUCUUUCGCCAUCAAGUACUUUAGGGCAAUAUGGUUUGUACACCACGGUCUUGCUCCCAAAGAGAUAGGACUUGAACUUCUCAAAUGGGAAUACCACGGCGAGGAGCUCCUUCUCGGUAGUGGUCUAGUUGCUCUGGGUAACAUUCACAAUUUUUGAGGCGUAAUAAAUCACGAAGCCCUCCUUCCCAAUCUUUUGCCCUAUUACAACUCCCACCGCAUAUCCGUCCGCAUCGCACAUGAGCUCAAAGGGCAUGCCCCACUCAGGUGGUCUGAUGAUGGGCAUUGUGGUCAGAUGCGUCUUCAGAGUCUUGAAGGCUUCAUGAAAUUCUUGAUCAAAGUCCGAGGGCACAUCAUUCUAGAGUAAUCUGGUCAUGGGCUGAGCGAUCUUGGCAAAGUCCUUGGCAAAGCGUCGAUAAAACCAUGCAUGCCCAAGUAAUCCUCUGAAUUGUUUGACUGAUGUCGGUAGUGGUAACUUGGCUAUGAUGUCGACCAUGGCCUUGUCCACAUCGAUACCACACUUUGAUAUAAUAUGUCUCAAGAUUAUGCCUUUUUUCUAUCAUGAAAUAGCAUUUCUCAUAAUAUAUCAUGUAUAUAUAACUGUAUAUUUAUGUGUAGUGUAAAUGUCUUUACCAAAUGAUGGUUAUGGAUAUGGUGCACACUUUGUGAUGUUUGGAGCAAGCAUUAGUUGUUUAUGGAUUGCAUUUAUGCAUAUGUGUUUUGUUUACUGACAAUUGAAAGGAAAUGCAAGAAACAAAAUCAAGGGCUAGAUAUCUUGAUCAUGGUAUAUAUAUGAUCAAUGUUUUUUUCGUUUAGUUUACAAAUUAAUUUGCAAAUUUGAUCUCUUGAAGUAAUGUGUUGAAAAGAUGUACCUUUCACAUGGAGUAUAUCUUACUCUGUUUGUGAAGAACAUGAUUUGAAAUUGGAUUCCACUAUAAAUAUGUGGAGCAAAAUAAAGUGUUACGUGGAUUCUACUACUAUAAAGAGAAGUGAAAUGAUAUUAUGGACAGAUCAAAAUGAUAAAAGUGAAAACGAUAUUGUGGAGUAUAUUUUUAAAGGUGAAAAUAAAGGUGGACAUUUUUUGUUUGAAGUAUGUACGUAUAAGUUGUUUUGUAUUUGCACUUGAUGAGAGAGCUGGAUUCCCAAAGUGGCACGAAAAAAAGGAGAAAAAGACUCAAAAAAAGGGGCGCAUGAUCAACAAUCAGCAUCUCCCCAGCUCAUCAGAAUCUGACCUUACUUCUUGUCCCUCUCUCUCUCUCUCUCUCUCUCUCUCUCUCUCCUCAACACUAGAAGGCCAUGUUACCACUAAAGCUGGUUCGCUCUCUGGUUUCCGGCGAUGAUGUCACGAACCCCCUUUUCCUCUGCAUCCACCACCACAAUCUCGAACACGAGAGCGACGACAACGAGGAUCCCACUCUCUCGAGAAACAAAACCCCAUUGAUGCUCUUCCUCCCCAAUCAAGAAUUGGUUAGAGACACAUACAGAUUGGCCUCCAUUGCUAGAGCCAUCGGAAUGGAUCUCCAACCCAACCCUUCUCUCUCCCACAUCAUCUUCUCAUGGCCAUCGCCGCCGCCGCCCCAGUCAUGCACGUUGUCGUCCUCAUCAACAUCACCACAUUCAUGGGCUUCAUCGUCUGCACCGUCAUCAUCGCUGUCGUAUUCAUGGUCGCUGCCAGAUGGCAGCGUGCCGCUACCGUUCCCCUCCUUCGCCACCGCGUCCCUCUCCCACCUCCGCCUCUUCGUCAGCCUCUCCAAGGGCUACUUCAAGCUGGCCUUCUUGAAAAACGGCUGCACCCCUCUUGAAAAAAUCGAAUCUUUCAGCAAUAAUAACUGGCAUUGCACCUCGCUUUCGCUCUUCGCCGCAAGCACCGGCGAGCGCGUUGAGUCCAUGGAUGGAUUUUCGAGGGCCUUGCUUGGGAAGGGGUGGGCCCUUUUCAAGACUAAUUGUGGUAGCGAGAGAGAUUUUCAAGAUUCUACGGAGAGGGAAUUAUAUUUGUAUAAAAAGUUGGAUGCGAGUAGGAUUUGUAGAAAUGGGGAUUUGAGGGAAUGCAGUAGGGCCAGAGAGUUGAGGCUGCCGGCAUUGGAUUUUAGGAAUGCGCCAUUGAGGAUUUUGCAGUAUAUUCUUCUCAUGACUGACGAUGUCUUCUACCUUGCCUAGCAAUAGCAAUUCAAGUGAGAAUCCAUUUCCUUUUCUUGGCUGUUCUUGUUCAAUUUGAUCUUAUCUGUAUGUGUUUCCUUAGAGGGCGUACUAUAGGUUAAUGUAUUAUUUAUUAAGAUUUAUUAGAGACCUCCAAUAUGCUAAAGCCCUUGAUUAUUUCUACAAUUUGAGAUAACCUACUUGAUUCAUAUUCUCUUGAAAGGGCUAAGAUUGUAGAAAUCGUUGUAAUGAAGUUAAAUAUAUUCAAUCAUGUGUAUUGUCGAUCUUGAAUAGUAAAUGCCCCCUCGGUGGUUUGGUUUGUUUUUCUUGAUUAUUAUUGGUAUUGGUAUGGUAGGAAUUUAGGUUGUUGCAAUUAAAUAGACUUGUACCGUUAUUGGCAUUUGUGAGUAAUUACAAGGUACUCUCAUGUGUUGUCAAUGUAUUAAAUGGAACUAAUAAUUGGACUGUUACACUAGAGGGUGCUUAAGUGAGCCUUCAUAUGGAGGGGAUAUAGUAUAUGAUUAAUGUAGAGAUCCUUGAAUAUGGAUAUUGCUCGUAACUAUUAGGUGCUAAGCAUUUAUUCCAGCAUCAGUUGAAGGACAUGAAUGCACGAUAGGUUGGAGAUAGGAUUUGAUCUGCAUUCAACUAAGUCUGAAAAUCUGUUUAAUGAUUCUAUCAGAUAAUGUGAGGAGUAUAUAGUGCUGAUUGAUUAAAUUUAGCUGAAGGGAAGUGUCUUUGUGAUGGCUAUUGUUUUUGAGGGGUGGUCGUACACUUAAUAGAAAACCAUAUCCUUGUAAUUUUGUCUUUCGCAAACCCAAACAAGAUAUUGUUUUAUCAGUUUUGAUCUUCGCCAAAGGAGGUAUAAACUACAAUCUUAGAUAGACAUACACAUAGUGCACGCAAACUGCAAUUCUAUCUGUUCAAUCCAUUCAAGCUAAAUACUUUUAGAGAAACAUCUUGAUCGUGCUCGCUAUCUUUUACACGUGUCAGUAAUAACUCUAUGAUGAACCUCUGAGCACUAACUAUCUUAAACAGACUAACUAAUGAUGUAGAAAGAUUGUAGUGUUUAAAACUUUAAAUGCAUAUGGAUAUUAUCGUGUAAGAUUGUGGUUGCGCUGAAGUUCUGUGCAUAUGGAUAUUGUCAUGUAAGAUUGUGGUUGCGCUGAAGUUCUGUGCAUAUGGAUAUUACCAUGUAAGAUAUGGUUGCGCUAAAGUUCUGUUGCUGUUAAUUUACUUCCAUGCGGCCAAAUUCCGGAACUUCAUGGUUGUCUGAGUAAAAACUUAAGUGUGUAUGAAGUGAUUGUGAUGAUGAAUUUACUAUAAUUUUGGUGUCCGUUGUUAUUAAUAGCAAGAGCUGUAGUAACCCUGCACGAUACCAAUCUAUACUUCAAAUCUGUAUAAAGGUUGACCUGUUUCUGGUUAAGCUUGAUUCACGUGUAAUCCUCUGAAUCUUCAACUUAUCAGGUAGAUCUAAGCUUUUAUACUCUACUUUUGUUGUCUGUGGUUGGGCUAGUAUUGAUUGAUUGAACAUCCAUGAGUUUUUUCUUGAUGUCUAGUAAAUAUGUAGAAUCCUUCUCACUAUAGCGGACUAAUAUAUAAAGAAUCGUAUAGUUUACACUUUACACCAUCUGUACCAUGUGAAGACCAGAUAAAAGUAUUUAAAGGUUUGUAACUAGCAUUUUCACAUCAGUACUAUUAUACUUUGGGAAACAUGGGAUGUUUUACUUCAACAAAUAAUCUGACGAAGUAUUUCCUAAUAUUUGCAUCAUUGGUUGAAGGACAUGAGAGGUAAUAGAAGCGCCCAGGUGAACUUGAUGGCCCAUAGGCAAAUUGCAGGUCACUUUGUUGGCAAAUAUGUAAAGGUAAAUUAUUCUUUGAGUAUGACAGUUGAAAUUCUUUAUGGGGUGUUCGGUUUGGCGGAUUAGACAGGACUUAGUUUCAUUAUAUGCUGUUUGGUUGGGUGGACUCAACCCAAUAACUAGUCUUAGGAUAGUGCCAUGUAGGGGCUCUGGGGCUGUUUGGUAGGGCAGAUAAAGCUAAGAUAGCUUACAUAUCUGAGCUUAAUUAGGUGUUUGGUAGCCAUGAUACAUAUUAACAAAAGCCCGAGAUAAGGCUUGGACCCAUGUAAAAAACACUGUUCCUCUUAGUAUAACAUAUCCGACCUCCCCCCUCCGUUUCCUAAUCCUAACAUGAACAGUAACACAUAUUAGAAAAUACUUAGACUAAAAAACCCAUGGAACCACGCGAAAUUCAACUCAUAUACAGAAUUUGAAAAGCAACAAAGAACUAGAAACUUUCUUCACCUUGAUGAAUUCUUCAGUCAUUUCCUCCAAGAUCACAAAAUAUACCUCCAAACGCUCAGGAACCCACAAAAUUUCGAUUAUCAGCAGAAUCCUUGAAGAAGCCUCCAACUACGAUUGAUGGAGAACCGGUGAGAAGGUCUGUUGCCCGAUUGAAGGAACCAAAAGGAAACCGCGAAAGAAGCAAAAAUCGAACCUUAUUUCUUAGGAUGAGUUAUUGAAGCUGCAUAGCUGAGAAAUUUCUUUCUCAGAUCUGAUAAAUCAGACCAGUUUCGUCUUUUUAGGGCAAAUCGGAUCUUAAUGAGGCGCCUUUUCUUCAUUUGUCUAUUGUGCACAUUUGGUUCUCUUAUUGAGAAUUUACAUUUUAACAAAUACAACUUCAAACUGAUAAUUUGAUUUCAAGUCUGAUUUAGAGAUUCUAUUUUGAUCGCUGUAGAAAUCUAUUAAAGGGCCUCUUCUGAUGUCUGUUUAAGAAUAUUAAGAAAUGUACAAAACAGCGUAGAAACGAGGUUCUACUCAAAUGGGGUGGGCUUUUUCGAAACUAUUUUUGUUAUUACUUGCAUCUAUUAAUUACAUCUUCAACUGAAGUUGAGAAUUAAGUCUGAAAUGAGAAUGAUGAUAUAUAAGUCGUGCUAUUUCUGAUAUAUAAAUGAUAAAUCUGAUAUAUAAGUCAUGCUAUUUCUGAUAUAUGAGUCUGAUAUAUAACGCAGAUAUAUGUGAAGGAUGAUAUAAGUCUGAUAAUUCUUGUCUGAUAUAUGAGAAUGAUAGGUCUGUUAUAUGAGAAUGAUGAUAUGUCUGUGAAGUUGUGAAGUUGUGAAGUUUGAUAUAUGAGAAUGAUGAUAUAGUGGGCUGUGAAGUUGCUGUAUUUUGGGCUUCGAAUUUGCUCAUAUAUCAGUCAUAUAUGAGAAUCAUGAUAUAUAAGUCUGAUAUAUGAGAAUGAUGAUAUAUAAGUUAAUAUAUAAAUUAGAAAUUUCUUACUUUUCUUAGUUUUUUGAUGUUGAUAUAUAAGUCUGAAUACCAGAUAUAGAAGUCUGAAAUUUCUAAUGUUGAUAUAUAAGUCUGAAUACCUGAAUAUAUAAGUGUGAAUACUUGAGAUACCUGAUUCUUCAGGCUUAGUUUUCUUAGUUUUCUGAUGUUCGUAAUUAUUUCUUAGUUUUUUAGAGUUGCCUGAGAUAAAACAGACAACAUGUUGAUUACAACAUUUGAAUAGAUAGUGGUAGUGGUCUUGAAUAAUACAAAAUUAAUUAUCUUUUAACCUCGUUAAAAUGCAGAUUUGGUUAUCAAAGUCUUUCUUAACUAGUUGGGAUGUUUAUAUGCAGAAAUUGAGUUCACCUCUCAUUGAGACUUUAUUGCUAUGGCGCGGAAUGAUGAUAGAUAUGAGUUCACCUCUGUAUGCUCAGCUACUAAUUGUGCUAUAAGAAGUAGAGAGAGAUCUGGUUGAGUGGUGGUGAGUUUGCUGGAGAUGGUUUUGGCAUGUAUUCUUUUUGCGGUUCUGUUGUAACUAUUAGAGCACUUUGUUUCGGUUAAAUAUCUGGCUGACAUUGUGAUCUUCUAUGUAAAGUUAUUUGCUUCUUACUAAGAGGGUGUUUCACUAAGCUUCUUUUAGAUGUUUGAAGAGCUUAUAAGUUGUCAAAAUAUUUGGAUAAUUGAGCUUAUAAGCUAGAGUGAGAGAGAGAAUGUUAGUGAGUAAGAGAAAAUUGGAUUGAGAUGAAAUGGUAAGAUAUAUGAUGGAAAUAACAAACCAUAGUAGUGUUAUUUUUGUGAAAUGAUUGUUGAUUAUGAAAAGAGUUGGGGUUAGGAACUUAUUUUGGGGGAGCUUAUAAGUUGUUGGAGCUUAUUCUUAUUUCUUACAACUUAUAAGCUAUUUAGAAGCUUAUUUUGCCAAACAUCCUCAAAGGUUAUUGGGUUUGAAUUUGCUUGAGUUUGUGUUGAAUGGACAUCAGAUUAGUAGCUCGAGUUAGAAGGAUCUGCUCCUACACCUUCUAAUUUCAUUGUCAGCAUCGUUGAUGUUCUAUAUGUACGCUAGUUUGAAUCUAGUUGUAGACUUGGUUGCUAAAUACGUAGAACUUUAAUGUUCUGUAGAUGCUAGAGUAUAUUUUUUUUCUUUCAAUCUUACACUUGAGUUUAGAUUGUAUAUUCCUAUCUUUUGAUCAGUAUAAUCUAUGGCUAUUGAUUCCACAUUUGUUCAUUAGCUUCUCUCUCCAUGUUUUGUUAUCUAUAAAGUAAGGCCCCUUCCAGCGAUGGCAUUGAUCAUCUUUGACCUCGGCACUGCUUGUUCUCGUUUGCCACAGUUGUCAUGAACUUGCUUUCGGAUUAUGUUGCACCAGCACGCGUGCUGAAUUAUAUUUGUUUGUUUAUAUAUGCACGCCUUAUUCUUUAUUUUCAAGUCAUUUAACAUUAAGGGUGCGUUCUCUUAACUGUAUAAUAGGAAACGAAUGUCAACUUUUUUCCAGAUCCCAGGAACUUCGGUCUGUACUCUGGCAUAUAAAUGAAGGGAUGGAAGAGGGUUACGUUCACCAUGAAAUGACUUGGAACUUGGAUCUCAGUCUGUUUGAGAUUGCUCAUUAUAAUCAUGACCAAGGAUGUUUUCGUGCAAGCCAGGGAUAAGGAAUGAAUAAACAGAACCGGUCCUCGCAGAUGACUGAUGUUUCAAAAUGUAUGAAUUCUGCUUUAGAUUGUUAUUGAGAUAUAGAUUAGCUACUGCUGGGAAAUAAAAUUGAUCUUGCAAAGCAUGUACGAAGUUAUAGUGUGUUUUGCUGCUUUAUACAGUUGCUGCAUUUAGCUUACAAUGUCUUGCAAUUCUACAAGUUGGAUUGAAUUUGUUCUACUUUACAAACAUUGGGCUUUUAAGAAGUUUGUUAGAUAAUGGAAAUAUGCAUGCAAUCUGUUUGUUAAAUUCUAUUUAAGUAAAAACUAGACAAAAUUUAACAAGUGCCGAGGUCAGUAGUGGGGGUGACCUAAUAGCUGACCUGAUAGAGGAGGAAUCACAUUGGGUCAGUGAGACUACAGUGAGAUAAUAUGAUAGCUGACCUGAUCUUUUUAGUUUUGAUUAUUGUAUUUUUCAUUUAAUUUUAAUUGCAGAAAUUUAAAUAACACAAUUGACUUCAAAUUAAACUUCAUUUAAUUUUAAAAAUCCUAAAAAUUACAUUAAAAAAAAAACCUAAAGACAUAAUUUAAAAUUACUUAAUUAAAAAUUAAAAACAUAAAAUCCUAAAGAUCUUUUCCUUCUCUCAUCCUAGCGAUGAUUUUCGCGCAACGCUGCUUGUGGAGGGCGAGGGUUUCUGGACUCAUGUCGUCGGUCUUCAUGAAUAAAAUCCGAUCGUCGUGCAUCUUUUUCUUGAGUUCGUUCGAAUUAGCGACCUCGGCCAUCAUUUGUUUGAUGUUCUCGUCCGACCUGUCCAUCCUCUCCACGUAUUCGGGUGGAAGCCCGAAGCUUUGCGACGCCUUUCAUUUCCCUUUCGCCGCUCUCGCCGCGCCGCCUUGUUUUCAAUCGACCGGGAAGACGUGAUCUUCUCUCCCGACGCCAAGGUAGUGAAGUCGCCUGUCUCCGACGUCUUCGUCCUCUUGGAGGAAUGGACAUCGCCCUCAAGGUACACGGACUUGAACCUCCGGUUGAUUCGGAGCAUCCUCCAUGCAUUCCAGUAGUUGAAGGGGCCGUUAGUUAGGCUCCUUGCUUGGAAGAUGACUUGGGCCUUUUGUUGGAGCAUGUCGUCGGAAUGACCGGAAGGCCACUUCGCGCAAACCUCCACCCAAACAUUCUCCCACAACUUCACAUCCUGGGCCACUCGGGAGAAGUGUCCCUUUAUUUGGCGGGGCUUCAAGUCGAGGCCGAGGAGGGCGUUCACCCGCUCUAGAAUCCGGCCCCAGUAGGCCUCGCCUUUUUUAUCGACACCCCAGAUGGCGUCGUUCGUCUCCUCCGCCCAAACACGGACAAUAAGGUCCGUCUCCUCGAGGGUGUAUGUAUGUCGAAUGGCUCUUCCCUCCUCCGGCUCUCUCACCGGCGCCUUCUCCUUGAAGGCCAUAGCCUUUCGCGGCCCUCCUUUCUUGGGCUUCGACGCACUGUGGGCGGCCGGUGGCUCCUCGUCGCCGCUUGGACGAGGUUUCUCCUCCAAGUUGAUACCCGCCAAAUUGGGAUGAUAAUCAUCUCCGCCGGAGAGGUCGGGAACCCAAUUUGAGUCGUACCAAUUGGUGUUGUAUGGAUCCAUUUUUUUUAGAGAGAAAUUGAGAGAAGAUAGAAAAGUAUGGAAGAGAGGUGAAGAAGAAGAAGAUAGGAAAAUUUAUAGAAGAGAAAAAAAAAAAAUUAAAACUCAAACGAUCAAAUGACCGAGAAUCAAACAAAAAAAAGCAAUAGUCAAAUGGCAAAUUUCCUUUUAAUUCGAAUUUGUUUUUUUGUUUUUUAAAAAAUAAAAAUAAAAAUUGGCGUGUGUUUAUCGAGGCUGCCCUGUUCUAUCGGGACCCCAUCGAGUCGCCGUCGCCUGCAGUGGGCGACCCGAUAGGCGGGGUGACUCGAGACCCCCCUAUCGGGUCACCACUGCGGAUGCUUUAAUAGAUGAUAGCAUUACAACACAUUUUCAUAAUCUAGUUAUGAAAUUUCCUUCCAAAGCCACUUUAGAUGUAGAAGAAAUUUGCAUCAAAUUCACCAAACCUGUACGAGAAAAGAGUGAAGAAAAUUCGUUCAACAAAACGGUAUUGUCAUAGGCAACAAAAAUAAACUCAUAGCAAAUCAAAAUGAUGUCUCUCCAUUACCUACUCUUACUCCUGAAUAUACCCUUCUUUAGAAACACUUACGCUAACAAAUGAAAAUCUUUGCUAAUUCAAACGAAAAUUGAAGAGUAAUAAUCAAACCAAAGGAACAAAGGUAUGUCUCAUAGGUCAUGUUAAAGAUCCAUUACUGGAAUAACCGUAAAAUGAGAUUUCCCUAGCUACAGAAUUGGAGAAAUGCUUAUUAUCAACACAACCUAGUAAACACAUAAAGAAGUGUGUGUAUGUUGAUUAAUGUCCAAUGUCUGAGAUCCUAGGUUCAAGUCCACCGUGGCGGUCAUUAAUUUUCUUUAUUUAAUUUAUCUCAAAAAAAAAGUUAUCAGAAAUACUAUCCCUGAUUCUACAAGAAACUGGUGACCUGUUUACCCGUAGAUCGUCAGCUGUAUCGUUGUUUCUUAUCAAAUUUACGAACAUUCAAGGAGGAGUGCUGCGUUCUUGAUUGAAAAAAAUGAAACACGUUGGAAACCCUAGGUAUUGUGUGGAAAGGAUAUAAUUGUCUUUUUAAAAAUUGUUGAAGGUCUAAAUUGUAAUAAUAGUUAUUAAUUUAGGAUUUAAACCUGCUAUCAAACGCAACAUGUGUGCUAUCUGAGUUUUUAUCUUGUCUAUCAAACGUAAUAAACCUUAUUUUAGUAUACUACAUCAGUCCACGAAAAGUAUGGUAAUUUUGUCAUUUUCAAUGUCCACUUUGUAUUUUAAGCUAUGGUUUCACUUUUUACUCUUAAAAGUUGUCAACAAAACCAGGAGGGGCCCACUGUUUAAUUACUUGGAGCCAAAGCUUGACAUAUUUUUCGGAGUUGGCCACCGAUAGAGUUGAGUCCGCUGGAGACGAGAACAUCGUUCCAACUAACUUGCCGACUACCCACACCAGCUUCAAUUUCGACAGAUUAUAAAGAUCAUAUUUUUUGUACCGAGAUUAAAAUAAUCAUAAUGUAAACCAAGAAAAGAUACUGAUGCACGAAUCAGCAAACCUUAGCAGUGACCACACUUCAAGAAAAUCUUCAUUAAGAAACAUGGUUCUACUGCAAAUUACUAUUACAUCCUCGGAUGAUUCUGGGGAAAGAAAAAAACACAACAGAACAAUCAUCAUAAUAGAUUGUAUUAUCACUAACUACUAACUACAUAAGAUGAAUAAAUAGACACAAAAGAUUGAAACAUAUUCACCAGUGAGUGGGAAGAGGAAGGAAAACAAAGCAUCAUGUGGCAUGAGAGCCGUGUGUUCGUGAUGCCCAUAUCCCAAACACAAGAAACCAGAAUACAAACAAGAUUGCCCAGUAACGAGCAGGCCCGUACUUGAUUCUUGUUAGAACGAACUGUAAACACAUGGAGAACAUUCAUCAGCUCAAAUAUCCAAUGAAAAUAACUUUCCUCAAAAGAGUAGUAUCGAGCAAUCAUUCAAAUGAAAGCACCUAACUUGACAACUACACCAAAUCCUCAAAUCAAGCACCGGAAAGGAUCCGAGAGUUUUAUGGAUCCCAUUUAAAAACAUCCCUCCUUAAUAGCCCCAUAGGCCAUAAUGCAACUUCAGAAACUAUCUAGUGUAAUGCAGGUUAGGUUUCCUGACCAUUAAUUUUCUCCCUAUUGACACCGACUGGAACUUACAUAUCCUACCCAACAUUUUGGAAGAGUAAGCCACAUAUCCUAUCAUUAUAUUAUAAUUAGGCAAGAUGCCAAAAAAGAUUUUUUUAAAAAAUACCAACCCUAUAACUGAGACAGUUUUUAAUAAGUGUAAUCAGAUUUGCUUUAAUACCUAAUUUAUAUAACUUUCUUAUUUUUUUCAAAAAUGAUAUCCUAGUCCUACACAAGGAAAAAUGAAAAAAAUGUAGAAAGAAAUGCUUUUCGCCUGGAUUUUGGCUGGACUCAUCCAUCAAUUUAGUACAGAAAGAACCAAAAGUUCCAUUUUUGAAUGGUUUUUGCCUCAAACGAGUAUUUUGUACCCCUCCACUAAUGGCCAAGAAAACAUAAUAUCCACGGAAAAUAUAUGAUUUUCAAGAAAAAUAAGAAAAACAACCCAUGAAUCCAAGAAUGUACACUUUGGUUAUGUAAGAGAGAAUAGCAAGAGUCACAAGCUACAUCAAUUAGGAUUUCUGGUUUACAAAACUUGUACAGCCAAAAAUAUCUCUUGAAGAAAUUCAUAGCAAGAAUUGUAGUGGAGACCGAAAUUCCAUGAUAAAGUUUCAAAAUGCACAGACAACAGCUUGCUUUCUAGCAACAGAAAGUAUGGAAGUUAUUUUGGAUUUGGAUGAGGUUUCCAUGUUAGCUAAAAAGGGAUCGAAGUUGUCCUUUUUUAUUUUUAUUUUUAUUUUUCAUAUUUGAUGGUUGACGUAAAGCAUGCAUGUGCCAUAAAAGUGGCUGUGGAUCAUUUGCCCACAACACUUGAAAGGUGGGGUGUUAAAAUGUCAAAUCUAAAUGGAUGGCUUAUUUUGUUAAAAUGUUGAAGUUUAGGAAUUUUUUGGCACUUACCUUUAAAACAUCCAAUGUUUGGAGAACAAAUGUUUUAUUUACACAUCACAAUGCAAUGUAUCCUAUGAAAACUCCUAGCUCUAAUCGUGAUGAAGGCAGCUGCAUUCAUUUCCUACACGUUAGGCACUAAUGAUCAUAACUAAUUCUAACUAAUCUACUUAUAUUAUAAAGGUGUGUUCUUACCAAUUUUGAUAUACCUACAAUAUCCUUAUUUAUUUUAAAUUCUCACGAUAAUAUAGUAAUUUAAUAUAUAUUUUCUAAAAUCCCUUAAAAUUAUGAUAAAGUUUAUCUAUUUCUGAGAGAGAUAUCAACUAAAAAGCAACUGAACUUACGAAUCGGAAGAAAACUACAACAGUCAAUGCACAGACACCUCCAAGAAGAAUAUGCAAGCCAUUUUUGGCAGUUUUCUGCAGUUGAAGGAACAAGUUUCGAUUAAGUUUAUGCAAGAAAAUAACUGGCAAAUACAAAACGAAAAGAACUAAUAAGUGAAUUUAAAAAAAAAAAAAGCAUCAUCCAAUGCUCAAUCCAACAAGUGGCAAGACCAAUAGCUCGCUCCCAAGCUUAAUUAUGUCAUAGGAAUUAAGAAAUUGUAAUAUACAUGAGAUAAAGUACAAGCUCAUCUUGUCAACGAGCAUUACCUAGUACUAGUACUCCUUUUAUAUCCUUCGGUGUAACAAUACUUUUUAGCCAUUAAUUAUGGUUUUGGGCUCAGUCAGUCAUUUCCCAUUCUUCAUUUCAGAAUUCAGGGUAGCACAUACAAGAUGGAUCAUGGAUGUACAGAGCAAGAGAUUUGGAAUGGAGUCAGUGAUGAAUGACCCACACACUUAAGAAGAUAAAUUAAAUGAGCAGGUACAUAUUGAACUCCAAGCAUUCAUCCGAUAAGGGAAACUAGAUUAAAUAGCACUUUCCCCACAUGACUAAUAACUCAAAGCAUGAAAUAUUAAACCAUGUCUGUGCUUCAGAGCUGAAGACUAAUUAGUUACUGUUAGAUACUUAGAUUCAUUUCCCAUUAUAUCUACUUAUUAUAUUUCUCUGAUAUCUUUUAUGUCCCGUAUUGAUUAAGUUAAUUAGGUUAGACUAAAACUAAAAGGAUGAACCUGACUUUUGUUUCAGGAGCCCAAGUUCCUUUUGUUAUUUAAGUAGAGUUGAGCCAUUCAGGAUGAACAAAAAAAAUUAUCUUAGUUGAGUCGGCAGAUUUUCCGCCUGAGCAAACCUUUCUGAUCAGCAUUUCGCGCUCGAGUAUUUCAAGAUGAAAGAAAAUUUAAACCAAAAAUGGAAGAGAAGAAAAACAACUUACAGGAGAACCUUCUAAUAAAACAAGAACUUGCAGGCAAAGCUACCCAAGUGCCAGGCGCCGAUCAGCCCAAGCAGAAAAUCUGCCAAACCAUUAAGAGAAUUUUUUUCGUUCAUCCUAAAUGACUCAUCUCUGCUACUUAAAAAACAAAAGGAACUAGAGCUCUAGACACAAAUGCUUAGUUCAACUGUUCUAACAUAUAUAGACAUCAUUUUCCAAUGAAAAAAGGCACAAUAACUUCCCAUGCUAAACAAUUUGACAAUGAAGUGCUCCAACCAUCAUCAGGUUGGGAGUUAGAGUCACCACGGAGGGGAAAUGGGGAACCAUUAUUGAUAGUGCAGUGCCGAGUGGUGGGAUAAAAGUUUAUACUCGACGCAAGUCCAGGGCUCCUGCAGUCUAACUGGAAGAGUAGAAUUAUAAUCAUCUUUUUAUUUAUUGUUUAUUAUGUUUUCUUGUUGGUUAAGUUUUGCGGGCCUUUGUCUUCUACAUGGGCCUUAGUAGGAAUUAGUAUUUAUUAGCCUUUUCCUGCAGAAUUAGGGCAUACAUUAUAUUUUGAGAUUUAGCGGCUUUACGCUGUGGCAGAACUUCUCGUUCUGUGGACUUCGUUAAGGAGUAUCUUUCAAUUGUGUUCCUGUUGAUUCGCUCUCUUCACUCUACUAAUUUGGUCCGACCUGCCGGAUUCCACCAUGUCCACAUAGAAGGAACGUCUCGAAGAGGUAGAGAAGACAGCGAAAGAUUUGCAGUCCACUUUUGGCUCGCUUGCGGACAAAGUCGAUGGGUUGGAGAGUUUUCUGGGGACUGUUGAGACUACUCUCGCUACUCACUCCAAACAAUUCGCAGAAAUCCUUGCCAAACUCGACGACAUGGGAGGCCGUAGAGAAGGCUUUCUCGAGGUAAAGAAAGGUUCGACAGAUUUGACGGGGGAGACAUACCGCGCAUGGACCUUCCUCCAUUCGAUGGAACCGACCCCAUCGCAUGGCUUGCGCAGGCCGAGCAGUACUUCUUGGUUCACCGCACUGCUAUGGCCAAUCGCGUGCAGCUAGCACUUAUCGCCAUGUCCGGCAAGUGGGUUCUCCGACGUGGCUUGCGCAGGCCGAGCAGUACUUCUGGGCACAGUGGGUUCUCCGACUCCGACGUGCCGCCUCCAUUCUUUGGGAUCAGUUCACAAAGGGGCUCAUAGAACGUUUUGGAGAUAGUUCCGCUAUCAAUGCCUACGAAGCCCUGCAUCUUACUCGACAAACAGGAUCCCUGGAGGAAUAUUUGCGGUUGUUCGAGGAACGAGUAGCCCACUUGCCGGCUCUGCCCCCAGAGCAAUACUUGGGGAUGUUCCUAGGAGGGUUACAAACUUCCAUCCGAGAUCGGCGUUCCCGACUCGGAGAUGAUAGAUGUUUUUGCUGCCAUCCGUGAUGCGGCGUUCCAGCAAAUCGUCUGCUCCCCCGCCACGAUCAAAUUUUCCACUGGGAAAUUCUUCCAGACCCACUUCGACCUUUCUGAGGUCGUUCCCAAAUAGCAGGCAGCCCGCGGUUCCACCUCCAGGCCAACUUCCACACUCGACAACAAGACCCACUAGCUCGCCCGUAUUUCGGAAUUCUCGACGUCUAUCGCCAGCACAACAAGAGGAGUACCGUGCUAAAGGCAAGUGUUAUCGUUGUGCCCGCUCCAUAAGUGUCCUACCAAAUCCUUAGAAGUCCUUCUGGAGGCUGAAGAGGAUGAACCGGUGGUCGAAGGGGAUGACAGGGAACAAGAACUAAAAGAGGAAACUAUCGGGGCGGAGACCAUCACGGGGUUGCAACACUUACCAAAAUGUCUUCCAACGGGUGUGAUGGUGCACAGACUCUUAAGUUGUUUAGCCAAAUCGAAGGACGUCACCUCCUAACGAUGGUCGACAGUGGGGCGAGUCACUGCUUUAUCGCCAAUCAGGCUGCUCGUGCCCUGCCGAGUUUGCAGUGGUCUUGGGAGAUGGUACCAGGGUGACCUCCCAAGGUGUAUGUAAGGCAAUACCCUUCACCAUCGCUAAUCAUUUGUUUCAUAUCACUUGCUAUGUUUUUCCAUUGCGCAGUGUCGAUAUUAUUUUGGGUGUAUCAUGGCUUGCUCAACUAGGCGAUGUUACUGCCAACUGGGCAAAUUUGUCGAUGGAGUUUGUGGUAAACGGGCAACAAACGUGGGAACCCCUCGCUGACAAGGCGGGCGUGUGGGCGGUCAGAACUGUGCUCCCUCGAGCUUGGCGACGACGCAUGGCUACUCUGGGCCAUGGAGGGUGAAGGUGUUAUGUCCUUUCUGACCUCACCAUCCUAACCGCAGCCCAACAAGAUGACUUGGGAAAUUUGAUUUCAGGGUUUCCAACUAUGACGCAGACUCCGACGGGAUUACCACCAUCACGGCAGAGUGAUGUGUUGCAGGAGGGUGUUUUCCCCGUUUCUGGUCGUCCUUACCGUUACAAUCACUCUCAAAAGGACAAGAUGGAAAAGCUAGUAGCCGAGAUGUUAGCCGCCGGCAGUAUUGCCAAGUUGCAGGCCCUACUCGAGCCCACUUCUGCUUGUACGCAAGAAGGACGAGUCUUGGCAUUUUUGCGUAGAAUAUCACGCUUUGAAUAAGGUCACAGUGCCUGACAAAUACCCUAUCCCGGUCAUUCAGGAAUUGCUUGAUGAGCUUCACAGCGCCAGAUGGUUCAGUAAGCUUGACCUGCGCGCCGGCUACCACCAGAUCAGAAUUGCACCUGAAGACGUUUCUAAAACUGCAUUUCGGACUCAUUCAGGCCACUAUGAAUUCCUCGUCAUGCCAUUUGGACUUACUAAUGCUCCGGCUACAUUCCAGUGCCUCAUGAAUGACAUUCCGACCCUUUCUCCAGAAGUUUGUGCUCGUAUUUUUUGAUGACAUCCUGAUCUAUAGCACCUCAUGGUCGGACCAUUUGCGACAUUUGCAACAGGUACUCACUAUUCUUAGCAAUCACUCCUUAGUACUUAACCCGAAGAAGUGUGUGAUUGGGCACUUGCAAGUCGAGUAUUUGGGUCAUAUUGUUGCCAACAAGGGUGUGCAAAUAGAUCCUUCUUAAGUGGGAGCGGUUUUGAAGUGGCCAACACCCACAUCUCUCCGAGGGUUACGUGGUUUUCUCGGCCUCACGGGUUACUAUCGUCGCUUUAUUUGCGAUUAUGGCAAACUCGCGGCCCCGCUGACAGCAUUGUUAAAGAAGGAUGGUCAGAAGCCGUGGCAAUGGCCUUCUGAGGCCGAGGCUGCCUUUCAAACUCUCAAACAAGCAAUGACUACUGCUCCUGUUCUGCGCAUGCCGGAUUUUUCUCGACCCUUUGAGAUCGAGUGUGAUGCAUCAGGGCGAGGGAUCGGAGCCGUAUUGAUGCAAGAACGACAACUCAUUGCAUAUUUUAGCAAGAGUUUAUCUGGCAGAUUACCAUCCAAGUCGGCAUAUGAAAAGGAACUCAUGGCGCUAGUCCUUGCAGUGCAACAUUGGUGGCCUUACUUAUUGGGGCGGAGAUUUGUGGUUCGUACGGAUCAGAGGAGCCUUAGACAAUUGUUAUCGCAAACUCUCACAACCCCAGCACAUUAGAACUGGGCAGCCAAGCCGUUGGGAUUCGAUUUUGAAAUAACCUAUAAGGAAGGGUGACUGAAUAAAGCAGCAGAUGCCUUUUCUCAACGUGAUGAGGAAUUGGAGCUAGCGGCGGUCACAGCACCGCAUUGGCAGGAUUGGAGCUCACUUCAAGACACCGUGAAGGCAGAUCCACGGCUGUCUCGGAUCAUCGAGGCACUUGAAGCAGGCCAGGAGGCGCCAAGACAUUACAGUUACUCGCAGGGUACGUUGUUUUAUAAAGGCCGAGUUGUGUUGCCCGCUGACUCGCAAUGGAUUUCAAAACUCUUUGCUGAAUUCCACGCAACCCAUUCGGGUGGACAUUCGGGAGCUUUCAGAAUUUAUCGCAGGUUGGCUGCAAAUCUUUAUUGGACUGGAAUGAUGAAGUUGAUCACUUCAUUGGUGGCAGCUUGUGAUGUUUGCCAACAAAAUAAGUAUGAGACCAAGAGCCCUGCGCGUCUCCUAAUUCUACUUCCUAUUCCAGAUCAAGUGUGGGAGGAUAUUAGCAUGGAUUUCAUUACAAGACUCCCGCGUUCUGGUGGAUAUGACUGCAUUCUUGUCGUAGUGGAUCGUCUUUCCAAAUAUUGUCAUUUUAUGGGGUUGCGUCACCCAUUUACAGCAAGGACUGUGGCAGAACUCUUUGCUCAAGAGGUGGUGCAAUUGCAUGGAAUGUCGGGAUCUAUUGUGUCUGACCGCGAUCCUAUAUUCUUAUUUCUUAAGUUCAUUUUGGAGAGAGCUGUUGGUACUACUUUGCGCAUGAGCUCGGCCUACCACCCAGAGACCGAUGGGCGGACAAAGGUUAUGAAUCGUUGUUUGGAAACUUAUUUGCGUUGUUUUGCGUCGGAGAGGCCGAAAAGCUGGGGAAAAUGGUUGGCCUGGGCCGAGUUUUGCUUUAAUACUGGAUUUCAAUCAAGUGCCGGAAUGACACCAUUUGAAGCUGUCUAUGGCAGACCGCCGGCAGCCCUCAUUCUCUUUUUACCUGGGGAAGUUCGCGUGCAGGCCUUAGCAGAUUCUCUUCGAGAGCGGGAUGACAUAUUGGUUCAUUUGCGGGUUCAUUUAGAGCGAGCACAACAAUGCAUGCUUCACGAGGCUAACAAGCAUCGUCGUCCUUAGAGUUUCAAGUGGGGGACAAGGUCUACCUCAAAUUCCGUCCUUAUAGGCAGCGGAGUUUGUUUUCAGCCGCACAUGCUAAGUUGGCGCCGCAUCUCUUUGGGCCAUUUGAAGUGGAUGCACGGAUUGGGGCAGUGGCAUACCGAUUGAAACUUCCUGUUGGGUCCAAGGGGCACCCGGUCUUCCAUGUUUCCUUGCUAAAACUUGUUUUCGGUCAGGUCAGGUGGUUGCCUCCCCGACCCUACCAGAAGAGCUUCUGGCAGUGGAUCCUCCAUAUCUUCCAGGUGCUAUGUUACAGCGCCGUUUCUUACACCGUGACGGGGCUGAGGUGGAGCAGGUCUUGGUUCAGUGGCAAGGGUUAGCUUCAGAAGAGAGUUCGUGGGUAGAUGUUGCAGAUAUGAAAGGGCAGCUUCCGGAUUUUAGCCUUGAGGACAAGGCUGUUUCGCCAACGAGGGCAAUUGAUAGUGCAGUGCCGAGUGGUGGGAUAAAAGUUUAUACUCGACGCAAGUCCACGGCACCUGCAGUCUAGCUGGAAGAAUUGAAUUAUAAUUAUCUUUUUAUUUAUUGUUUAUUAUGUUUUCUUGUUGGUUAAGUUUUGCGGGCCUUUGUCUUCUACAUGGGCCUUAGUAGGAAUUAGUAUUUAUUAGCCUUUUCCUGCAGAAUUAGGGCAUACAUUAGAUUUUGUGAUUUAGCGGCUUUACGCUGUGGAGAACUCGUUCUGUGGACUUCGUUAAGGAGUAUUCAUCUUUCAAUUGUGUUCCUGUUGAUUCACUCUCUUCACUCUACUAAUUAUUGAUCCUCUUAAAUAUAAAAAAUAUAAAAAAAUCAGCUCCACGUGAUAAUUAAACAAGUUUCAUGCUCAAAUCAGAACUACUAGACAAGUUUCAUUUAGUGCUUUGGGGGUUAUAUUAUGCGCACCAGGAUUAAUCCUGGAUGAUAGAGUUAAGGUGAUUCUCACACAAAGAACAAAAGAAACUGAAUUAAAUUUACGAAUAACUGAAUAAAACUCUCCUCAAACUGAGUACCAACAGAAAAACCGUUGUUCCUAUUUUCUGCUCCCAAAAAAACCUCCUUUACCUUAAUCCGCUAAAACCUAUUUAUAAAAGAUAACAUAGACUCCUACUGACUCCUGCUCGAACUCAAAAACUGACUCCUAAACCAACAAUAAAUAGAAGCAAUAAGAUAACAAACUCAAUAAAAUAAACUAAAAAUACUCUACGCGCUGAAUACUUCUGCUCUCUUUAAUAAUCAACCACAGCUCCCUCCCCUCGCACUUAAGUCUUACAAGUUGCUGGAACACUAAGUGUCUAAAACUCACCUAUGCCUUGUGCUUGUGAUAGUAGCCACCCAUUCGAACCCAAGCUUCACAAACAGUUAGCUUUAAAGCUAGAUGUGCCGUGAAAGGGAAUAUUGUGAGGCCCCAAAAUAGUUCCUGUGCUUUACAGGAAAAGCUCUAUUGAACAAUUUGUGAAUGCAAUUCACAUGCUGGCUAUCUAUUCUGGUACAUGUUUUUGGAUUGAAAUGUACAUCUAACAGUCUUACAAGUUCAAAACUCGAGGUGUAAUAAAUUAACUCAAUGCAUGGUGGAAUAUAAGGACUUGUUCUUAGCCUGUGGAACAGUCUAACCUAGACUGGCUGGGCACAGUAAGCUCACAGUUGUUAUUGAGGUUCCAAGCCAUAACGUCUAUAGAAUUUCAAGGAUGCGUAAAGUCCAAUAAAAUGGCACUAUUAAUUUCCAUUCUUUGAAUUUCUCAAGAAAAUCUCCAGGUUCUAACUCUGGGUGUUGCUGCAGCAAUCCAGCGGAGGCCAACUUCCAAUCAUUGGGUUAGUGUAAAAUAAAAAGGGUUAUUCUAAAAUUAUAGCCCGAACUUUGAUCCCCUCGUAACUUUUUAGCCCGAAAUCAAAAACAUUACAAAUAUAGCAUGUAAUUAUCUACGGUGUUCACUUAAUGGCCCACAUCAAAUUUUUCUGCAAACUAAAGCAGUGUGGAUUUGUGGCCUGAUUUGUGCCUUGAAUUUUCAAACUUUCACAAUUUCUUACUUGAAUUUUUGACAAACUUUGUUCCAUGUCAGCUUUAGUUGGCCAGAAAAUUUGACGUGGACUAUUAAGUGAGCAAAGUAGAUAGUACAUGCUAAAGUCGGGGGGGGGGGCUUCAAAGUUCAUGCUAUAAUUUAAGAAUAACUCAUAUAUAAAACGCUCUACUUUUAUGUUAUCAUCUUAAACCACAACAGUCAUUCUUGUCAUCAAUUGCAGAGUCCAUAUCAAGCAAAAGGAGGAUUGUCAUCAUGUGAAAAAAUGCCAUUUUUAUGAGAUUUAGCCUUCUCACAUGUUAGUACACUUAGGGUGCGUUCUCUUUGGUUGUAAAUUUAUCAUGGGAAAAGAAGGGAUAAACAAAACUUCACCCUUUAAAUCCUUCCUUUCUUUUUCCCUCAUUUCCUACAAAAUAGAAUUUGACCCUACUCAUUCGUCCUUUUCACUACAAAUGAGGGAUAAUAUUAUCCCUCCAUUUAUAAGGGUCAAAUUCUAUUUUGUAGGAAAUGAGGGAAAAGAAAGGAAGAAUUUAAAGGGUGAAAUUUUAUUUAUCCCUCCUUUUUCCAUGAUAAAUUGACAACCAAAGUGAAUGCACCCUUAAGGUUCCUCAAGAACACAUCCUCAACUUGAAAUGACUAAUCAUUAGAACUACAAUGAUAAAGAUCAGUAUUUAGUUAUAGUUAAUUAAUUAUAUAUUGUUUCUUUAAUUUAUUUAGUUAUUUAGGCUUAAGUUAUUUAGGGCUAGAAUAAAGUAAUGGGCCAUGCUUUUGUACGGGCUUUAAGAUAUUUCUUGGGCCUCAAGUUUCUGUAGGUCUUUAAAUAGUUAUUAGUGAAUUAGGGUUAGGAUUAUCGUUGCAGUAUUAUUUUUGACAGCUUAUGCUGUAGGCCUCGCAAGAGGAGUUUAGGACAGCGUUCUCGCUUUAGGCCUCGCAAGAGGAGGGUUACUCUCUAUUUUCCUUGUUCAGUAUUUACUUCAAUUUAUUUCUCUUUCAGCUUUCCUGUUUUCUGUGUAUCUCAAACCCUUCACUCUAUCAUACAACUAACUUAUUAGUUAUCAAUUAGAAAUAAAUACAUGUCUUCAAUCAAACCAUUAUCCUCCAACAUCCCAAACUUAAUUUCACUAACUAAUAUAGCGGGAAAAAAGUGAAUAAUUUGCACCUAAUAAGGGCUGAACUGCUACUGGCUCAUUCCAGUAUGAUGGCUAGGGAAAAUGAAAACAAAAAAUAAGACUAUGACUACUGGGCUAUUCAAAUCUCUAUUUUCUAUUUUCUUACAGAAAUAGAGUAUCACGAGUCCAGAAGCAGAUAAGUUCAAUACAUAAUCCUCAUCUUCUACCUACACAAAAAACAAAUGUUCCCUCUCUACAAAAAAAAAAAAAAGGAAAAAAAUCUAGGGAGUCAUAAGCUCCUUUCCAAUUCUUGUAAUUGUAAGAUUACACAAGUCACAUGCUUAAACUCAAGAUUUAUUGAAGAUUAUCUAAACUAUAAUGCUACUAUAAGUAGAAUAAAAAUGCAUACCAGGGCAAACAAAAUGCAUUUAAACAAGAAGUUCAAAAAAAAGAGUGCAUGCAGCCAGGAAAUUGUCAAGCCCAAUACCUUUCCCACAUGCGGGGCGAGAAGCCAAGCAAGAGUAACAGUCAGCAGACCUGUAGCAAGCAGGAUCCCGGUACCCUCCACAGCCCAUUUAGUAGCAGUAUUUUCAACAGGGGCAACCUCUUCCAAGACAGUAUUAGAAGCUGAAGGUUGCUCGCUGACCACCUGGGAAACAGUGAUAGAGUUGUUGUUAUGUGGAUUAAACCACAAUGAAAUUUCGCUUAACCUCUGCCUUCGAAUUGCAGCAACAGCAUCAGGAUCCACACCAUAAUUUGUUUGUGGUGCUGCAGGAUUAGGUUCUCCAUUAACAGUUCUUUCUCUCAAUGCUUCAUACUCUUUUAAAGAACCUAAUAUCCUUUUGUAAUCUUCAGGUCUUAUAUUCUUCGUAAUAGAUCCACAUAUUUCGCAGACAGUUGAUCCAUGGCUGAUAAACCACUUAAGGGCACAAGCGUAAUGUGCUAAUGCAAGAUCAUUUUUGCAAGCACAGCCAAGCUCGAACAGCCUGUCCUGGCUGUCCUCAAGACCUAGCUCUACAUCAGCUGUACAGAGAAAAACCUCCCCAUUUGGGCUAACAAACUCAACCAACUCAGAUCUUUUAUAAAGUGAAUUAUUUUCAAUAUUCCCUGAGGUGACUUUCAAAUUAGACUUAACCUCCUCUUUACCAUUUGUAAGAUCACAUACUGGUGGAGAUAUACCCAAGAAUCCCAGGGCAAUAUUUCCCCUUCUAUCAGGUUCGGAACACUGACAAACUCGACAAGUUUCCGAGACAGCUUCCUUGUCUACAUUAAGACAUGUUCUGUCAGUUCUUGGUUCUUCAUCCUCAGUAGAAGAGAGAAUGUUCUCACCGACUACACCCGUUUGAUUGGGCCUUUCUUUCUCCAUAUAUUCGCGCAAAGCUACACCUAUAGAACAUAUACUAUGUGCUUUUGAUGGUAGUGCUAUCUUUCAACCAAAAAUAUCCAUCAGGUGAACUCCGCCGUUAGACAUAUCUUUGAAGUGGUGAGCAAGAGUCUAGCAGAACAAAGUUCGAAAGGAAUCUCCCAUAAAAGAAACCAAGCAUACUUCUCUAGCUUGAUAUUGGACACUGAUACCAUGCAGCCAAGAAUCACUUCCUAAAAGAAAGAAAAAAAAAAGUCCUGAUAUAGGAAACGAGCAUAGAGGAGGAAGAAGAUCUCCAAUACUGCAAAGAUGGAAAAGGAGUUACGGAAAAUAUAAGACAGCUUAAGAACGAGAAGAAAUCAGUUCUUAGCUUAUUGGACUCAUCCAUAUGCAAUAUCAAUAUGUAAAUAAUAAAUCCUAGAAUUUAAAAAGAGCACGAAAUUAUUCAUGCCAGCUAAACCCCCUUAAAAAGAGGACAAAAUCGGAUUCACAGGAUAGAAACAAUACCUAAAAAUAAUUGUCACAAGUAACAGGCAUGAUUGAGCUCUUGAAAACAAAUCAAAUGUUUCCUAAACAUGUAUAGUGAAACUGAAGUACAAUACGUUUAUGAAGACUUACUUUAAUUCCACACCAGAAAAAAUAAAUAAAUAAAAGAUGAAAAACAAAAUUGUUGGAGCAAUAUGCAAAUAAACUUGUGCGUCAUUUCAGUUUCCCAAUCCAUCAUUACUAGUGUAACAAUUACAUAUAAAGAAGAAAUUGUUUAUAUAAUUAAUCGGCAAUUAUGUAUAUGGGAGCAAAAUCUCAACACUAAUGGGAAAAGGGAGAUGCCCACUAGAAUUUCUGGGUGAGAUGAACUUUAUUAGUAGAUACAGCUUUAACAAUCGAUACAGCGAUGACAAUAGCAUAAUUACAGCGGGAAAAGGCCUAAAAAAUAAAUGCAAAAAAGAUGCAGCAGUGAACAUAAAUCUGAAUCUAGUGCAGUAAUCAAAAAGCACCAGGAACACAAUACUCAUAUCAGUUGAAGUAAUAAACUAGUUUUGAAGAAAUGAGAGGACGAUGAUUCUCAUCAAACCAAAGCUAAAAUACCAAAUAUUUGAAGAGAAGAGGAAGAAACAAACCUCCACUAAUUAGGAAUGCAAAUCGUGUGAAAAUAAUUUGGUAGGUGGCCAAGAAAUCUCUCUCUGUCUCUCUCUCUCGUGUUCCAGCGAGUACUGAUGGGACUGUGUAUUUAGUAGUUGUGCACUUUACUUGUGGCUCUUGCAUCCACACCCUUCAGCAUUUGCGUGCUUAUGUUAUAGGCCCCAUAUAUUUUGGCUUUUGACUUUUUAACUAUUGAAUUAAAAUUUUAUUGGAAGAAAAAGGAAAAAAAAAAAGACCCUAAUUAAGGUCGAGCUUAUUAAAAAAUUUGGCAAAAAUUCACUCAAAAAAAUACUACUAACAAAGAAAAAAAAAGUAUCCAUCUAUUACACGACGGAUAACUCGAGUUACUACUAAAAUAGUCAACUCGACAAAAUCACAAAUAAUACAAAAGAGCUAGACCGGUCCAAAACCAGAACCUAGGUCACUAACACUCUAAGAAAAACCACCAAUAUGCAAGGCAAAAAAGAUAACCACAAAGUGCAAUCAAACCAUGCACAAAACAAGGCAUAUCAUUGACUACCUUGGGGUCCUCGACUGAAGAAAAUAAUCGAUAAACCACACAAGCCAAGCGUACACCUCCCCCACAAAAAAUAUGACAUAAUGAUACCGGAAGAAAGAGAAAAAGGAACGUUUAACUCCCAUAGCCCGGAAAGAAUCUCAGGAGCUAAGUACACCCAUUCCACGGAUACAAGGACGAGGAAUAAGAGAAACAUAAAAAACCCCUUGCACGCCACUGAUGUUAGGCCAAUAAACCACAUCAACCACCCAUGCAACCUAAAGUUGAAGCACGAAUCAAGAGCAAGAGCAAGAGCAAUGCAAAUGAUAGAUAUGAAAAUGCUUCUCGAACACCUCCAAAACAUGCUAUCCUAACUUCAGAUUUUGUUUCAAUGAAUAUACUUAGUUUCUUUUGCAUGGUUUGUCUCAUGUGUGAUGUUUUACCCUUAAUUUUCUAGAUGUAGUUAUUUUUGGGCUAGAUCUAUGUAUGAUUUUUUUUUCAUUUGAUUUUCUUUUGUUCAUGUCUGUUCUAUUGGGCAUUGUCGCUUUUGGGCAUUGUCCUGAUACUGGUUGAUUUUUAUUUACAGGUUGGGGGUUCGCCUAACCCCUUGCCCUUUGGGUGUUUGUUUUUUUUUUUUUUUAAUUCUAAUUAUGAUGUGUUCUCUUUAAUUGAUAAAUUUAUGAUGGAAAAAUGGAGGAUAACAAAAAAUUCUCCCUUUAUAUGCCUUAUUUAUUUUCUCUCAUUUUCUGCAAAAGAUAAUUUCACAAAUUCUCAUUUAUUCUUUUCACUCCAUGAAGAAAUAAUUUUAUCCUCAUUUGUGUGUGAUAAUAUUAUCACUGCUUAAAGUGAAAAAUGAUGAAAUUCUAUUUUAUAAAAAUAAGAAAAAAAGAGAUUUAAAAGGAGAAUUUUUUGUUAUCUGUUUCGUCGUGUUUGUGCCAUUGUCUAUUGUUAGUUUAGUCAUAUUUUAUUGUAAAAGUUGUGUAGAGUAGUGGUGAUUUUGUGUUAAUUUGAGCUUAAUGGUUAAUUGUGAUGCUUUAGGUGUUAAAUGAAGAAUGUCGAUGUUAAAGCAUUUGAAGAUUGUGAAGAAAGCUCACAACGACGCAAAAGAGAGUGUUUAAGCCUUGCUAACCAUGGCUCACAAUGAAUCAGGGGUGAUUAGAAGAAGAUUGGGAAGAGAAGGCAGUGAGCCGCGGCGCACUAGUCAACCGGGUUGACUGCUUGAAGGAAAAUGGGCAGAAUGUGAAUUGAGCCGCGGCGCACUAGUCAACCGGGCUGACCCUGACAGUUUUCUGACGGGAUUUCUCAUAAGAAGGGCUGUUUUUAGAGAUUCAAAUAGAUCUUUUUCACUUAGAACUUCUAUCCUCUUCCCUUUUUGAAGCAAGAACAAUAGGAGAACUUUAGAUUAUCAUUUUAUUUCACUUUCUUACGCAUUGGAACGGAUUUGCACUUUGAAUUCCGCAAUUAUUUCUUUAUCUUUCUUCUUUGUUUUAAUUCCAUGGUUUACUUUUUCUCCUACGUUGAAUCCUACAUCAUGAUGAGCUAAUUUCCAUAAUCUAGGGUUGGAGAUUCAAUCGGGUUUAAUUGAUUUGCUUGUGAUGUAUUGAUGCACUUUAUCCGAUUCAAUUGUUUGAUAUUCGAUUUAACAAUUGAUCACUGCUUGAUUGUGUUUGCAACGUGUGAGAUCGAGAGAAUAACUCGUUGCUUGACCGUGGUUGAAUUGGAAUUAGACUUAAUCGGAAACGUGUAGUCUAAUAAUUGAUGAAUUCAUGUGAUUUAAUUAGCGUAGACUCAUACUUGAAUGUGAAAACUAUGGUUUGAGCACCUACGUUAGGAGAAUUUUGUGAGUUUAUUAAUUGUGCAUGAUCUUCACUUGUUUAUUGAUUUCCCAAGAAGAUGAUCCGUCGCCCUAGAAUCUUUAAUCCUUGAAUUUUAGUUUGUUUUAUUAUCUAGAAUUUUUUUCUCGUUGUUUUUGAUACACUACUUGAUCACUUGAAAAUUGGUUAGAAUGUUUAGGUGUUAUUGUUUUUACGUGUUUAACACAUAGAUAAUUAGCCCUGCUAAGUCUUUCUCGUGGAAUACGACUUGGGUUAACUUGUCACUCUACGAUUGACCUCGUUCUCUUGCGAGCAAUCUAGAGAGUAUACUUUAGGUUGAACAUUAUCCCUCCUCAUUUUCCAAUUAUAGAUUUAUAAACAUGUGUAUACAUAAACAUUUAUCGACGCGCUUACGUAAAUUUUUUUUAUUCUUGAAUAUUUUUCUUAUUAAUACUUCAUCCGUCCAAUAAGAAUGUGCAUGAUUGUUGGUGACAUGAGUUUUAAUAAAUGUUAGGUGAGUGUGCUGGUAGUGAAAGAAUGAGCCCACUUUUAUUAGUAGAAGAAUGAGUCCAAAAAAGGAAAGCACAUUCUCGUGGGACGUACAAAAAGCGAACAAUUUUAUGGGACAAAGAGAAUAUUAUUUAUUUUUAGUUCUAAAACAGUUCAAUCAUUAAUCAACACGUGCAAGGAAUUUUUUCUCCCUCCGUCCACGUCAUGGCUAGUCAAAGUUAUUAUUCAUAAUCGAAACUUUCGUCGUGUGCAAAUUGCAAUUAAAUUAAGAGUAUAAUUUUGAAGUAGCCAAAAUUAAACAUAAAACAUAAUUUAUGGCCACUCAUUGAAAAAACAUAAAAUUUGGCCAUUUUUAUUGAUUUUGGAUGUUUUUACCCUCAAUGAGGCGGACCGGGUAGGAUCAGGCACGCAGGUCGCGUGCCGGGUCGAGUUAGACACUUAUAGCACUAUUAGUGUCAUAAGUGCCAAAAUUUUACUUGAUUUUAUUUUGAAUUUUCGUUGGCACUUAUGGCACUACCAUAAGUGCCAAUCCGGCGAUGCUUUCUGUUUCUGAGGUCCGUUAGACGCCUCUCUGACGUCGGCGCCCUCCUCUUCCUUUGAGAGAAAGCUCCGGCGAUGGUGAGGUGCAAGAGCUCCGCCGUUGCCGGAAGACCGCGACCCUCGUUCCCCUCUCACAGACCAUCUCAUCUAUCUCUCUAUUCCCCAAUCCAACCCCAUACUCCUAAUUCAGCAAAACGACGUCGUUUUGUGACUAAUAAUUUCAAAGAAAUGUGAAGCAAAACGAUGUCGCUUUGAUUAUCAGAAUUCCAGGACACGUAGAUAAGUCCGACCGCCAAGUUAGCUUCAAUUUUCUGAAAAAUUACAUAGAGCGCAAAAAAUCAAUUCAAAGCUUAAUUGAGAUAUACUAUGACAGAAUUUCUGAAACUGAUGCAAAACGCGAAAAUUCAUAUAGUUAUAGGAUUUAGUGACAUUUAGCCCUUAUUAAUUUAUACUUAACGGAUUACUCAGAAUUUAAUGAACAGUCUCGAAUCGAAAAUCAAGGAUUGUGGUAGCAGAUGGAAUGCACAAGCAAAAUAAGGUUAGUCGAUGGACUGCAAUUUUGAAAUAAUUAGAGAUUAGAGAUAUAUGUCACGAGCUUUCCUAAAAAAUUUAGCAAUAAAACCAUUACAGAUCCUUAUUUAUUGCAACAUUCCAAAAUAUUAAUUGGGUAGUUUUGACCACACUCACCUCAAUUACAUGACCUAACAAUCUGAUUUUAUCUUAUUUUCCCUUUUAUAUAAUGUGGUGAGAAUUUUCCACAUACUUUUCCACGCAAUUCAACUCAUGUUAAUUUUAUUACUUUGACUUGUGUAGAGACUAGAGAGAGACAAUCAACCAUUUAUACUUUUCUUAAAAAAAAAAAAAAUUGAAACCAAGAAUCAGUAGGUUUUGCACUGAAUAUCUAUAUAAUUUUGAAAUUAUUGUAUGUAUUUUAUCUCGACUUUUAAAACUUAUCAAUUACUACAAACAUCACAAUUUUUUCAUUUUUAAAAAUCAUUUUCACAAUCGAAAAUCUACUCAACUUUAAUGAGGAUAUGGCGUAUCAAAAGAUAACCUAUUAUUUUGGUCCAGAAAGUAAAUUGCAUAAGAGGAAAUUAAUAUUUCUUUCGCAACCGUUAAGGCAAGAAGGCAAAAGCAGAACUAUGAAUUGUAAUGUGUUUUGACUGAAUUAAAGAAAAACCCAUCUCCUGAUUUCAAGAUUUAUUACAAGGCAAUCCGAGAAUUUAACCCACAAAAAUAUCUCCUCAUUUACAUCGACGUUCCUUUAUCCAAUGUACAUCUGCCACGUCACCGAAACCGCCACCGUGGCGCUCAUUCAGCAAACACUAUAUAACUGAGCCGCCCUUUUCCAUUACUCCCUCCGUCUCAGCUCUCCCACCCUCACAUGCAAAACUGUUUGCACAAUUGGGGAAAAAUUAAUUCACUCCUCCUUUACAGAAGCAGAGGAGUUUUUAGCAAUGGUGUCUAAGGUUUGGUGUGUCCUUCUUCUGGUUUCGGUGGCGGUGCUAUGUCCGGCGGCGGCGGCGGCGGACGAGGAGGUUGAAAAGGUGUUGACUUUAGACAGCUCGAAUUUCUCCGACGUAGUGUCCAAGCACGAUUUCAUCGUCGUUGAGUUCUACGCUCCUUGGUAAAUUGAUAGAUUCCGUUAUUACACAGAUUUACUCUCUAAGUUGAUCUUGUAUUUUCUUCUUGUUUUUUUUGUUUGGUUUUUAAAUGUGAGAUCGGUUUUUGAGUAAGCUCGAGCUUUGAUAUUUGAUCUGUACUUUAUGCAUUAUACGUUGUGCUUUUUGACGUUUUUCUUCAUUAGCAAGGGCCUGCACUUGUGUGUUCUGAAUGCAGAUUGGGUUCUGAUAAUUUAAAUGAUUAAUCUGUUAGUUUCUUCCAUUUUCUGUAUGUGAUUUGAGAAACUGCUGGUUUAUGAUGCAUCUGAAAGCAAAAGGCGAAAACUAAAUAUCGUCAUUUCAUUGAACAUAAUCUUUCUUUUAUGUUGGGAUCAAACAUUUUUUGGCUCUCCUUCUGUUCCGUCUAUGAUGCCUCUGAUAGCGAAAAACGAAAACUAAAAAAUUGUCAUUUCAUUGAACAUACUCUUUCUUUUAGGUUGGGAUCUCUAAUAACAUCUUUUGGCUCUCCCAUAGCGGAACAAAAGAAAGUUGGGCAGAAAGAAUGACUUUGUGCAUUAUAUGAAAUAUAGUUUAAAAUGCAAUGUUGACUCAAAAUCUUUAAAAUAACGCAAAAUUACCAUAGCUUUUUAUGCAAAUUGAAACUGUAAAUUCCUCUUUUCUGAAAGGGUUUGUGUCCCAAAGUUACAGCGUUGUUUAGAAAAUUUCCCCAACUUUUGUUUUCUAUUCAAAAACCCAAAAUUUCUAUGUUUUUAAAAAUAUGUGCCGCUAUACAAAAUUCGACGAUGGGAUAGUGGGUCACCUCGCCGGAUUCUUAUGUGGAUUGAUAUUGUUUUAUUGGGAGAGGUGGGAAAAAAAAUUCCACCUAAAAUUACGGCAAGGUGACACAUAUCAUUCCGGAUUUCUUAUAGUGGUAUAUUUUUUGAAAGACGCUGAAAGUUGGGGGAUUUGAAUAGAAAAUGAAAGUUGGGGACAUUUUCUGAAAAACGUUGAAAGUUUGGGACACAAAGCAUGAUUAAGAAAUGUUAUACAUGUACUGUUCAUCUUUUUGCAUAUUUUUUUUUCAAAAUUUAAUACUAUGUGAAACUGGGGCCACCUUUAGAUCAUUACUGAAUUUUAUUUAUUAAUGUACUUGUUAAUAUGUGAAUAAUCCAUAUUUCCUUUGUUAUUUAUGUUAACAGGUGCGGGCACUGUAAGUCUCUGGCUCCAGAGGUAAUCAUUUCUCCCCUUGCUGUUUGCGGAUUCAAGCAAACACACUUCACUUCUUUCUUUUCAAUGUUUGUUUCCUUGUAUUCAAUAUAUAAGCUAUUUCUCUAAUUCAUUCUCUUGUUUACAAUUUUUCUUAGUAUGAAAAAGCUGCAUCCAUAUUAAGCAGCCAUGAACCCCCCAUUUUCCUUGCUAAAGUUGAUGCAAAUGAAGAAGCAAAUAAGGAGCUGGCUACCGAGUAUAAAAUCCAGGGUUUUCCUACCAUUAAAAUCUUAAGAAAUGGUGGAAAAAGUGUCCAAGAUUACAAUGGUCCUCGUCAGGCUGAUGGCAUUGUCGAUUACUUAAAGAAGCAAGCUGGUCCUGCAUCAGCUGAAAUUAAGUCAGCAGAAGAUGCCAGCAGUCUUAUUGAUGAGAAAAAGAUUUUUCUUGUAAGUUAUUUUCUCAUCCUAAUAAACCUGUCUCCUUCUCUUUAAUCCUGAGCCGCUGAUGAAUGUUGUAUUGGAAUACUAGGUUGGAGUGUUUCCGAAGUUCUCUGGGGAGGAAUUUGAGAGCUUCAUGGCUUUAGCUGAUAAGUUGCGCGCUGACUAUGACUUUGGCCAUACCCUUGAUGCUAAACUCCUUCCUCGUGGUGAAUCAGUCAGCAAGCCCACUCUUCGCUUACUUAAGCCUUUUGAUGAACUGUUUGUGGAUUCCCAGGUAUUUCUUGAUCAAGCACUUUCCUUACAUUCUGUUUAAACCUUUUUUUUCAUGCUUCUUUAAGACUUGGUUCAUACGAAGCUAUUCCACUUUAAUUUGUUUAGUUUAAUAAAACUGCGAGUAUACUAUGCUAUUUCAGGACUUCAAUGUCGAGGCAAUGGAGAAAUUUAUUGAAGCAUCUACUGUUCCAACUGUUACCGUUUGGAACAAUGACCCUGAUAACCAUCCAUAUAUUAACAAAUUCUUUGAGGGUCCUGGCUCUAAGGUAUCCCUUAUUGUCGUUUGAUUUUCUGUUUCAUGUUGAUAACUUGUAAUAAUAUAUUUCUUAUAAAUCUGUUGAUUUCUACAGGCCAUGCUAUUUGUAGAUUUCAGCAAAGAGCAGGAUGCUUUCGAGGCAAAGUAUAAGAAUGUGGCAACCCUUUACAAGGGGAAGGGCAUCAGUUUCAUGUUUGGCGAUGUUGAUUCUACUCAAAAUGCAUUCCAGGUAGUCAUGUUUUCCAUAUGUGUGUUCAACUGUUUUUCUCCUGUUCUUUUGAAUGAAUCAGUUUUGACACAAUGUUAUUUCUAUGCAUGACAGUACUUUGGACUUAAGGCAGAACAGGCACCUGUGCUCAUUGUACAGCAAACUGAUGGACAGAAGUAUCUUAAAGCAAACGUAGAGCCUGACCAGAUUGAGUCGUGGGUGAAAGAUUAUCUGGUAGUGAACACGAUUUUAGUAAUUACAUUUUAUUUUGGUGAUUCAAAUAGCUUUUAAUGUUCUUCGUAUUAUAAAGAAUAAAAAAGUAGAGAACAAAUGUCUGUCUUGUCUGGAAGCUUUUGCAAAUAUGGAUUUUAUCUUAUCUGAUUUUUCAUUCAUUGAUGACAGGAAGGACUAGUGAAGCCAUACAUAAGAUCAGAACCUAUUCCUGAAGUAAACGAUGAGCCAGUCAAGGUGGUUGUUCGUCACAGCAUUCAGGACGUUGUUUUCAACUCUGGAAAGAAUGGUAUGUCAACAGGGAUUCUUUGUUUCCCGCUGUUCUAUCUAUCUAUCUAUCUAUCUAUCUAUCUAUCUAUCUAUCUAUCCAUCUAUUACUAUUAUUAUUGUUAUUAUUAUUAUUUGAUAAAAUUAACAAUUAAAUAAGCAAAUUUAAAGAUGCUGAUGCAUUCAUCUAUAAUGUUUUGAAUGUUUCAAACUAAGUUUCGUUACAAGUUGCAGUGAUAACACAUGCUGGUUUGCUAUGGUAGGAAGUCAUGUUAAUAAUAUAUCUCCAUCUUACAGUUCUACUAGAGUUUUAUGCGCCUUGGUGUGGACACUGCAAGAGUCUUGCUCCAAUCUUGGAUGAAGUUGCUGUCUCCUUCGAGAAAGAUCCUGAUGUUCUGAUUGCAAAAUUUGUAAGUUUCCUUCCAAUGUCUUGAUUUGUAUGAAAAAGUUGUGGUGUAACACUUGCUUUAAUUGCCUUCGAGAUACUUGCAGUUCCUGCCAUUUGCCUAUGUUAUAUCCUAUAUAGUUUGCAGAAACAGUUCCAUUGCUUGUACAACUGUUUGUUUGAUCGUAUAUGAACCGGUUCUCAUAAUCAAACCGAACCUUCUCAUUCCUAGAAUUUACUUGUAAUAAGUAUCAUCCAUUUUGUUUCAUGUGUAAUAACUGUAUCUGUUAUCUCAGGAUGCAACUGCGAACGAUGUUCCAAGUGACGCAUUCGAAGUUCAAGGGUUCCCGACACUCUACUUCAGAUCUGCAAGUGGCAACUUGUCACAGUAUGAUGGGGAUAGAACGAAGGAGGACAUCAUCAAUUUCAUCAACAACAACCGGGAUAAGUCUGCCCUGUCAUCCUCAGUCGAAACUGAAUCCGUAGACGUAGAUUCUGCUAAGGACGAGCUUUAAAGAGGUAUGUACAUUCAAAAUCACAUCGAAUUCUCAUUCUCGUAGUCGAACCAACUGUUAUUUCAAUUGACACCAGCUAUUUUUCCUGUGCAGGCUAGUGUCUAACGAGGGAACUUCUGAAGCGGAUUUUAUUUAUAUACCAGUUCCUGCCUUUUUCUACUUUUUAGGUCAAAUAAAAUCUGGUUUUGUUCCAGUUCUGUAGUAGGAUUAUAUUUAUAGUAGCAGAAGAUCCGAUGCAUGUAGCAGAUCGUUAUCAACAUUUGAAUUUUGAGGCUCACUUUUAAUCAAUCUCCAUACUUGUUUAUCCUCCAUUGAAAUAUAAUUUAUUACUCCCAAUUACUGACAGUUACAUAUAUAGAUAAGAAACAAAAGCAGAGCAGAACAACAGCAAGAAGUCGGUUGUAGAUUUAGGCAGCAUCUUCAUCGAGCUUGUGUGUUAACAUUUUGAGAAAGCCUAGCAUCUCGUUUCUUGCCCCAUUCAUGAAUCCUCAAAUGCAGAGCGGCAGCAGCGAUGAGGUAAUGCACAGCCUGCAUCGGAGUGAGAAUAUCGAUCACCUUCCUGAGCGUGUUGAGUCUCAGCUGAUCCGCCAUGUGAAGUAAUCCAACCAAGGCAUCUUGCUUGGGGGCGAGGGUGGCAUCGACCCUGCUCUGCCCAACGUCCACGUCCAUGGCCUCGGCCUCCGUCAUGGCAUGCGCCAGCUCCACCAUGGACGCAUCCGCCACCGUCUCCUGCUGCUCCGCCAGCUUCUCCGUGAUCUCCUGCUCCUUCCGUAUGGUCUCCUUCUGCAGCACGUCCACCUGCUCCAGCUGGGUCGCGGACAGGUCGCCCAGGUCGCCCGUGCUGAGCCCUUGCAUGAGCUCCUGGAGCCUGGCCUCAAGCUGCAGCCCGGACUUGGAGUAGAGCAGGUGGAAGGCCAUGCUUGGGCGCCACCCUCCCACCCAGAGGAAGGCGUCUUCGAGGCUGCUCCGCCACGAGGGGCUCAGCAUGGCAAGAAUGUCCGUCUUGCCCCACCGCCCCUUGGCCCUAUAGUAAUGCUCGUAAUGCUGGACCACGCGCUUCACCAGGGGCCGUAGCACCCCCCGGUCCGGGGCCGCCUCCUCCUCCUUGGAGGCGGACACGAGUUCUUCGAGGUGCUGAUUCUGUUCUGCGAUCCAGCGCUCGAAGAAUUUCUCGAAAGAGUCGCCUUCACGGAGACCGCUUCGAAUUGUAUGUCUCAAGUAUGUGAGGCUGUCGGGCGGGGACGUCGACAUGGUGUGAGGAACUAGAGCUUGGGUUGAGUGAGGAGUGGAACUAAUCAACGUUUUUAUACUAAAAUCUUGCAGCUGGGUAUGUGGUUGUAAUUAAGGUGUUUAAUUAUUAUUUUUUUUCAAAAAUAUAAUACAGCUGUUAAUAUUAUAGUUGUUUGAAAUAAAUAUAAUAAUAUAGGGAGGGGCGGGUGUGUGUUGAGUUCGGUGUAUCUUGAAAUCUGAGUGCGAAAAUAGACGUAGUUUGGAAAUUAUUAGGUGAUGUGAUGAGGUAAUGUGCAGUGCAAGUUGCACAUAUGCUCUAGCUUUAUUAGUCGGUGCGCUUGACGUCGGUAAACAAAACAAUUACUAUAACCUCAAACGGAGCUCCACUAUCUUUUUUACUCUUCAUUUAUCUCAUACCUGCAACCAUAAAUUUUAAAUUCCGUAACUAACUCUAAACAUUUAAUAUGUUAUCAUAAUUUCUUUUUUGGUGUAUUCACAAAAAAAUUACUAUUAUUUUUAUUUAUAAUAAUAUGGUCGUGGAACCUUUAUCUCGUUAAUAAUUUCACUCAUAUUUUAUUAAAAUAUGUGUUGUUUACAAUGUGAUAAGUUUUUUAUGAAUGAAAGAAGUACUAUAAUAUAAUUUGGAGGAGCAAAACACAAAUACUUGUGUGUGAUUAGUCGCAUAUUAUAUAAUAUAUAAAAGAGGAGUUUUUCCCUCGACACUUAGUUAGUAAAAACACAAUACUUUGUGAAAAAGUUUCAUAAAAAAUGCAAAAAAGAUGUGUCCAAUGGAUACAACAUUGUAUUCAAUCUUUAUAGAUUCUAGGUUUGAACUUUAGCGCGGUGCAUUUUUUGCGCGCUUUAUCUAUUUUUUUCUAUAUUUUCUUUUAAUGUAUCUAUAUUUUUAUGAAUUAUUUUUGCUUAACAAUAAGGUACUUAUUUACAUAGCUUCGUCUUAUGAAAGGUCUGUUCGUCAAUUAGAUUAUACUAUUAGUGUUGAAUUCUUAGUACCUCAUCUUUUCUUCUCUUUUGAUUGAAAACUCUUUUGAAUAGUUGGCUGAAAAAGUUUAUGUUAAUAUACUAUUGUUGCAUCGUUAAUAUAAAAGAAAAUUACAAGGGUCCAUUUUCUAGUUUUUGUUUAGGGUCCUACGAAAUACAGGAUCAGUCCUGAUAAUAAUAAUAAUAAUAAUAAUAAUAAUAAUAAUAAUAAUAAUAAUAAUAAUAAUAAUACAUACUUAAUUAUCACAACAUUUUUGUGUGAAAAGUAUGCAUUAAAAAUAAGACUUUUCUUAAUAUUUUGAAAAUUAAAAAAAAAGACAUUUUUUGAAUUAUUCAAUUCAGUUUGGCAUUUUCCGAAAUCUGCAUUUAAAGUUAGAACUGAAUUAAAUAUAUAAAAUUAUUAAUUUUAUAUAUAUUUAAUUCAAUCCUAACUUUGAAUAAAAUAAUAAAAAAAGUUGGAUUUUUUUGAUUCAGUUCGAUUCUGAUGAGUAUAAAAUUUCAACCAAUUCAAUGGAUCUUUAUGUGAAGGAUUCCGCCAUGCUUCUUACUUCACCUUUAAAAAGGUUGUGUUUGACAACCUUCAAACGCAGAUUUUGCACAUGAAGCUUGCCUUCAAUUUUGUCGUUACUCAUAUUUAUUCUUUUUCUGCGGCUCUAUUUAUAGGUAAUGACAUUUCACCAUAUUAAAUCUCAACUUGGGCCGCGCUUAUGCUAUUAUAUAACCACUUUUUGAAACUAUAGAAGCUAUCUGACAAAUAAUUAUGUUAUACAAAUAAUUUUCUAAAAAACUUACUUCGAUGCUACGCAAGGCCAAACUGCAAUAGAUGUCGUACAUGAGUUUUAAAAAUUGAAUAAACAUAUCAACUCAUUCUCGAACCAAAUUUUGGAUACAUUUCUUACCUGUUGCAUUUUCAAAAUUUCACAAACGCUCCCUCCAUCCACGAAAUAUUGCCCUACUUAAAUAUUAUUUUUGGUCCACAAACCUUUUUUUUUUUACCAUCAAUUACCACCGAUGGAUCCACCCAUUUCAAUUACCCACACAAAUUUUUCCCACUAAUCCAUCACUAGUAACCUAAACCCUAUUAUACAAAUUUAGUUAACAAUUCAACUUCACAACCACGUGAAGUGGUGAGAUGGGAAGGCGGGUUGCUCCAUCAUGUCGAUAUCUUCGGCCAAAGGUGGUGACCACAUAUAUUCAAGGUUUAAUGUAGGAGGUAUGUUAAAAAAGAUGCUGAGCUCUGUAACCCAAUAUUCUUCUAACUUAACUAGAAUAUGCAUCUGAACCAACUUUACAGGUACGUCUCAAAAGAAAAAAAAGAUAAAUAAAUUUACAGGUACAUGAACCAUAAGAUCAAACUUGAUAGACAAUAACCGUGAAAUGAGGAAUUAAUAAAAAUCAAAACUGGUGAUGGCAGAGUAAGGCCAAGGGACCAGCAGCAAGCAACUACCUCUCUCCCAGCUGCACAAAAUUAGAGAAACCCUAAGCACUACAAAACACGUAAAAAUCAAAAUGAACGCGUAUCUUGAACUCAUACAGCAGCUUAACCUGCUAACUCCAUAAUCAGUUGCAAUGUUUGACUCACUGAUGAAACAAAGCUCAAGAUUAACAGCUGUACAAUGAAUGAGCAAAUCAGAAUUUUCUCCACUUCUCAAAAUCAACUAUCUCAAAUAAAAGAAUUUCGCAGCGGUAAUUUUUUUAGCAAACCUCCUCAAAAGUAAUUGUUACUAAAUAUGUCAUAUCUAAUGAAUCUUGGAAAACUAUCCGUCAAAACAUUAAAAAUAGCUACCAAGACUGCACAAUGGCACUGACUCCACUUUUCCAAGUGGAUUUUAGAGAGAAAAAAACAUAUCUAGAAUAAAACUGAAAAGCUGCAAGCAAUAUUACCUCAAAAGCGCUUUUUCUGCUGUGGAGGGUAUCCAGUCAUUCCCAUCCCAGGAUCUUUCCUUCUCAUCUAUUAUUAUUAAUUAAAAAAAAAAAAAAAAGAACUGUUCAAGGAAGGAACAGAAACUAUCAUAAACAUUCAGCAUUAUUAUUGCCUAAACACCACAAACCUGCUGCUGUUGGUGAGCCUGGGCAGAAACACCCCGUUGCAUAGGGAUACCACCAGGAUUUACUCCACCUCCAAUACCCGCCUGAGAAGCAAGAUUGUAAGCAGGGAUUCCUGGAGGUUGCAUCCGCUGCAUGCCUACCAUGGGCAUUGGCCGAGGUAUUGAUCUAUUUUGCAUUACAUGGGCACCUGCCAUCGACCCAGACAUAGUAUUCCCAGAAGAUACCUAAUAAAAGAAAACCACAAAAGCCUCCAUGGGAUGAGAUGCAAAUGAUCAAGACAAAAUAAGAUUGCUACAUGAUAGCGAGUGCCAUCCUUGGAGAGUUUACACACGUGGAACGCAUGUGGUGGUUGAUUAUUAAGUAUUUCUGGAUUAAUUGUUAGUUUUAUCAUUCAAUUAGUUGAGUCAAGCCCAACGCGUGGAUGAGCUUUAGAUAUUAUGGUUUUAUUAUUUAUGGUUGAGUAAUAGCUAGUUCUGGUUUUUAUUGGAUAACUGAAGAAGUUUUCCAUAGGCCUCUGGGGAGGAGUUAUUUAUUCAGUUACAUAUUGGUUUUCCUUAUCAAUCAUCUUUACUCUAUCACUACAUGGUUAAUAUAACCAAAAGAAUUUUUGGUUAGAUAGAAAAAAAGGUUACUAGGCUGGACCUUUUUAUGCAUUACUCACGAGAUGAUUCAGUUCCUAGUACAUGGUAUUCCUUGUAUGUCCUUGUAUUAUGAUGAUUUCAUCCUCCUAAUUUUGUUUAUGUUAUCUGAUUCUAGACAAGAAUAUUGAUACCCGAAUCUUUUAUAUUUGGGUAAAAAGUAAAACAGGUCAAUGUCUCAUUAACUAUUGAGUUCAAUUAUGAAGUUUAACGAAAGAGGAAAAAUCUUUCACUUAUCCAAUGAGCAUUCCCGAUAAUAGCAACUUAAUCCUACAAAAAUAGGUUAAGAUACUACCAUACGCCUCACUCACCGGAUGAUUAUUUCCAUGUAUAUGGUGCUCGUUAAAUGUCCUUGUAAAGAAUAUUGAGACUGGAAACUUUUGAAUUGAGAAACAAAGUAAAAUAGACCAUUCUUAUCAUCUAUGAUUUUAAUGAGUAGUAGAAAUACGGCUCUUCCCACAUAUUAUCACUUAAUCCAAGAUUUAGAUCGCCUUACGGCCCUUACCAAUAUUCAUUAAAUUGUAAACAAUUAUUUUCCACUUUAAUUCUAACUGAUAAAGAGUCAGAAUUACCAUUUCGGAGUUUAAAUUCAAAAAGAAAUCUAGGAUGUCAUCAUCAAAUCUUAAGAGUUAAUGGACAAGAUAAACAAUGCAGUCAAUCUCCGUCGUAGGUCUAAUUAGCCCCUGACAAACGUUUUUCAGGACUUAGUUGCCAAAAUAAACAUUAGGAAUCGCCUCUUGGUGUAAACAUUGGGGAGGGAAGUAUUUGCACCUUUUCCCUUUUAUAACAGUCACAACACAUCAAAUUACAUAAAACCAAUUAUACGAGUCUUGUAAGUUAGUUAACAUAAAAGAAUGCAAGGACAAAAAAGUAGCUGCUAAUUAUGUACUAAUUAUUAAAAAUAUCUCAUGUUUCCACAUUGUUGAACAUUUCAAACAGCUUGCAUUACUGUUUAUUAAAAAGACAUUGUUGCUUUUAAAGUUUAAUAAUACCAUUAUGUUUGCUGUUUAGAAUUUGCAUCAUCCUCUUUACUCUAACACAUCGGGUUUGGGGUUAUAAUAAACUCGCCUGGAAUGUGGAUUAUUAUAAUUUCCAAAUGACAACAAGAAAACAAUUCUUUCCCAUGUUUGAAACAUGAUAUUCCAUGAGAUAUUUUCACCUUAUAAAAAAUAUUUGUAUUUAUAUUUUAUUCAACGACAUGGGGGUAAGAAGGCAUUUGUAGACGUGUAAUUAGCUGAUAGAUUAUUGAUAUCCAGAAUUAGGAUAGACUAAAAGCUGCUGCAGCAGGUAUAUAGCAAAAACAUGAUCAAGGCUCAUUCAACUUUUGCAACAAACUGAAAACCAUUAACCAUCACCAACAUAUAGUACUCUGCUGGAUUAGCAUCAAUGUUGAAGAAACACCGAAUUAAACGUUAAAAGAACAGCAACCAUCUGGGGAACUUACCGGUUGAGAGGGUUGGAGACUGAUGGUUCCCUCAAUAUCAGUGCUUGUGUCCACAGGCCGAGUUGGGUAAUUCACAACUUUCUCUCCUGGUUGUGGAGGUAACAAUGCACUGGCACAAUUUAUAUAUCAACGUACAUAUUAGUACAAAAAUGUAUCAUUAAACAUAAAGUGCUUAGAAAGAGAAACAUACUUGCAACCCGGCAAAGGUUCCAUGCGAAAAUAUCUGCAGACCAGGGAAAAUAAAAAACUAAUUGGAUUACUAGGUAAAUGUGAAAUUGAUGAGCCUUCAAAACUACCGACACAUUACUGUAUGAAUGAAGCAGAACAUUUUUUUUGGUAUAAAAUAUGAAUUAAGAGGUUAAAAGAAAAAGAAAAAAAGAUAAAAGGCAUGUAAAAUGGAAGGAUUAUGUGAAACUAUGGGAAUAUCCAUGAAGCUUUAGGCAGUAACAUCUAAAAACUUGAUUUGUAUGACGAAGCCCACAAAUGACCAUAAUUACAUAUCUGAAACUCCUUAAGAAAACAUUGAUCAGUAUGCUAACAGUAACACAAUUAACAACUAAUUAACUGGCGCUUAAAAAAAACAAAUCAACUAAUUAACUGGAAUGACUAGGCAUCAAUUUUGGAAGAUGGAAUCCUAAAGUUUCCAGUCAAGAAGUUACAGGCCACACUUAAACUUGAGAAGGCAUGAGGCAAAGGAAUAAUUCUCUUUUCCUGACAUAGGAUCAUGUAGCAGGCUUGUGGUCAUCAAUCAUGAAUGGCUGAAUUAAGUGAUGAACUUGCAUAUUAUAGGUCAGACAACCCAAGAUAGCAUGAGAAAAAUCGAUGACAACACAAGUCUUUCAAGAACCAGAAAAGCAUAAAUCCAUCAUUCAGUUCAAAACCUCUUUAUGAAACAGAACAUAUGCAUAAAGAACACAAAGAUGAGGAAGCAAUAGCUGCUACAGAUUGGGAAACAAAUUCCAAUAUAUGUAAAAGCAGUCAUUCAUUCAGCCACCCCUACCAUAAUGAAGCCACAAAUAAAGCAUAUAGAUAAGUGAAUGAAAAAGAUCAUCUGAGAAAGGGGGAGAGCCAACAACUCAGUUACAUACUCAUGCUCAAGAGCUUGUGUGGCUGUUAUUCUUUUUCUGGGAUCAUACCUGUAAGUAAAAAUCAGACACGGAUUGCAUGUGAGACAAAAACAAAAACAAUAAUAUGCACAAGUUACUAAGGAAACUGCGAGGUUUGAACCAAUAUUAUCGAUUACAUAAUUCAAAUACAGCAACGGGCAAGAUGUCCGCCCAAUCACAAAACAGAGAGAAUCCAUUCAGAAUGCCAAACCUCCAAUCUCUAAGAAUGCCUCUCACAAGAGAAACUUUAAACUCUCCUUUCUUGGAAGUUUACACUCCACAUUGCUACAUUUAAACUUCCCCAUAGAUCAUCCAAUUAUUCCUCCAAAAUCUUCCAAAAUUAUCCUAUUUCGUGCUAACCAAAUGGAUUAGAAGAAUGCACUGGCCAUUACUCUCAUAAAAUGCCUUCUUUUGCUUACAUGCUUACAAGCACUUGAUUUUAUAACUGUAUAUGCUACAAUUAUUGUCAAUCAACACCAAUUCAGAGGACUAAUUACUACUCCCUCAGUCCCACAAGAGUGUGCAUCACUUUUGGUGGCACGGGUUUUAAUAAAAUCUUAGAUGAGUGUAUUGGGAGUUGAAAAAGUGGUGGGGUAGUGUCCAAAAAUGGCAAAUGCCCACACUUGUAGGACAUCCCAAAAUAGAAAUAAGGGCACUCUUAUGGGACGGAGGGAGUGUAAAGAAGCAUAUUACUAGAUGGAAGCAAGCAAUCCCAUUAGAAUCUCUUAACUGACAGUGACACUUUAACGCACCACUAAGGACAUGCAUAAUUGGGGAAAGAUAAUAAAACCCAUACUUGCAUGAAUUUAACUAUAAUCACAUACUCAAGCAUCUUUGACAGAAGGUCAUAUGCUGGAUUUUUCGGAGGUAGAUGGACUACAUUGUAAAGUCCAGCAUUAUUGCUGCACAGAUAAAAUUAAAUAAAAUGAGUAAAUUCAGUCAACUACAUACUACACAAACUAGAGGUCCUCCAGAACAUCAAUAACAGUUGAUGGACAAUCUAUAGAUAUCAAGAAACAGGAGUAAAGAAAAGCUAACUAUGUACGCCCUUGAAUGUGUUGCGAAUCAGACUGCCAAUGUGGAAGAUUUACAAGAGUCGGCCACUUUUCUGGCGUGGGAUGGCCUAAAGCCACAAGCAGUUGUCAGCAAUUAUACAAAUAAAAAUCACAAAAAGUGGAAUCAUCAAAAGAACAUUCUCACCUAGAACCUUAAAUAUUCUAUCAAGUUGGUCAAGCUGCAUCAUUAGAAGAAAUUUCAGAAAACAUACCCAGAAAAAACACCAAGAGAAAUACAAGCCGCAUACCUGGUGCAAGAUUAAUACCAGAAAACGCUAUAGAAAAGAUAAAAAUCAUACCUGAAAUGGGUUUGGUGUCCCUUUGACUUCUUGCCCUUGAAAUAGAGGCUUCAGAGUGAGAAGCUCUGCAAAAAUGCAGCCGACAGCCCACAUGUCUUCCACAUAAAUUAGGAAGGCCACAAAUUAGCAAAUGAAAUAACUAUUGAUCUUGAAAUUUUCUCUUUAACAAUAUAGAAUGGAAAUAUGGCUAUCAUGAUUUGACUUAAAAUGCCUGCAAUAAUGUAUAUAAAAAUAUAUAAUAACUAUUUAUAUAUAUAUAUACACAUGUAUAUAUACAUAUAGAGAGAGAGAAAUGAUAUCCAAAUGGAUCUUACCUACAGCACUCGUAUAGUGUUUAGCUCCAAGGAGUAACUCAGGCGCACGAUACCAAAUGGUCACUACAACCUACAGUUCAUAAAUUAAAUGACAAAUUAUUAUCAAUAUAGCAACUCAAGCAGGCAUAUAUGGACUUAGGACUAAAAGAGGGUCUCAUCCAAAUAUGACAGAAUUCAUAUCUUUCCAAGUUUGUCAUAUUUUCAUUCUCAAAGUUAGAUGUUUUACAUAAAGCUCACCAACCAUGUUGUUUAAAGAAUUGUAUGAGAUAUUACAAAAAAAUGUGGAGAAAGAUUUAAUGUAGAACAGUUUACAAACUGCAAUAACAAAUAAUGCUAGAAGAAGACAUGGGUUUGGGAAGCAUGCCUAAAACAGAAAAUUGAGGAAGAAUCUCUUACCCCAUUUUCAGAUAGUGGCUUUAAGGGUGCUUGGUAAAUUCUUGCAAGGCCAAAAUCAGCAAUUUUCACCACUCCAUGUUCUUCCCCAUCACCCAUUACCUGGUUAGCAGAAGUUGAAGAUAAAUCGAAAGGAAGAGCUUGUGUCACUAUCAAUAGGAAAUUGCACCAAUAUAAGGGCACGUAAGGAAAUUAAACUAUAUAAACAUAACAAGAGGGACAAUGCCAACAAAAGUUAGAAUAAAAUAAAAGCGUUUUACCAAGAUAUUCGAUGGCUUUAGAUCCCGGUGAACAAUCCAAUUACUGCACAGAUUUUUUAUUGCAGGUGUUAACUGAGGUCUAUUUCAAACUUGGAUUGACAAGAAAAACUAGGGAAAAAUAUACCUAAAAUUGCAUGUAAGAUUCUAGUUUGGCGGAAACAAAGAGAUCACAUAUUAUCAUUAUUAUACUGACUAAGCAAAAGAUAGAGAAAACAUAUGCACAACCUGUGAAGAUAGUUUAGCCCAUUAAGAAGCUGCCACAAAAUUGACUUAAUGGUGUAUUGGUUGAUAGAUUGGUUGACCUUGUCCCUGUGAUGUCUGAUGAUUUCCUGGCACGAUCCACAAGACGUCAAUCAUUUAUGCAGCAGUCAGAUUGAUGGAACAUAAAUAAGUUCAUAGAGCUCUAUCUCAGUAGUCAGUCCAACGCAAAACAUGAAUGAGUUAGACUGCAUGCAUGAUCACAAAAGUCAUGAUUAAGAAAUUUACUCACAUAAAGGUCGUGCUCAGCGUAGUCAAAAGCCAGAUAAAGCGACAUGUCUGUGUGAUUGAUGUGCACAUUUGCAAGCUUUACCACGUUCUCAUGAGAAAUCUCCCUAAGCAACUGAGGAAAAGCACAAUUAACACAAACUUCAGGCAGAGGGCAAUGGUGAGAGAAGAGUGAAUCAAGAAUAGGUAAAGUCAUGAGAAAAUUUAUUAACAUGUUAUAUUCUAGAAUUGGAACACAAAGAAUGAGAAAAUAAGUAAAGAAAGUGAGGAAUCUUGAAGAUUAUUUUUUUGCUUAGCACAAAUAUCUGUGUUUACCAGGCAGAACAUGAAUUAGCGAAAGAAUUUCUCAUUUCAUGUUUCUUUGUCAAUCGUAAAUGAAAGGAAAGAUAAAGAAAAAAUGGCCAAACUACAGAACUGCAACAUGAUAAAUAAAGAAACGUAGAGAAAGGAUGACAAAACACAAAUAUCAAACUCUUCGUUUCUUCCUUCUCCAAUGGCUUAUUUAACAGUUAAAGUGUAUACUCCACCAAAAUCAGUAUACACUCAAACAGAAAACUAAACAAAAUGGUUGCCCUCAUUCAAUUCAUCCCAAGAAAGAAAACAGAACCCCCUUGAAACAGACGAGAACCAACACCGCAGUUAAGACAAACACACGCACUGCUAAUUAAGGGCAUAAUACAGGACAAGAAGGUCAGAAACAUUGAAUUCGGAGGGUGUAAUUUCACCAUGAUUUCUCGAAUUGCGGUGGGAGAGACGCCGUCUCCGUCCUUGGACUGCUUGAACUUCUUGAUGGCUAUGGAUUUGGAACGGUUGGACUUUAUCUUGGCCAAGAAAACAAGGCCAUAGGUUCCUUCCCCGAUUUUGCCGAUCACGUCGUACUGCUCCAGCCACUCCGGCUUGCUACUGCUGUUGCUUCCCGAAUUGCUCACUCUUCCGUCCCCCAUAUACGCGAUUCAAUUACUUUUUUUCUUAUUGUGUUGCGGUAUGUGAUGGUUAUGUUUCAGCACCUGAAAUUGAAACUGAAAUUUUUGGGGAAAACCAUCUCCGAUCCAAGCUUUGGCAAUGGCCGGGAAAGAAGAGUAUUUACGUCUAUUUAUACAAUUGAAACCGCUGUAUGUCGCGUUCGCGUUUCUAUCCGCAUCACUUCCUUAGUCGCAAUUCAGAUUUUUAGUCUCAUGUGUUUACUCACAAACUUCAAAUCAUACUUAAUACUUACUACGUGCUAAUGUGUAAAAAAUAAAAUGCCUAAUCUAGUAAUGGAGCUGGUUUGGUGGAUGACUGAUGAGAUACAUAAAAUUAAUAUGAUUCGAGGAUGCUUGAAUAAUUUAUCAAACUCUGAGGUGAACAAGAUGACACAGAUGGUUAACAAGAUGACCUAGCACUUGAACAAGUACAAACAAUUCUACGAAGAGGACAUGACAAGAACCGAGUCCAUGGUAAUAGAAAAAUGGAUCGUGCUAAAAAACAACUAAUCUUUCAAGUUCCAGAUAAGAUGAUAUUCAAGAGCCAGUUACAAUCUUUUAAGCUCAAGAUAGUGACACUUAAAAGAUAAUCAAUACUAUAACAUUUCAAGCUUCAUACAAGAUUAUGUUAAGAAGUUCGAUAUUCAAGAGUCAAAUAUUAUCUUCCGAGCUCUAGAUGAUAAUUUGGUCUUACAGGGUUUAGAUGAGAUGAUGCUCAAAUGGCAGAUGUGAUCUUAAAUUAAUUCGUAUUUGUCAAUUUGAAAAAGUUGUACAAAAUUAAUAAAUAUUGUCUACAUACGAUUAACAAUAGAUGCGGUACAUCAAUCCCUCCAUCAUAUUUUCCAUAGAAUUUAUAUAUUUUUUCUUAUUAUUUUUAAUCUAAAAUCCUUCGAUCUCGCAUUUAUCUUUUUUUAAACUUUAUCAAAUAAAAUUUUAUGUGAAAUGAUACUUUUAUUAUUUUAACUAAACUUUGAGAUUUAAUCAGCAAAAAUAACCAUGUCACAUCAAAUUAAAUUAAUUAAAAUAAUAAUUUAUAUACAAAUAACUUUAUUAUAUAAAGUAAUUUAAAUUAUGACACAAAGUCUGAGGGGUUACACGAGUUAUGAAAUACUAGUAACAUUUAUAAUUGGUAGCACCAACAUGUUCAUCCUAUAUAGGGAUCCAAGGCCGCAGCUCCGAAUUCCUUGCAGCUCGUACCAUGCAACAGCAGCGACGAGCUAAACCCUAGCUUCGAGGCAGGCACAUCAAACUCCAGCAGAUGAUUCUCCAGCUGAUAACCCGCCACAACUAUCGACGUCGUAGGCCCUGUUGUAUUCGGCUCCUCCUCCACGAACGCCAGGCACAUCACGCCCUUCCCAACUCUCACCAUCGUGUUCCACCCAUAAAACCGCCAGUACACCUUCUUCCUCUGCAGAAUCAGAUCCACAGUCGGCACGUCGCCUCCACUCUUGAUCGUCUUCGAAUCGAAGCAAGCCCCGAACGGAGCCACGGACGCCACUCUCUUCAUCCCCUUGCCUGCAGCGGCCUUCACGAACUCCUCCACCAGAGCUGCGUAGAUCGAUCCGUGCAGGCUCGUAUACGCCCUCACCGUUCGUAAGCUCGUGCCUCCUUCUCCGGUCACCUUGUCGAUCGACAGCAGAGUUUUGUUCAAGGCGAGAGCCGUUCCGCCAACUCUGAUGGACUUGACGCCGAUGAAAUACGCGAUGGAGAGAUUGCCGAUCACUUGGUCGCCAAAGCCUUUCCAUGGAUUUCUGAGCAAGGGCGUGGUCCACAUUGAUUCCGAGAUCCGUCGGAAAGGUCCUCUGUAGACCUCCUGGCCGGCGAUCAUGUACCCGUUGCCGCCCGAAGGCGGGAUGCAGAGGGCCAGCUUGUUGCGGAUUUUGAAAGCGGAUGAAAGCUGCGACUGGAGCGAAAGCCUAGUUCGGCCUAGGGCGAGGAGGCCCGCCGUGGGGGUUGCGAGGCCUUGGCUUAAGAUGGGGUCCGAGUAUUGGAAGGGGAAAUUUAGCUUAUAUUGGGUGCCGCGUGUCGACAAGGCCAGCAUGACGUCCGUGCUUAGGCCGCUGUAGCCAUUGGUGCCGGUGAAGGGGUUGAGGGCCCAGUCGGCGCAUGUGUUGUUGGAGCAUCCCGGCGCCGCUGCCGAGAAGCAGAAGACACAACCGACUCCAUUGGCAAUGCGGCACUGGUUGGUGCCGCAGAGGAUGGGGCGGUAGGUGUUGGCGGCGGAGAAGUAGUCGAGGGAGUUGAACCAUAGGAAAUUGCCACCGAGAUCGAUCCCCACGUUGAGUGUGGUGGCGUUGGAGCCUAGUUGGAUAGUUGUGUAGUAUUGGUUGGUUGUGCCAUCUUUUCUUAUUGGGAAAUGAAGGCUUUAGGGGAUGUUAGAGCAUUUGAAAACAAGGAUGAAAGGAGCAACGAGGAAAUUAUCAAGACCGGAACACUAGGGGAAGCCAUCAUGGUUGUAUUGUGGGUGAAGCUCUUGGAAUGGAUGCAUGUUUAUUUAUUAAGUUUUGGAAUAGGAUGCCAGCUAAUCAGCAUUAUAUUUCAAAUCAUAUUGUCAGGUUGGUCCCCAGCUGAAUCCGUUGUUUAUUUCUCCACUUACGUAUAUUUAAGUAAUACAAUGAAUAGUGAUAGUUCUUUUGCAUUCUGUAUGCUUUCAAUGAAAUUAUGAAACACUAACCAAUUAUAACCAAGAACGCACUACAAUAUUAAUACAUUUGUGCUUAUCAUCACAAUCCCACAAACCGAUCAUAAACACACAACCCCACACAUAGAGUCCAACCUAGGCAGCUCCAAACCGGUUGCANAAGAAAGAAAACAGAACCCCCUUGAAACAGACGAGAACAAACACCGCAGUUAAGACAAACACACGCACUGCUAAUUAAGGGCAUAAUACAGGACAAGAAGGUCAGAAACAUUGAAUUCGGAGGGCGUAAUUUCACCAUGAUUUCUCGAAUUGCGGUGGGAGAGACGCCGUCACCGUCCUUGGACUGCUUGAACUUCUUGAUGGCUAUGGAUUUGGAACGGUUGGACUUUAUCUUGGCCAAGAAAACAAGGCCAUAGGUUCCUUCCCCGAUUUUGCCGAUCACGUCGUACUGCUCCAGCCACUCCGGCUUGCUACUGCUGUUGCUUCCCGAAUUGCUCACUCUUCCGUCCCCCAUAUACGCGAUUCAAUUACUUUUUUUCUUAUUGUGUUGCGGUAUGUGAUGGUUAUGUUUCAGCACCUGAAAUUGAAACUGAAAUUUUUGGGGAAAACCAUCUCCGAUCCAAGCUUUGGCAAUGGCCGGGAAAGAAGAGUAUUUACGUCUAUUUAUACAAUUGAAACCGCUGUAUGUCGCGUUCGCGUUUCUAUCCGCAUCACUUCCUUAGUCGCAAUUCAGAUUUUUAGUCUCAUGUGUUUACUCACAAACUUCAAAUCAUACUUAAUACUUACUACGUGCUAAUGUGUAAAAAAUAAAAAUGCCCAAUCUAGUAAUGGAGCUGGUUUGGUGGAUGACUGAUGAGAUACAUAAAAUUAAUAAGAUUCGAGGAUGCUUGAAUAAUUUAUCAAACUUUGAGGUGAACAAGAUGGCCUAGCACUUGAACAAGUACAAACGAUUCUACCAAGAGGGCAUGACAAGAACCGAGUCCAUGGUAAUAGAAAAAUGGAUCGUACUAAAAAACAAUUAAUCUUUUAAGUUCCAGAUAAGAUAAUAUUCAAUAGCAAGUUACAAUCUUUUAAGCUCAAGAUAAUGAUACUUAAAAGAUAAUCAAUACUAUAACAUUUCAAGUUUCAUACAAGAUGAUGCUAAGAAGUUCGAUAUUCAAGAGUCAAAUAUUAUCUUCCGAGCUCUAGAUGAUAAUUUGGUCUUACAAGGUUUAGAUGAGAUGAUGCUCAAAUUGUCAGAUGUGAUCUUAAAUUAAUUCGUAUUUGCCAAUUUGUAAAAAAGUUGUACAAAAUUAAUAAAAUAUUGUCUACAUACGAUUAACAAUAGAUGCGGUACAUCAAUCCCUCCAUCAUAUUUUCCAUAGAAUUUAUAUAUUUUUUCUUAUUAUUUUUAAUCUAAAAUCUUCAAUCUCACAUUUAUCUUUUUUUUAAACUUCAUCAAAUAAAAGUUUAUAUGAAAUGAUACUUUUAUUAUUUCAACUAAACUUUGAGAUUUAAUUAGCAAAAAUAACCGUGUGACAUCAAAUUAAAAUAAUAAUUUAUAUACAAAUAACUUUAUUAUAUAAAGUAAUUUAAAUUAGGACACAAAGUCUGACGGGUUACACGAGUUAUGAAAUAGUAGUAACAUUUAUUAUACUAAUUGGUAGCACCAACAUCUUCAUCCUAUAUAGGGAUCCAAGGCCGCAGCUCCGAAUUCCUUGCAGCUCGUACCAUGCAACAGCAGCGACGAGCUAAACCCUAGCUUCGAGGCAGGCACAUCAAACUCCAGCAGAUGAUUCUCCAGCUGAUAGCCCGCCACAACUAUCGACGUCGUAGGCCCUGUUGUAUUCGGCUCCCCCUCCACGAACGCCAGGCACAUCACGCCCUUCCCAACUCUCACCAUCGAGUUCCACCCAUAAAACCGCCAGUACACCUUCUUCCUCUGCAGAAUCAGAUCCACAGUCGGCACGUCGCCUCCACUCUUGAUCGUCUUCGAAUCGAAGCAAGCCCCGAACGGAGCCACGGACGCCACUCUCUUCAUCCCCUUGCCUGCAGCGGCCUUCACGAACUCCUCCACCAGGGCUGCGUAGAUCGAUCCGUGCAGGCUCGUAUACGCCCUCGCCGUUCGUAAGCUCGUGCCUCCUUCUCCGGUCACCUUGUCGAUCGACAGCAGAGUUUUAUUCAAGGCGAGAGACGUUCCGCCAACUCUGAUGGACUUGACGCCGAUGAAAUACGUGUUGGAGAGAUUGCCGAUCACUUCGUCGCCAAAGCCUUUCCAUGGAUUUCUGAGCAAGGGCGUGGUCCACAUUGAUUCCGAGAUCCGUCGGAAAGGUUCUCUGUAAACCUCCUGGCCGGCGAUCAUGUACCCGUUGCCGCCCGAAGGCGGGAUGCAGAGGGCCAGCUUGUUGCGGAUUUUGAAAGCGGAUGAAAGCUGUGAUUGGAGCGAAAGCCUAGUUCGGCCUAGGGCGAGGAGGCCCGCCGUGAGGGUUGCGAGGCCUUGGCUUAAGAUGGGGUCCGAGUAUUGGAAGGGGAAAUUUAGCUUAUAUUGGGUGCCGCGUGUCGACAAGGCCAGCAUGACGUCCGUGCUUAGGCCGCUGUAGCCAGUGGUGCCAGUGAAGGGGUUGAGGGCCCAGUCGGCGCAUGUGUUGUUGGAGCAUCCGGGGACCGGAGGCAAGAAGCAGAAGACACAGCCGAUUGUGUCAGCAAUCUGGCACUGUUUGGUGCCGCAGAGGAUGGGGCGGUAGGAGUCGGCGGCGGAGAAGUAAUCGAGGGAGUUGAACCAUAGGAAAUUGCCGCCGAGAUCGAUCCCCACGUUCAGUGUGGUGGCGUUGGAGCCUAUUUGGAUAGUCGUGUAGUAUUGGUUGGUUGUGCCAUCUUUUCUGAUUGGGAAAAUGAAGGCUUUAGGGGAUGUUAGAGCAUUUGAAAACAAGGAUGAAAGGAGCAACGAGGAAAUCAUCAAGAUCGGAACACUAGGGGAAGCCAUUAUGGUUGUAUUGUGAGUGAAGCUCUUGGAAUGGAUGCAUGUUUAUGUAUUCAGUUUUGGAAUAGGAAUGCCAGCUAAUCAGCAUUAUAUUUCAAAUCAUAUUGUCAGGUUGGUCCCCAGCUGAAUCCGUUGUUUAUUUCUCCACUUACGUAUAUUUAAGUAAGUACAAUGAAUAAUAGUGAUAGUUAAUCUUUUGCCUUUUAUGCUUUCAAUGACAAAAAACUGUUUGAUAGAAGAUUCGAACACAAGAUCUCAAGUCUCGAAUAUUAUUUUCUUUCAGGAGAGAAAGAGAGCUGAGGCCGACGCUGAAGAAUUUGGGCAAGGGGGUAGUGGGGGCGCUCUAGGGGCAUCCACGUAGAAGAGCCGUGUCGGGGAACUUUUGGGAGCCGAAAGAUAUUACUCCCUCAAUUCCAGUAGAAAUAGUCCUGUUUCUUUUCGGCAUGAAAAUUAAAAAUUUUGCUUUUUGAGAGUAAAAACAUAGUGUAAAAUUAUUACCAAAAAUAGAAAUAUGAUUAUUUUAUUGGGACGUCCCAAAAAGAAAAACUGAACUAUUAGAGUGGGACGGAGGGAGUAGUAUUAUUUUUUUCUUUUUCUUCUUCUGCGAAAUGGAUUCAACGUUAGGGUAGUUUUUUUUUAAAUAUAUUAUUAAAGAAAAAUUAAUACACUUACAUUAAAAAAUAUUUGUAUUAUUUUCAAAUUUUUAAUUUUAUAAGCAAAUUAUCCUUUUAAUUACUAGAUGAAAUGGACUAGAGAAGUAUAUUAAUCGGUUAUUACAAAGAAAUUACUUUGACGUGGAAAUGAAAUUAGAGAGAAAUAAAGAAAACCAAGGAAGAAAAAGAAAAAAAAGUCACCAAAAAACUUUCUUUGAGAACUAAUCCACAUUUCAUGCAAUCGGCCAAUGCCAUCUAUUAAAUGACAUAUAAUUAUUAGCCACACACUUAACUUUCUGCCUUUUCUCUUUACAUGAGAGAGAACGAGAGAGAGAGAUUCAUAUUUUCGUAGUGAAUCUUUUAUUCCAUAAAUAUUUUUAAUUUAUGCAAAUUAAUACAUACUAAGGGGUGAAUAUCCAUAGCAGAUUCGUUGAUCAACUAUUCCAGAAAAAGUAAGGGGAAAUAUGUAUAUCCUUAUUCGUGUCAAGUCGUAUCAAGUACAUGUACAAUCUUAUAAAAAUAUGUCUGAUGUUUGUUAAUAAAAUAAGAUACAAAUUUACAACGUGAUAAAGAAAAUAGUACAAAACAAACACAUACGAACAGAUAGCAUUUUUAAAUUAUAAAAUAAGAAUUAUUUUCAACUAUAAAUGAUGAAGAUGUAUAGUAAAGUAUUUAUAUAAAUUUUGUGAGAGUUAACAAUUCAUCAUUUUUUCACGAUGAAUUCGUAUUUUCAGCAUAUUAUAUCUAAUCAAAAUAUAAUCUUAACCUUGUGGUUGUGAUUUCAAACACCCUCUAUUAUAUGAAUCUUAAUUUUUCACUACAAAUUCACUAUACUAUAGUAGGUCUUAUUUUAUACUUUAUCCAAAUGCAUGUACUUCUAUUAUUGUUUUCAGGGGCUCUUGCAAUAUUUCAACGCAACGAACAUUACUUGUCGUUUUCAGCAUAUGCAAACACAAUAAUUUACAGAAAAGUGUAAAAGAGAGAGAGAGAGAAGACCUCUCAGGAUAAUAUUUAAGGUUUCAAACAUUGAUUUCUAGAUUCAUCAAUAUACCAUACGAGAGGUAUAAGGAUAUACUUUUUUGUUUUUCAUAAAAAAUUAUAGGGUUUGGUUAUAAUAACAUAUGAAAUAUCAGAUCAUAUUUGAACUUCCAUAUCUAAAUUCUCCCUUCCCAAAACAUUAGCGAGCAACUUUUGAACUUGAGAAAUGAAAAAGUGGAAAUAAGUCACAUUAUUUUUGUCCAUAAAUGUCGACACUAAUAACCGAUUGAAAUUAAAUAUUUACAAAAAAAAGAUUAAAAAAAAACAAUCACACCAAAACACAUAUACAAAGCUAGAAUUAUGAAAUUCGAAGAUUUAAUUAAUGGUUCUAAAACGUCAAAGACGGGUGAUAACAUUGUUAUGUCUUCUUAGUUAGACUUUAAAUUAUUAAUAUUAUAAUGUUGUUAGUAUGCAACAUGUAAUUAUCAUGCAACAAAAAACGCGUAAAAUCAUUCUCCCUCUCUAUGUGUUCAAUACCCCAAACACCCACACGUCAAAUGUUGGUGUUUACAAUUUCAUCUCAAUAUUAUUAUACACAUCAUUACAUCACCGCGGACUUACGCCUAUUUCAUCUUCACAAACACAAACACACACACACACACACACAAAGUGUUUCUCUUCACAGUCAGUCACAUAUACACACACUGGGUGUUGUUGUCCACAUUCUUAUGAAGUUGAGAAAGUCUUAACAAGCCUAAGCCUAUAAAAGCUCCAUCCUUCUAUAAAAAAAACACACUUCUUACAUAUAUGCAUAACAAACACACACAAUACGCAGAGAACAUCGUUCAAGAGCCAGCCAGCAUGGGUUCCAACAAAGACGAGAGCAGCAGCAACAACUAUGCACCGCAACAGGGAACAAAGGCAAGUGUUAUUCCUAAACAAAGGGAGCAUGUCUCAACAAUGAUGGGCAAGACAAUGGCUCGAGCUUUUGGGAAAGCUGGGAAAUCUCUUGCUAAAGUUGCAGGGGAUCAAAAGUUGGUACUACUAAUAAUUAGUUACUACAUGAUGCUAUCUUCAUGUGUUGAUGCAGUCUGUUUCCACUAGUUUCCGUAUGUGUUUUCAAAUAAUUGUAGUGCUUUGGAUAGUCGUGUAGUAUUGGUUGGUUGUGCCAUCUUUUCUGAUAGGGAAAAUGAAGGCCUUAGGGGAUGUUAGAGCAUUUGAAAACAAGGAUGAAAGGAGCAACGAGGAAAUCAUCAAGAUCGAAACACUAGGGGAAGCCAUCAUGGUUGUAUUGUGGGUGAAGCUCUUGGAAUGGAUGCAUGUUUAUGUAUUAAGUUUUGGAAUAGGAUGCCAGCUAAUCAGCAUUAUAUUUCAAAUCAUAUUGUCAGGUUGGUCCCCAGCUGAAUCCAUUGUUUAUUUCUCCACUUACGUAUAUUUAAGUAAUACAAUGAAUAGUGAUAGUUCUUUUGCCUUUUGUAUGCUUUCAAUGAAACUAUGAAACACUAACCAAUUAUAACCAAGAACGCACUACAAUAUUAAUACUCAUAUCUUCCNAGAAGCAGAAGACACAGCCGAUUGUGUCAGCAAUCGUGGCACUGUUUGGUGCCGCAGAGGAGUGGGCGGUAGGAGUCGGCGGCGGAGAAGUAAUCGAGGGAGUUGAACCAUAGGAAAUUGCCACCGAGAUCGAUCCCCACGUUGAGUGUGGUGGCGUUGGAGCCUAGUUGGAUAGUUGUGUAGUAUUGGUUGGUUGUGCCAUCUUUUCUUAUUGGGAAAAUGAAGGCUUUAGGGGAUGUUAGAGCAUUUGAAAACAAGGAUGAAAGGAGCAACGAGGAAAUUAUCAAGACCGGAACACUAGGGGAAGCCAUCAUGGUUGUAUUGUGGGUGAAGCUCUUGGAAUGGAUGCAUGUUUAUUUAUUAAGUUUUGGAAUAGGAUGCCAGCUAAUCAGCAUUAUAUUUCAAAUCAUAUUGUCAGGUUGGUCCCCAGCUGAAUCCAUUGUUUAUUUCUCCACUUACGUAUAUUUAAGUAAUACAAUGAAUAGUGAUAGUUCUUUUGCCUUUUGUAUGCUUUCAAUGAAAUUAUGAAACACUAACCAAUUAUAACCAAGAACGCACUACAAUAUUAAUACUCAUAUCUUCCACAUUUGUGCUUAUCAUCACAAUCCCACAAACCGAUCAUAAACACACAACCCCACACAUAGAGUCCAACCUACGCAGCUCCAAACUGGUUGCAGCUCGUAUCACUGAGCAGCAGCGUCGAGCUAAACCCUAGCUUCGACGCAGACACAUCGAACUCCAGCAGAUGAUUCUCCAACUGAUAACCUCCCACAACUAUCGAUGUCGUCGGCCCCGACAAAUUCGGCGGGCCCUCCACAAACGCAAGGCACAUCACUCCCUCGCCGACUCUCACCAUCGAGUUCGACCCGUGAAACCGCCAGUAAACGCUGCUGCUCUGCAGAACCAGAUCCACAGUCGGCACGUCGCCCCCAGUCUUGCUGCUCGUGAUCGUUCUCGAAUCGAAGCAAGCGCCGAACGGAGCAACGGACGCCACUCUCUUGAUGUUCUUAGCUGCAGCAGCCUUCACGAACUCGUCCACCACAGCUCUGUAGAUCGAUCUGUGCAGGCUCGUAUACGCCCUCACCGUCCGUAUGCUGGUGCCGCCUUCCCCGGUUCUCUUGUUGAUCGACAGGAGCGUCUUGUUUAAUGCUAGAGAAGUUUCUCCAACUCUGAUGGACUUGACGUCAAUGAAGUAGGCGAUGGAGAGAUUUCCGACCACUUCGUUACCCGAGUUGCUCACUGGGUUUGGGAGCAAGGGCGUGGUCCACAUUGAUUCCGAGAUCUAUUGAAACGGUUUCCUGUAAACCUCGUCUCCGAUGAUCAUGUUUCCAUUGCCGCCUGAAGACGGGAUGCAGAGCGCAAACUUGUCGCUGAUUUUGAAGGCGGAUGAGAGCUGUGACGGGAGGGAAACCCUAGUUCGGCCGAGGGCGAGGAGGCCGACGGUGGAGGUUGCUAGGCCUUCCCUGAAGUCGGGAUAGGGGGAGAAUUGGAAGGGGAAUCUUUUCACCUCAUAUUGGGUGGCGCGUGUGGAGGAGACGCGCAGGACGUCCUGGCCGAGGCCGCUGUAGACCUGGGUGCCGGUGAAGGGGUUGAGGGCGUAGUCGGAGCAUGUGUUGUUGGUGCAUCCGGGGACCGGAGGCGAGAGGAAGCAGAAGACGCAACCGACUCCGUUGGCAAUGCGGCACUGGUUGGUGCCGCAGAGGAUGGGGCGGUAGGAGUCCGCGGCGGAGAAGUAGUCGAGGGAGUUGAACCACAGGAAAUUGCCGCCGAGAUCGAUCCCCACGUUCAGUGUGGUGGCAUUGGAGCCUAUUUGGAUAGUCGUGUAGUAUUGGUUGGUUGCGCCAUCUUUCCUUAUUGGGAAAAUGAAGGCUUUAGGGGAUGUUAGAGCAUUUGAAAAGAAAGAUAAAAGGAGAAACGAGGAAGUUAUCAAGAUCGAAACACUAGGGAAAGCCAUUGAUUGCGAAGCUCUUGGAUUUGAUGCAUGUUUUAUUUAUUGAGUUUUGGAAUGGGAUGCCAGCUAAUCGGCAUUAGUAUAUUCAAAUCAUAUUCAGGUUAGUCUCCCAAUUGAAUCUAUUGUUUAUUUCUCCCCUUUAAAUCCACUGAUCGAUAUAUAUAUAAUUAAUAUACCAUAUGGUUGUUGGUGUUAAUAUAAUAACAUUAUGUAAUAAACUACUCAAGUGAUGAUAUAUAUUGGCGUUCGAUUCUAUGUGAAUUUAAGACUUAUUUUUAAUUACCUCAAGAAAAAGUUAAUCUUAAUUUACGAGCGUUUACCAAUGAAAGAAGAAGACGGUGAUGGCCGUAACAGCAAUACACGUGAUCAUGUCUUAAGCUAAUUGUGUCGCGACGAAUUCUUUUAGAAUCUUUCUUCAAUACAACAUGUGAUUCAAAUUUAAUAAAAAUAUAUUUUUCGAAGCAAAAUUGCUCGUUUAGUUGUGCCAACGCAGAGCCACUUGUUAAUAAACUAGUCUGGGCUUUUGAUGAUAAGGGAUCAAAGAAAGGGUUAAAUAGUAAAUAUAUUUCUAAUAUUUAUAAUAAAAAGUAAUAGAUCCUUAAUAUUAUAGUAAUAAUUCUCCCACUAAACAUUACAAUCAAUAUUUGACUCUUUCUUCACCCUCAAACUUGUGUUGUUUCAUACCAUGCAUGUCUUUUUAUAAGACUGAAGAUGUAUAUUAUAUCAUACUCCCUCCAUCCUCAUAAUGACACGGAUUUUAAUAAAGUAGUAAUUGAAUGUGUUGUGAUUGGAGUAAGAGUUUCAUUUUAAUUUAUUGUUUUAUUGUGAGCGGAAAACUUAGUAAAAAUAGAUUGAAUACAUUUUAUGAUGAUGUAUAUAAAAUAUUUUUUGUUAACUAAAUUGGCCACUAAAUAUAUCUGUAUAUCUGUAUGGGCGAUUAUGCAGAUUCAUCCAAUCAAAUAAAAUAGAGGUCCCACGAAUAUCAAAGUCGACAUAUUAUGUGCAAAUAAAAGUGAAGAGACAGUCAAUGAUACAACAAUCCUUUUACUCAUGUAAUGUCAAAUGUUAAGAAACUAAUGAAUAGAAUCCACAAAUUCCAAUAUUUGUAGCCAAGAAUAGGAGCCCAGAAUGUAUGGACUAACAACUACUUGUGCAAUCGCAACAUCAAUAUGCGUAUACACCUAAGAAAAACAAUCGUUAAGCUUCAGCUCUUGUGUUAUUCCUUCAACCUUUCUGUCGUCGCAGUUUGAUCACUUCUCAUAACAUGGCAGGAUUUCAUUGCCAUUAGAAUUUGGUAGAAUCCGAUGCAACUUUGAAGGAAACAAUAACAAGUGCUACGUACCUCGUCGUGUAUCAUGAUCUAGAGCGCUUUAAGCAAAUCAAAACACCAAUGCUAGCCAGGGCAACGAUGAUUCCGUAGUGGAGAGGAGUCCAUCUACCUUCUACUGGACUCACACUCUCACUUGACACCUUCCUCGUUUCGACUCUCUCGCGACCGUAGUCCAAGUGUAACCUCAUCACCUGCAGAUAAAAACCACAUUGAUAUUGAAUCAUGGAUAUUUUCAAAGAUGUGCAGCCAAUAAUAUGAUGAUGUACAAGUAAAAAAUUAUUCUGACCUUUAGACCAGCUGAUCGUGCACAGGUUAAAGCAUUGGCAAGAUCCCCAUCUGUUGUGAGCAGAACUUUAUCACCCUCAUCAUCUUCAUACUAACAGAGGAUAAAGCAUUAGUGAGUGUCUUUAUAAGAAGCAAUCUAGAAAGAAUGGGUUAUAUAUAUGAUCUAGACCCACCAAAAUUCGAGGGCGAGUGUGAUGAUUGGAUGCUCCCGCCCGUUGCAGAACAGCCGAAACGAGUUCAGCUAGAUGCUCCGUGCCUGGUAAUACAAUAUCAUGUUUAAUUUCUGUAGAAAAAUUGAUAAAAUAUCCAUUGGGAACCAGAAUGCAUGUGCAUUGUUUCUGAUUACUCACUUACCACAAUUAAAUCGGUGGACAUGGCCUUCAAGGUCCAUAAAUUUGAAACAAAAUGAAUUCCCAGGACCAACCGAUGGGUAUGGGGGCUUCUGAUGCUCUGUAGCCUCCGAUCCCACAUAUUGAGAUAUAGACAACUCACUGUAUCAGAGAAGCAAGAUAAGCUCCGACAUCAACAAGUUUGAAAUUAAUAUAAGCCACAGAAAGACCUAGUAGUAUCAUAGUCAUCAGGAUGAUCCAUGUUAAGAGCUGAAUCCCAGAAAUUCUGCAUCACUGUAUUUGCAGUAUCAUUUACAGAGCCAGAGCUGGUCUCAACCUUUUCAACAAAAAUUCAAGUUAAUCUCCUCCUACUUGUAGAAAUAGCAUACAAAUAAAGUGCCAAAACAUACCUAUAUUGUCAAUACAAGUGGGAGAUUUGAAGAAAUUCUAAUAUGACAAAAUUUUCAUCAAGUAAAUUCAGUAACAAACAUGACAAUUUAGUCCUAGCUGACUCUUUAUGAGUGCAAACAGAAUAAGGCACUGACACAUAUAAUUCGAAUUAUCUCACCAUGGAGAUUGCCGCAUGACUUAUCUGCAGAACAUCUAAACAGGCAGCAACACAUCCAUCUGCAAAGAAGAUAAGUUAAUCUUUUCUUUUUUUGCCUUUUUUUUCAGUGGAAAAGACCGAAGAAAAGCACCAGUUACCUUUAUCAAGAACCGGAAUAUGUAAAAACUUCCUAUCGUGCAUUAUAUGCAAUGCAUCGAGAAUAGUUGUCUCUAAGGUUGCACAUUCUGGGUUCGGCGUCAUUACCUUGAGUAACCAAAGCACGGAUCCAUGAUAAGUCAAUAGAAACAUCCUAAACGAAACAAUAGUUAUCAUGCAAGUAAAGGAAGAACAACCAAUUAGGACUACAAUAUGAAGUUUAAAGGUAGGAAAAUCCAGGGGUAAUUAUUUAAAAUGGAGAAAACUUGGGAGAGAAUUAUGAGAUAUUUGAAGCAUUCGGAUAUGAAGCAGCAUGAAGAUAAGAGUCUAUAUACACCCUGAUUGCAAGGUACUCAAAUAGCUAAUGCAAUGGGAAUAGAGUAGACAGCAUGUUUUGCAAACAAGAACUACUGAACCAAACAAGCUGUUAAACCUUUUCCAUUAGAGUCAGAUCUGGAGAGAGGUUUUGGGCCACAACUCGGAAGAGUAUAUCUCUAGAACUGACAUGAAAUCACAAGAAAUCAGCAGUGAGCUGACUAAUCUUGAGAAAAGCAAAAUUGAUUUACAAAUCUUCACACACAUAUAUAGUAGUACAAGUAUAGUUUUGUGAUCAAAAUAUCAUACGUGAGUAUGCCCUGGACGCUGUUCCCUGUCAUAACAAGAACUGAAUUGACCUUUAGUUCGCGCAUCUUUUUAGCAGCAGUUUGAACAGGAUCUGAAGGUGCAACAAUGGCAACCCUGACGACAUAACAAUAUUGCAGGCUUCUUAACAUGAUGCAAUGUAAAUCAUAUCUCAUCAGACCAUCAGCAAAUGUCAUUUACCUAGAAUUUUCAGAUAUGAUGGUGGAGAGAGAAGGCUUGAACACACGUUCCCUGAGUGUUUCUAUAAAAGUCAAUGAUGCUGAAAUAUACAAGACAUCAAAAGAAAUAAGAUAAUUUAUCAAGAUUAGAUGCACUUGUGUAAAGACAAAUAUAAAUGCUAAGAAAGAGUAUUAAAAUUAAAUUAAAGAAGCGCUAUAACCUCAAUGAACCAGCAGAAUAAUUAGUGCAAGCAAUUGAAAAAUAUCAAAAAAUUCACAAGGAAUUUCAUUAGCUGCUUAUAAACAAACUACAAACUACUAACAAGAACAUUAUGGUUUGAGCAUUCACAGUCAAAUAUUUUAGCUAAAUCAAUUCUCAGCAGCAGUUCAAUCAGGUUCAUGUUAGUCUCAUAUAAAAUAUUUAGAUGACGUAAAGGUUCACAGACGCUAGCAUCGAACAGCUCAGUAUAAAAUCCAUUCUUGUGAAAGUUCUGAUGUACUAGAGUUACGUCGUAGCAAAUAUAAGUUGCAGGAAGUGUUUGGUCCAGUUCAGAGUGUUGCUUGGAUUUGUAGACUUUUAUAGUACAAGAAUGUUGAAAGUAGCACCAACUUCUUCAGCUAAAGCUUUUUAAGCCAGUCACUUUCCAUUAGAGAAUUACUGUUACCAAUACUUUGGAAAUGCAUCAUAUCAUAUACUCCAGUGAACUAUGUACAAAAUAUUUGAUAUUAUCUCAUAUGGACCCCAUUACACUUACAAUCAAAGAAAAGCUCAAUUUUGCAACUACCCUAUCAAUGCUUUAUAUCCACAGUUGAUAGCAUUCUUGUGUAAGAACAAAAAUAGAGGGUCCAACAUAAACUUAGAGUCACCAAAGGGCCUCCUUCAUAUACACUUCAAUAAUAACAGGAAGAAAUCAACCAAAAACUAAUCAAACUUCAUAUGAAUACAUAAUAUGCAAGGGGAGAGAGAGAGAGAGAGAGAGAGAUUGGAACAAAAUGACUUGUCAUUUCUAUUUAGAAAAAGGAAAAGGGCUUGAUUGGAACAAAAGAAACGUAAGUGCUUCCCUGAUACUGCAGAAACAGUUGAAUGUCUUUGAUGGGACCUUGUCCCUAAAAAUUGAACAUUGAAGUGUAAAUAACUAACUAACCUGAGAGAUUGCUUCCAAAUUGACGUUCAACACCUUCAACUGCUGCAGCAAUAGCACUCCCCUGCUCUGCAGCCUUCUCCAUUCUUGAUAUAGCAUCAUAAAGGCAUUUUGUGAUAUCUAACAGUGCAAUGACUUCGCCAUUCUCAACAACAGGGAGGUGCCGAAAUUUCCCUAUCAAACACAAAAGACAUAACAGAUUAAUUGCAAGUGUAACUUGGAAAAUAUGUAAAAUAAAUGGAUAAUAAUCACUGCAUUAUUAGCAGCAAACAGGCCAAGGGAUAAGUAGCCUCAUGGAUUAAGUAAGACCAAACAAGUCAAUGCGUAAGUAGCCUCAAGGAAACUGAAACUCAAGUACUAUGUCACAACCAAAUAAUAACAACUUCUUAAGCGUUAAGCAUCAAAUGACCAUAAGAAAACAAAGCACAAAAUUUAACCUUGGACCAUCUUCUGCAAAGCUUCAAUAGCCAAUGAAUCCGAGUUCACAAAAAUUGGAUUUCUUGUCAUAACUUUUGAAAUUAUUGUAUUCUCUGGCUUCAGGUCCUCAGCUAUAACUCUGGUUGUUAUGUCCUAGACCCACAGCAUAAUCAGAAAUGUAAGUAAAGUCAAUCAACUUAUAACGCAAUGCCACAUUGCAUUGCACAGCAAUGCUACGACACUUUAUGAGCAUGUCGCAUUGCACACAAUGCUAUCUUUGAAUUCUUCACCUUCUUACUUUCUCUUGAGAAGAGGGAAAAAAGAAAACAUAAAAAAAGCAUAUGCACACAAUGCUAACAUAUAAUCACCUUAUCAGUGACAAUUCCUGAGAGCAAGACAUUAGAAUCAGUCAGCAGAACAGCAUCAACCCGCCUUGAUGCCAUCCUCCUGCAUGCCUCCGAAACAGUGGUUGCUUCCGGAAUUGUAAGUGCCUUAUUUAACCUUAGUUUCUUCACCGUCCUCUCCCAAACAAUAGACCUGCUGCAUAUAGCAAGAUAACGAACAUAUUAGAUAACAUAUGCCAUAAAAGAUGAGAGUUAAAGCAAUCAAGAACUAUAUAAUAGUACAGUAACCAAACAAGAAAAGCAUGUGCUUAAUAUAAUCAUAGGUAGAAUGAACAAUUACAGAAGAAAACAUGGACAAACAUAUAUAUUGCUUUUUACUCGACAUAUAUUAGAAUCAACAGAAAUAAUGCCAAAUCUGAGUGAUGAAAUUCAACCAAAUGAGCCUCAAUAAAAUGUCUACACCUUUUUGCAGCCAAUUGCUCAACCUUAUUCAUAUAUUGGAAACAUGCAAACUAAAUACUAUUUGGAGACCACUUUGUCUACACCUUUUUGCAGCCAAUUGCUCAAAUACUUCAAUACAAGACAAGGCCAAAAGCAUAAUUCACAUUGUCAUCUCACUCAAGCUCCAUCCAAGAAAGCAUUCUACGUACUCGUGGAGAAGAAAUUUGGAGGCACCCUAUACUUUUCAAGUAUAUUAAGGAGCCAAAAACUAAAUUAAUCCAUAUUUAACGACUAAUUUCACACGAAAAUGCAUCGAUCUUUAAUAUCCGCAACACUUCUCAUGCACAAAAAUACUCACCAGUUUCUCAUAAUCUAACUCCAAAAACAUUGCAAUCAAAGCUCAUUAUUAAUUUAAUUUUACAUUCCAACACAUCAAAAAACUCAAUACAAAACAAAAAGGAUGGAAACAACAUUAGCACGAACGUAAAAUCUUUUUCUUUCUGUUUUUCUGUUUAAUUCAUCUUACGAAUUUGGGGAGGAGGGUUUCGCAUUUGUGGAACUUGCGGCGGCGGAGCCGCUCUCGGAAGGAGGCCCCGACGACGACCUCUUCAUGGCGGGGGGAGCACUGCGCUUCUGCGACGGCGGCAUGCUCAUACUGUUGCGCCUCGGCAGCGGCGCCGGCGACCCGCUCGAUUUUUCCAUUUUCUUUGUUUAAUUUAGUCCAAAAAACUAUAUUAAUCCAUAUAUAAUUUGAGCGAUGAUAUAUUCAUUAUCAUGCAUGCAGAAUAUCUCGAUCAUCUCUCCUGUUGUCGAUCACCCUUAUUUCUGGUGAAAGCUGAUGAAUGAUUCCUCUGAAAUCAUUUCUAACCCACCAAAUAGCUUCUCGAUAUUGCACUAUAUAAAUUGAGCCAUGAUUUAAUAUCAAAGAUUAUACUAUCAUGUAAUAAAUGGUCAGAUGUAAGUAUUACUCUCUAUUUGUGGAAAUGUAUUUGUACUUUCCUAUAGCCAUCAUUGACAUGUUUUUUUUCCCUUUUUGAAGAAACUAUAUGUAAAAUAUUAACAAUACUGCAAUUAACCGUGCAAUUGAUACCAAGUAGUAUUCACGGUGAUUGAAAAAUAAAAAAACACAAUAAAUAAUCUCACACAAGUACUAAUUCAAUAUCCAAGCAAAUUGAUAGAAAUAUGAUAAUGAACUAUAGAUAAGUUAAAGCAAAGAAAAGAAAUAAAAUCAGAUGAUAAAAAUUCAAUAGUAAAAACUAAAAAUACUAAUUCUAGAGAAUGCAAUUAAGCUAAUUAAAUCUUAGACAAUUAACCUAUGAGUCGGUCUCCCGUGGCCGGUCUCAUCCAUGAGCCCAGUUCUCAUUAGGAGCGCAUAUAUAAAAAGUAUUUGCAAUUCUACAAACAAUAUAUGCUAGCUUAGAGGUAUGCUCCUUCAUCUACCAUCUCUCAGGCGUGGAUUUGAUUCUCACAAGUUCUCAUGAAUAAAUAUAACAAUUAUCGUGAAAAAAGUAACUUUUGACAAAUAUUAACUUUCUUCAGAUCGAUUAUUACUCUUCAUCACAACAAUAACUACUUUGACAUAUGUAUUUACGGACAACAACGAACUAUCUCUACACUAUCAUCCAAAACUUAACAGAAAGGUGGGGACCAAACUCUCACUAAUGCAGCACAUGUGGGCCGUCUCAUUUCAUCUGGAUCAUUGGUGUUGUGGGCUUCUUCUUUCGUUCCAUCGGCCCAACUUGGGCAUGUUCCAUAGUUGUAACAAUAAGUAAUUCUCAUUAAAAAUAGUUUUAAUUUUCUAAUUAGAGCUGCAUAUAUAAUCAAUAGGUGUAGUAUGAAAGCGUGUUACGAAUUCCCAAGGACAAAAAUGAUAAAGUUGUAGAAAAAAUAAGGUUGGGAUUUGGGAGGAGGAGAAAUUAAGAAUCAAUGAUACCACUAAAUUACAAGUUCGCGAUAUCCGACUCAAGGUUAUUGCUUCAUGUUAUUUUAUUAAGCACAACUAUUGCUAAAAUGUAUAUCUAUGGAGUAUUAAGUUGGAGAGAUGGUCACAGUUUACUCCUUGGUGAGCAAGUCAUAAAACACCUCUGGCUUCUUGCAUGCUGAUAUACAUAGUGCCUGGAGAGAGUGAAAGAGAGAGUUAAAAUAAAAUAAAAAGCUAAAACAAAAAUAAGAACCUCUACAUAUUAUUUCUUCCGUUCGUCAAAAGUAUAACACUUGACAUCCGUAAAAAAUAGAACCUCUACAUAUUAUUUUAGGGUUUGUUCAAUUUGAAGGAUUAGAUAUUAGAUUAAUCUUAUGAUAUCUUGUUCGGUUGGAUGAAUGUACAGCCGGGUAUUCAAUCUUGGGACAAUGUCAUAUAGGAAUAGUCUUAGUUUAUGAGUCUUGGCUUACCUCCUAUGACAAAAUUAAUCUAUGGUCAAUUCAAUCUCGGUUAAUUUCGGGCUAAUCCAAUCUCAACAAUCGAAUGCCCCCUUACAAAAAAAUCAAUCAUGACUUAUACUUAAUUCAACCUCAACCACUCAUUUUAUAUAUGGUGAAAUCAUUUAUCUAUUAAAAAUAUAUUAAUUACCAAUUUUACUAAAAUGUGUCGAGUCAAAGUGUUAUACUUUUUUAAAUCACGAAUAGUUAAAAUUUUAUAUUAAAUUAAAUAAUAUGCCCUGUCACUGUGAAUCCAACAAAAAAAAUGGAAACUUACUUGCAUAGCAGAAGCAAUGUAAAUCAACAAAGAUUCGGACCAUGGCUUCCCGAUAAACUGCAGCCCUAUUGGCAACCCACAGCUAUCAUAACCAACCUGCAUGCCGUCACCCAUAAAUUUUAACUCAUGAAAUUAUAUUUGCCAAAUUAAUUACAGAGUUGAGAAAUUUGAUGAGUACAGGAAUAGUGACAGCAGGAAGUCCCAGAAAGUUUCCAGCUAUCUGAUAUCGUACUAAUGCAGCUGCAAAUAUAUAUAAAUAGUAGUAGUUAAUUACCUUUCUUCACUACUAAUUUCAGAUCACUUUCACAAAAUAGGAUAAUACUUAUUUUGAUUUGAAUAUCUCAAAUUAAAACUUAUUAUUGACAUUAUUAAUUUUACAAUUUACGUAAAAAUCAAAACUCGAUUUGUUCUUUUAUUCAUUUAGUUGAAGUUAAUGCUAAUACAAAUGCAUUAUAUAAGAGUUGAUGAUACCUCCAUUUAUGUAGUCUAGUUCACCGGUUUUCAAGGCGUCGUCCUUUAUCGUGUAAGCAGUCACACUGUAACCAAAUUUGUUUAGGCAAAUGUAAGAAAUGAGAGAGAGAGAGAGAGAAUUUCGUACCCAACAGUUGGAGUAACAAUCACAUCUGCUAUAGAAAAUAUUUUCUCGUGGAAUUGCAGCUGACGUCUCCUGCAUGUACAAAUUAUUCAAACACUAAUUGGCUUUAACCAUCAAAUUGAGCUUUAAUUUUGUGAGGACUGUUGUAAUAAGAUGUUAAAUACCUCAUUUUCUGUGCAUUUAGAUAGUCAUUGCUGUCGAAGGAAUCAUAUACAGCGAGGCCUACUCGCACAUCCCACCCGACCUCUUCCUUCUUCCUGUUCCAUUCGAUAUCAUGUUUCUAUCUAAAUCUUAAUCAUAAAUAUAAUUAAAUACUAAUACUCACACAUUUUGUAGGUAGCUCUUGAUUGCAUUACUACAUUCUGAUCCGAUUGUUGUAUAAUGCGACAACCGCAUCACCUCUAUUUCUGGAAUCGUCACCUCUACAGUCUAUUUAACAACCAAACUCAUUGUUAAAAUAUAUAUAUAAUUGUUUAUAGGAUUAAUUGUUGCAUCUUAAGAUGCAUGCAUGAAUUCUACUCUUUUUUUAAUUAUAUUAUGACGAUCGAUGAUGAUAUAUGUAGAUGAAAGUUACCUUCCAGCCGUAUUUGUCAGAUAAUUUAGCAACCGCGUUGGAGCAGCAGGCCUUGAUAUCAUCAGUGCAGUCAUCAAACCACUAGAUACAUAUAUGUCACAAAAUCACCAUAAAUUCAAUGUUUUCAUCUAAAUAAAUUAAAAACAGAAAUUAAUUAAUGCAUUAUAUAUCACAAACCUCUCUAUAUCUUGCAAUCUUGAUGUCAGCAGACAUAUAGUUUGCAGAUUUGAGCAAGGGCAAACCUACUUUGGGCUGCAGAAGACGCGAUUUCAUAAUUAAGCUUUUAUUGAUUAGAGAUUCGAAUAUGAGAAGAUGCAAAAUGACUGACCACUGUAGUAGCAGAGUGAUGAGAUGAAUCGCCUCCAGCAAUGGCUGCAUAACUGUAGGCUAAACAUUAUUAUUGUUAUUUAUCUAGCUAGGUUUAUAAAUAUUGAAUUGUAUUCUAGAUUUUAUUUGGAUAAGUGAAAAUUAAUAGUAUAUUCAAGUUUGAAUAGGCACUUACGCGAUGAGCGCAUCUUCAACUGUUGCUGCAAGAAUCCCAACCAUCCCAAUUGUGUAGUUUAUGGGAAGAACUCUGCAAAGCAACAUCAAUACAUAAAUGAAGUAUUUAUUUAGAUCGACUAAGAAUUGAUGAUGAUAUUCAUAAGAAAAUUAAACUUGGUGUUUACCCUUGAUGAGGCACACGAGCAAAAGUUGGUUUGAAGCCAACCACACCACAAAGAGCUGCAGGAAGCCUUACAGAUCCUACCCAACUCAUCAAAUCAAAAUGUGUGUAUAUUUUCCAUAAAACUUUAAAUUGUAAAUUACUGAAAUCAACGAAUUCCGGAAUUGAAAAUUCAGUAUUAAUUAAUUUAGUUAGUGUAUAAAAGUUGUACCUCCUCCAUCAACACCAAGUGCAAGAGGGCAUAAUCCAGCUGCUACCACUGCUGCCGAUCCACUCGAAGAUCCUCCAGUAAUCUUGCUUCUGUUAUAAGGAUUUCUAGCAGCCCUUUUUACAUGAUCAAUUAUAAUUAUUAAUAAAAAGAAUUAGUAUAAUCAAAUGAAAAUUAGCUAGGAUGAGAAAUGCAGACCCAUAAUGAGGAUUGAUCCCACUAAUUCCAGCUCCGAGUUCAUGCAUAUUUGUUUUCCCAACUAUUAUGGCACCACAUAACCGCAGACGCCUAACACAACACGCAUCAUUUCUACAUUCUCUCACUUUCUGCAUCCACUUUGUUCCUCCUAUAUAUAUAUUUUCCCCAAAUUUAGCAUUCACUCAAAAAUUCCACAUAAAAAAACUACACUAUAUACAACUUUGCACUUCAUGUAGCCACGAUGGUAUUAUUUGCAGAAAGCUAACAAUCGUGUGGAAAAUCAAAACAGUUGAAAGUUCAUGUAUUUUAAUCCAUGUACAAAACUAGCUAGAAUUGUGUCAAAGUUUACGUAUUUAGGCACAAUUACCCCAAAAAAUAACUCUCUCCCAAAUAUGAUAGGCGUAGCUAAUUAACCUGUAGUUGGAUAUGGCAUGCAAUCGAUCUCAUCUUUAACAGCUACUGGAACUCCAUCUAACACCGAUAUUGGCUCUCCUGGAAAUCGUAUCAUUAUCAAAAACAUAUACUCAUAUGAUUAAUUCUACAAAAACUUUUUAAUUUGUUGUAAUUAAUUAUUGAUUGAUUAAUGUGCACCUCGUUGAUGGCGAAGAGUUGAUUCUGCAGCCUGCCUAAGAAUGUCUUGGACGCAGUAGUUGAUGAAGAAGGACAUCUGCUGCUUCUCACUUGAUGAUUCCCGAACACAACCUAUGAAUCUCUCUGCCACCUUUUGCACACACACACACACACAUCAUUCUCAUUUAUGAGUCCAUAUGCAAAGGGCUAAUUCAUAAUUGCGCCUAUAAAUAUACAAACUUUCAAUUAUUCUAGUUUUUCCACACGUUUGUUAGUUUUUGACGAAUUAAUAAUAUAAUAUAGUUAGCUAAAGUGGCAAAUUAAAGUUAUCUUGACUAACUGAAGUAGCGUAGACAUUCAACUACGUAAACCAUUCAGUACGUCGACUGUUUAAGUCAUGUGAACACUUCACAACAUUAAUUUUAGGACAGUUGACAAUCGUAUGAAAAGAUAAUUAAGAACAAUUGAAAAUUAGAGUGUUAUAUUGACAGAAUUUUUUUUCAUAUUAUAUCCCAAAUUUAAAUGCAUGCAUGCAUGUGAGAAGAAAUUUACCAUUGUAGGUGUUGUCUCCCCAGAUUUAUACGCCGUGGCAUAAUCAAGAACCGUCCAACGAUGGAAACUAGGUUGUGGAAGCGUAGGUUCUUCUUCAUUAUUAACACAAUUCACAGCUUCUUCAACUUUUUCUUGAGGUGGUGCAUGGGCCUCUACGCAUAUUGUUUCCUUUUCCUCGUUUCCUGUUAAUUACUUGUAAAUUUAUAAAUUAUUAUUCAAUUUUGAUUUUUCUCCUAUUCUAUAUAUAAAUGUGAUGUGAUGAAUAAAUACAUAAAUUUUGAUGGUUUUUAGAAUUUAUCUCAAAUUGAAACUGAUAUGUCAUCGAUCGGAAUUUUUAGCGUGAUGAUAUUUGGAUUUGUUGGGCGAUGAUGGCAUCUCUAAUAAGUUUGAUGUCACGUUCAUUUCGAUUUUACCGUAUUAAUUAAAAUUUGUAUUUAAAUAACCAACUUUAAAGAAUAUAAAAAAUAUAUAUAUAAUUCACUAAUAAUUUAUGCAUUUACAAUCAAUUAAUUCUUUUUAUAAUCACAUGAUACAAAAUAGUAGUAUAUAAAUAAAUUGUGCAAGAUGUAAUAAUUGGCAGUUGAUCUUAAUUUAGAGAGAGUUAUUGCAUUUCUAACCGUGAUGCGGAUGCAAAGGAACAAAAAGCGGCUCUUCUUGCAACUCUGCAAACGACACGAGCUGCGAGAUGAAGACAUUUUCUGAGAUACAUAUCGGAAUUUCCAAGAAUACUGUGUGAAAGUAUACUACAAAAAAUAUCACAAUUAACUGUAAAAAAAAAUCAUCGCUAAAAUAUAAUUAACGACGGAUCCGUUCCAUCGUUUCCCAUUCCUUUUGUAAGUGGUUUUGAACUUUCAUUUAUUUGUAAAUUAAUUAGUUAUAGUUUAAAAUAUUUACAAUUAAAAUUACCCCUAUUUAUUGAACUUUACUUUUACUUUUUCUUAAAGUCAAUUUCUUUAUUUUUUUAUUGAGUAGCUAGGCUGAAGAAGAUAAAGUGUUUUUUCUUUUCUUUUACGUACAAAAUAGUGAUCAUAUAAUUAAGGGUAGUUAUCUAUAAUUAAGGUUGAUUUUAACUUUUUUUAUUAUUAUUAAUUUGUGUGUCAAAACUUAGGAAGAUUUGUAAAUUGAAUAGGAAGGACUAUUAAAAUAUGCACAAGUCUUUUAUUUUUAAUUGGGGAUAGUUUAAUUCCAUGAUCAUUUACUCUUUUAAAGAUGAGGAAUUAUUUAUUACAACUGAGCUAUAUAUAAGUCUGUAAUACUAUUGCAGUAAACAAAUUGGAGGGAAAACUCCAUAAAAGGUCAAAAAAAUUAUGUGGCUUGUAUAUAUGAUUGGGUACGACUGAGUUCCAGUUUGUAUCAAAAUGGAACGAUGCUUACAUCGAAAUAGAAACAUAGUAAUAAAUUUGAUCGAAGUGCAAUUCUCUUAAACAUAAUAGUAUAUAUUUGAAAUUUAUCUAAGUAUAUAUAGCAAAUGAUUAUAUAAAUCAAGUCGUAUGAAUUUUCUGUUGAACCCAACAAAAGCAAUUCAAAACGGGGCUCUAGCUAAUUGAAUCUUCGAUUAUAGCAGAGGCAUGUAAAAUAAAAAUAAAAAUAAAAAUAAAGCGUCACUUGUCACCUAACAAGGGCAAUUAAUUUAAUUCGGUAGACUUUCUAAUAAAUUCAUUUCAUACUAGCUGUCAUUUCCUCUUAGUUUUAUACGUUGUAGCCUAUAUAUGAAGACACAAAUUAGAGGUGGUUUUGGGGGCAACUUACCGUCGGCGGAGGGGCCGCCCCUUUUUUUUUAUAUGUAAUUGUUUAAUUUGGAUUAACUAAUUCAAUUAAUAAUUAAUUAAAUUAAUUAUAAACCUUAAUCAAUUAUUAAUAAAUUUCAACUAAAAAUUAAUAAAUCUUUUCUUUUUUGGAUAUUAAUAAAUCCCAUUUGUAUUUAAUAAGGUGACAGCGCCUAAGUUUUUUGCCUACAAAUUUGCAAACGUCCACAAUGAAAUUUUUUUAUAACAUAUUAGCAGAAAGAGCCUAUGUUGUGCAUAUAUAAUCAAUGUUAUUUUAUUCGAUAAAAGAAAAAUAUAGAUAUAAUAUUUAUUAUGUUUAAUUUUUUAAUGAGCAAUUUUCGAUAUAUUUAAUUCUAUAAUUAUAGUAAAACCUCUUUAAAAUAAUUAAACUCUAUAAAUUACUCCAUAUACUAGUGAUUUAUUGCUAUUUCCACUGAUCUAGUUAAGUAAUUAGAUUCUAUAGGAUAUUUAUCUUUUUCAUGAUUCAAAAAAGAGUUCUAUAUAUAUCAAACAGAUUUGGACAUAAUGUAAAUUAAGUAAUUAAUUAAUACUAAUAUUUUAAUAUCUAAUUAAUUAAUAUAUAUUUUUCUAAAUAUAUAAUAUAAUUUAUAUAACUAUUAAUAUAAUAGACAAUUAAUAUUUUUGCCUAAUACACAUUUUAUAUUAGUGUAGAGAUAAUAUAAUAUUUAAUUUACCUUUCUGCACGGCAAAACAUUAAGUCUUUAGGAAUUAAAUAUACAAAGAGUGUUUGGUAGGCCUAUACAUUUUUUUUGACUUGAUAGGCCUAUACAUAAGCAAAACAAUAUGGUACAACCACUGUAAAGAAAUUUAUGUGCUAUCCCAUUUUAUGUAACUCGUAACUAUCAAUUUCUCUAAAAAGAAUCGUCCCAUUUUUAUGUAGUAUGCAGGCCUGAAAAUACUUGCACACUUAAUUUGCCUAUUCUAUUAAGAAAUUCCUAAUAUUCUUUACCAAAACAAAGAUUAAUUAUUCAUUUGACAAUUUGAAAUUAUUUGGAUUAAGUUGUUUUUUAUAUUUUUUUUUUUCGUUUUUAACAUAUUUGUAAUAAUUGUAAUUUUAAAUACAUGUGCAUAUCAAAUUGGAACCACGCACACACGUGAAACUAAAAGUUAAAUGGAUUAUUCAAAUGCGUAAUAGUUCAUUCUUCUUAUAAUUGAGAACUAAAGAACUAAUAAAAAAAAUUGAAAGUGUAUAAAUAUAUUAUUAAAAGUAAUUCCUAUAAAUGUAAAUAUUUAAAAAAUAUGAUUUUUUCUAUAACUCAACAUUUCUUUCAACUCAAUUAAUUAUUGUAUUUAUUUAUCAUUCCAAAUUAAAUAAUGUAAUAGCGACUUCUAGAAAAGGACCUUGCCGGUAUACGGCAUAUAGAUAAGAUAACCUUAUUUCCACCAGACAAAAACAUAUUUUUCAUCUCCGCACAUUGAUUUUUACAAUUAGCUAGGAGUAGUAUAUUUUAAUUAAUUACAUUAAAUAAUGAAAAAUAUAGUAAAUGUGAAGAGGAAAAUCAAGAAAAUUUAAUUACCUUGUGAAUUAGAUUGUUCUUCUUGAGAAAGUAGAGUAAUAUGCCUCCCAAAAUCGGCGACUCCAGCAACCAAACAAACACUUUCACCAAAAGACCAGCCAUGCGAGGAGCUAUAUACAUAUACAUAUAUACAUAAUAUUAAUGUAUAUAUAUUUCCCCACUCUUGGAGAUAAAUGCAAACCAGUAAAUAUAUAUGAGAAAUAUUUAAAGCAUCAAAUCAAAUAAUCAAGCACUUUAUUUUAUAGCAAUAACCAAACAAUUUUUAUAAUUCAUGGCAAAAUUCAGUCCAUGCAAGUUCGUUAUACAGCAGAGAUCAUAUACUUCUCUGUGAAUACACACGAUCAAUUUCGUGCAUGCAUGAUGAAUUAUAUUGAAAAAUGAUAAUAAUAGAUUAUAUAUGUCCGUUUUCACAUAUAUAGAAUUGACUAUGGAACAUCCAUUAAUUCCUUAAGCUUUGUCUACUUCAUCACACACACACAACACACACAAUUAACCUUUGACAUUGGCUCGGAGAUAAAACUCAUCGCUGUCGGGGCCGAGAUCGACAUCGUCGACGGCCUUGUAAACGACGCCGUUAUCCUUGAAAAUACCCAUCCUAACUUACUCUACAAUGAACUAUGCUUUUAUAAGUGUAUAUAUGAUGGAAAUGUUUAUAAGGGUUUAAUUUGAUGGACAAAAUGAUGCUGGUACAAGGCCGCACGUAUAUAUAUAUAUAUAAAGAGAGAGAGAGAGACGUAGCAGUGGGGGCGGAGAUGGCAAUGAAAUGAAAGAAGAAUUUGGAGGUAAAGUGUGGCACAUGCAUAUUAAUGUGUUUGGGGGGUGUUGAGAAAAAAACAACAUCAAAUAAUAAAGUUAUGUUUAAGGUACAAAAUUAAAGCCAAGUAGUUCUCUCUCUCUCUUUGGUAUUCACGAUUCUACCUAACAUAUGAAAUUAACAGAGUGUGGUAAGUGGUGAUUCAUAAUUUUGAACCGGGUUGGGACAAAUAAUUAUAUAAUUAUAAGUGUAAUAGAUAUUUAUUGUUAAAAGUAGUAUAUAUCUUGAAAUAUAUUGUUCAAUUUUUAAGUUAUAAUACACUUUAAAAUACAAAAAAAAUUAUAAAAUUAUUUAAUUAAUUUACCUUUCGACGAGUCUUCGUUUCUUGAGAGCGACUGACAAGCUCGUCAUCGGAAAGUUUUCUCUCAAUGAACGUGACCAAACAAUAAUUUACAACUUAAGCCCUUAAGUUAUUUCGCUACUUAUUUUUUGAGAAGUCAUUUCAGAAAACACUCUCGUACAUUUGCUUGCAGUAGCAACGAGAAGAAUCAACACCAACUUGAUUAACAAAAACACCAGAGGAUAAGUCACAUGUCUCUUAUUUUCAACACGCUUCAUCGAAAGAGAACUGAUAUUAGGAGACGGACGCCUAAACAUGAGGGAAUAGGUCUUUAUUGACCGUGUGAGGGUAGCUCCUCUCAAGAUUUUUUCUCGUGUUGGGGUCGAUCGUCUGUUUCGUCUACUUCUCCUUCAGGUGAACACAGAACUCCAUUAAGUUGCCAUGUUGGAUGUAACUUUGAUGAAGUGUCCUUGUGUUUGAAGAUAGAUGAUUCUGAUUUGGCUUAAACUCCUCCUUUUAUAGAGCAAGAAACUCUAACUAUUCUUCACGUGAUAUGCUCGUGGAAAAGCUUGUGCUCAAAUGCCUGCCAUUUUCUUCUUUAUAUUCAUUUUAGCUAGGGCUGUAAACAAACCAAGCCGCUCGCGAACUAUUCGGAGCUCGGCUCGAAAAAAGCUCAUUCAAGUUCGUUUAGAGAAGCUCGUAAAAUAAACAAACCAAACUUGAGCUUAGUAGUAUUCGGCUCGUUAGCCCGUGAACAUGUUCGUCAAGUGAUUCAGUUUGAAAAAUAUAAAUUAUUAGUAGACAUAACUUAUAUUUAUCCACUAAAAUUAAUAAUAAUUGUAUUAAAUCUCUAAUUAAUUUUAUUUGUUAUAAGAAAAUAAUUAAUAUAUUUAUUAUUUUAAAUAAAAUAAUUUAUUUUUAAAAUAAAAUAAUCAAUAUUUUGAAUAUAAAUAUAAAUUUAGAAAGUUCUUAUAGGCUCGAUUAGGCUCGCGAGCCGCUCGUGAGCCUCAAAGUAUUCGGUAAAUAAAGUUCGGGAUUCGAUUCGAUACUUAACAAACCAAACUUGAGCACACCACUAUUCGGUUCGGCUCGGUUCGAUUACACCCCUAAUUUUAGCCCUACUGAGUGGCGUGGUUUAGUCUUGUUGCUGAUUUGAUUUGUCUCUGAAAUAAAAUCUUGUAAGAUUCUUAGAUUGUCUUCUGCCUUUUUUUAUACAUUUCAUAUGUAUUAUUGGAACACAUAAAACACAAUGGAAACAUCAAUUGUAAUAAACACCACCUUAAAACACAAGUGGUUUUGACUUUUGAUCACAUUGCACAUUGAGUAUGAAUGUGAUGAUAACUCUCAUUCACUCGUAUUAGUCUCUUGAUGUGCAGUCCACAAGCAAUACAUUUACAACAAAGAGUGAAAAUUCCCGCCUUAUUGUAUGAAUGCUCUCCUCCUGCUCAUGUCAAGAAGACGAGCACAAAUAGAAUAAUGAACAAAACCAGUAAAAAACAAAUCAUCAUGAUUUGGCCCUUCGCACCCGCCUUCUUCAUAACCACACCAACCUUUUUCUGCAAAUAUGAAAUACUACAUAAGACGACUAACCACUAACCACCAUAUAGUCAAGUUAUUUACUUAGGAAGCAUUUACUUUUGAGAAAAAUAGUAAGACUAAUCCUUUGUUUACUAAAAUGGAUUGAAACUUUGGGGUAUCCCAAGGCCCUUGAUUAUUUCUAUCAUUUGAUCUAGUUUUGCUUGAUAAUAUCUCAUUGAAAGAGUGGGAUUGGAGAAAUCCUACUCUUGUAGAUAAAAAUACCCAAUCAUGCAGCUUACCAAUCAUGCAAAGUAAAUGCCAUUUAGCUUCGUUUAAGCAUGCACAUUGAUACAGGCAUGAAGGCGACAUGUUUUUUACCUGAACAAAAUCAAGACGGUUUGAUGUGCCGUCCAUCUCCAUGCCAAGUUCAUCUACAAUUUUCUCCUGAUAGAUAAGCAAUUCAAAUGAAAAAGCAUAUUUCAUAUAAACAUGAACCAGAACAUUAAUUUGCAAAUACUCAAGAUAUAAGGUUUGAGAAAACUGUUUAGACUAAUAAAACGCACUUCAUAGUAUGUCUUAUUAAUAGAGGUAGAGGGACUUUCACCUGUGCAAGGAGCUCUUCAUGUAUUGUAAGCCCUACACCUCCGAUCCUUUGCACACUGUUACUAAGUUCAUCUAGUUCUUCAUCCUGUUGCCUGCAAGAGAAGACUCAUCAAUAGGAAGGACAGAAAACUGAUAGAUAGCCCCAAAUCCAAUAGAAAACGGAGCAGAGAGCAUCAAUAAUCCUACUAUAGUUUGUUACUUUCUAACAUAUACCCUUCCAAUUUCAUAUCUUUUCGAUUUUUUAUCUCUAACUAUGAUGUCCUCUUUCUGACUAUAGUUUUCGCUCUCUAGCUUAUAAGUUCAAUUAUCCAAACACUUUGACAGCUUAUAAACUCUUGAGACCUUAAAUCUCAUAAGCUCUGGAAACAUCUUAUAAACUGUUGGAGCUUAUAAGCUCUCGAAAAUAAGCUUAGCCAAACACCCUCUCAGUCUACAUUUUAUAGCACCCUUGGUUUUAAAAGGCGGAAGGCGCACAGAGGCGCAAACUGCCCCGUAGCCUAGGUGCAGGGCUUUAAGUGCAGGCACGGCCUUUUCGUAGGCAAGGUGCACCUAAAGUAUAAAAUUUCUAAUAUAUUUACCUAUAAUAUAUUUUCUACUAAAAACACAAAUAUAUUCCACCAUAGUUCAAUAAAACUAGAAUAUCACAAUUGACUGGUCAGAGGAGGUUCACAAGGCGUGUAGGAAGUUAAUGAAGGAAAUGAAAGAGAUUGGUCUACGAAUUAUCGGAGGAUCUAUUAGUAUUGGAUUCCUAAUUAUAACAAAACAAUUAGAAGGCCUAAGCAGCAUAUCUAGUUAGCACGAUUCUCUUCUUAUUGGGGAACUUUAUCCUGUUCUCAUCAUUCCUUUCCAAAAUACACAUGCAUAAGAGAUAAUGGUCUCAAAGAGGAAAAAGGGUUUUAUGCUACUGGGAAAUCACAAAAUGCAAGAAUCAUAGAUAGACAGUCACCUAGAGCUUACAAUUCAGACUAACCAACGGAAAGAAAACAACACAAGGGUUUAUAAAUAUUACCUCAUGAGAAGUAGUUGUCUAUCAGAUUCUGAUGAUAUAAAAUCAUCAUUAUCUGCACUGUACUUUUGUGAUUGAUCAGCAUGAUGAGGAUUUGGCAGUCUCAUAAGCUCGCGGCGCAUUUCACUGAAAUUAGAUGUGCUAGUGUCAUUCAACUCUUUUCCAGUUACAACUGAAUUCUUGACACUUUUCACCUGUUGGUCGAGAAAAAUUCCAGUUUAUAAGAGCCAUAAUCAACCAAUGAACAAAAAACUAUUGUAAAUAGCUCAAUUAAAAUCCUUAAAAGAAUUAACCUUCAGAAGCAAACCAAAUAUUUUGAACUCUAAAAGGAAAUCAAAUAGGGUAACCAAUUUCCUGAAAAAUAAUAGCUGGUACCUGAUUCCGAGCAUUGCUUGUCCAUCUUCUUCGAUUAUCAAGCUCCACUUGAUCGAUACCAUACAAAGCAGGAUUCCUAGAUGCAACAGUUAUUGCCUUGUCCAAUUCAUCUACCUUUCAGUCAGGAGACUAUCAGUACUAAUGUGAUAGAAAUGUAUCAUACAUCAGAAAUUCUAGAAGCAAAUGUAUUUACAUCGAGCAAACAAUAAUACUUGUAUAGCCGUUGUUCUAAUCAUGAUCAUCCAUUACGAAAAAGAAUCUCAUAAGGUGCACUAAUAAAUAUAGUAUUGACAGUCUAUGACAAAAUCUACAAUCUUAGCAUCCAAUAGCAGAUUGAAGAAAACUUGUCUACUGAUAUCUGUCAACUAUAAGAAUUUGGAAAUGUAACUGAUUGCUCAAGGAAAAUACGUGAAGUUCAAAUACAAAAUCAUACCUGCCAUUCUAUGCUCUCAGAUCCAGUAAGAACCUCCUUAGUGAGGUGUAUCCUCUCCCCACUAUCUGAAGGCAUCCGUUCCCAUUUGUGAAAGGUUUGGAGAAACUUAUCAAUCUAACAAAGCAGGAACUUCAUUGUUUAGCUAACAUUCAACAAAUGCAAAUUAAUGUAAUAGAAGCUAUCAAAUAAUUUAUUCAAGAGUUGGACACCCCCCUGGAGGGAAAUAUCAAACUAGUGGCAGGUGAACAUAUCUAAACAAACUUGCCUGUAAAGGGUGUUUUUGAACAGAUCAUCGGCCUACAGAUACAUUAGGAAUUUUUAAGAUUCAUGGUGCUCAAAUUGAGAUAGGCGAAUCUUUACUCAGAUGUCCACUAUUGCUUAGCAGAAGGUAUUUGACAAUAUCACAACUAAUAAGCCACCGCUUGCUGCAUAGCAUCUUAGGGCAUAAGUACAAUGGUUGAUACCCGAAUUAAUCUACUAAUAUUAGAAGUGUUUAGCUACAUGAGCAACUCAUGUUACAGUUCGAUGAUGCUCAAACUCAAAUGUGCAAACCUUUACUUAUAUGUAACUAUUGCUUAGCAGAAGUAAUCAACAAUGUGUGUGUUUAACCUAGUGAUAGAGUGGUUAAUGCCUGAGGCCAAAGGUUCAGGUUCGAGUCCACCGUGAUGCGGCCUUUAAAUUUUGUUUAUCCAACCAAAAGAAGAAGUAAUCAACAAUAUCACAAUUAAUAAGCUAACACUUUCUGCAUAACAUCUUAGAAAGUAUAAAGAUAAUGCUGAUUCAAGAAUGCUAAUCUGUAAUAUUAGAUGUGUGUAAUCACAUAACAUCUUAUCACUAACUCUAAGUUCAAUAUAGAAGUGCUCAACACAUCCUGUACACAAUUUGCACUAGAUCAAGGGGACCGGAUGCGUUCACCAAGCAAUGCAGGCGUACAACUCUAAACACCAUCAAAUCACUCACAAGCUACACUAAUAGUAAUACACAAAUAGCAACAGCGUUCCAAAAAAUACACAAAUAAAACAAAGGCGUGGAUGCAUAGUUUAAUUCGCAUCAAAGCUUCAAAAUCCAAUAACAUAAGAGUGCCGGGUUCAUUAAUCAAUGUAAAACCCAGUUCAAGCAAUUAACGGAAUAUAGAAAAUCAAUACAAUAAAUCCUGGUAAUAAUAGACUGCUUAAACUAUCCCAUAAAUAAAAUAAUCGACCGAUCGAUCUGGUACGGAAUGAUGGAUAUAAAAAGAAACAUUAGGUUAAAAAGAAAGAACUUACAGAAUCCUGAAUCUCCUCUUUCACAAUGUAAAAAGGGUCUUGAGCUGACGACAUAAUCAACUCCAAACAAAGCAAUUAAAUGGGUUGUUGGCACCUCCAAGUCGCAUAGAAACGUUAAGAUCUAUGGUCUGAGAGGCGAUGCUGGGCGGUAGGGGGCGAGGGCGAGGCUCUGCAGUGAAGCGGCGAGCUCCGAUCGGUUUGGGAUUUCGAUUCUCGAUUGGGGUGGGAGGGCGGUGCUGCAGCAGGGAGCUCUAAUUGUUGUGUUUCCUCAAUGCUUCUGAAUGAAGCAUGGCUUUUCCGUUUCCUCAAUGCUAAGCUAAUUCCGAUUGCUCAGCUCACAUGACUAGAAGAACUUCUGUGUGUCGUGUUUCCUUUUCUUUGAUUGUUGUGUGAAUUUCGGGAUGUGUUAAUUGGAAAUAUUGUGCCGAGUAGGGGCGUGCACGAACCGGCACCGAAAAAAUCGAUUGAACCGAUAAAUUUUUGUGCGGCUCGGUUGAACAUUUCAUAGGGCGACUCUGGUGCGAUUCGAGAAAUCAUGACUCGGUUCUUUUGCAAUUCGAUAUCGAUUCUUUGCGGACGAUGAUGAGAUGAUGCUCGAAAGUCUAUCUAAACAUCAAGAAUUCGCAUAUCAACGUGUAAUUAAAAUUAUUUUUAAAUUAUAUUUAAUAAAUACAUGUAUAUAAAUUUAAACGUUACCACUAAAUUUUUAACUUUUAUAUUAAUAUUUAUUAAUCUUUUAUUAUUUAUACUAUUUAUUAAUUAAUGUUUACUUUAUAGUGUUUGACUCUUAUUUAAACGAAUAAUCAAUUACUAUUACUACCUAUAUUUAUAUAUUUAAACGGGUUUAAAUAAUUAAUUGAGUUUGAAAUAAGUACCACUAUAUAAAUUCUAGAUAUAUACAGAUGAUUAAAUCCUAUAAAAUAAUUUUGAAAUACUUUUGUGCUCUGCUUCGAUGAACUAUAUUAAGUAAUUAUCUUGUUCAAAAAAAAAAAAUAUUAAGUAAUUAUCCAUUAAAAUUCAAGAACAUACAAUUUAUAUAUUUAUAUCCAAAAAUAUUGCUAUCAUAGUAUUAUUCAUUUUGUGAAUAAAAUUAUACCAAUUUUUAAAAUAUUGUCAUAAAAUGAUUCCCGGUCGAAUUUCAAUGAGCUAUAAACUAUAGUUAACUCUUAAUUAAUUAAGCAAUCCCCUAAAAAAACUCUUAUUAAUUAAACAAUAGAUCGAGUCUAGUUGUUAAGCACGCAACUUCCUUUCUUUCUUUAAUUCUUUUUUUCUUUUAUUCUGUUAUUCUUUUUUAUUUAUUUUUGUUUAUUCUUUAAUUGUCUCCGAUUUCCCUACUAUUGUAUAAGUAUUGGAAUGGUUGUACGCAGGUUUGACCAAUUGUUUUACGCGGAGUAUUAAAUACAUAUAUAUUAGAUUAUUUUAUUUGAAGGGAAAAGAUUGGAAUUGUUAAUCAUCAUCAUCAAAUGUGAAAAUUAGUUUAUAAACACAAGUGGGUCGCCCAAUUUUGUGACCAAUUUAUUUUCUCACAAAAUAAAUUUUUAUUUGAAUGCCAUGCUGUACGGAAAGAAGUUUCUACACUGAGAAUUGAGAAACUAAACUUUAAUUAUGCCACAUCAUUACAUGUCUUCUUCAUAUUUCGUGAGUAAAUACAAAGAAAACAUACACACUCGUUUAUCUCGUAAAUUAAUUAUGUGAUAGUUAUAGCUCAAACUUUAAUGAAUACUAUAUUUUGUUCAAAUCUCAUAUACAAAUUGAUUAUUUUUUGUCCGUUAUCAUUUUUUUGCAUUAGAAAGUUUAGUUAGAUGCUGGAUUUCAUGUGUGGUAUUUCCACUAAGUAUAAUUAUAAUAAAAUAAAAGGUUGUUUAUUCUAAAAAAAAUAAAAUAAAAGGUUGUAAUAUUCCACAUUAUUAUAUCUUUUUUAUUCUUUUUCUAUAUUUUUUAAAAUAAACAUAUAAAGCGAUGUCAUUUUGAUGGUGUGGAAUAUCUCAAUUUUCCUUGUUCUAAUUUAGUUAGGGACAAUGACACGCAUAAAAUUCGACUAUCAACUGAACUUUAUCAUGCAAAAAAUCACUGAUACACUAAUACUGUAACUAAAUUAACUUAUAAGGUUUAAAAUUAAUGUAUCAAUUGAAGUUCAUGCUACAACUAUCACUAUAUAUAUCCCUUUAUUUUAAGGCAUAAGUAUAUUAUAUAAUUGAAAAAGAUAGAACUGGAUCUGAAGUGUAGAGUUUUGACUUUGACCUUAAUUAAUUGAGUUGGGAAUGUUGACUUCAACCAGACAAUUUGAGAUCCAAAUUAAAGAUAAUGCUGAUUUGCUGGCUUGCCAUCCCAAGUCAAAACUACAGAAAUCCUAUACCUAUCCAAAUCACUUCAUCCAUUACCAUUUACCAGUAUAAAUAACUAACAACUAUUAACUCAAUAUAUCCAAGAACGAAGACAAUGGCUUCUCCCACUCUUUCCAUCUUCAUAAUUUCCUCUUUGCUCAUUGUAUCUUCUUUCUCAAACGCUCAACCAAAACCUAGAGCCUUCACUUUCCCAAUUAGGAAAGACGACGCAACCAACCAAUACUUUACAACUAUCCAACUAGGCUCCAAGGCCACCACACUGAACGUGGGGAUCGAUCUCGGCGGCAAUUUCCUAUGGUUCAACUCCCUCGACUACUUCUCCGCCGCCGACACCUACCGCCCCAUCCUCUGCGGCACCAAACAGUGCCGCAUUGCCAACGGAGUCGGCUGCAUCUUCUGCUUCCUCUCGCCUCCGGUCCCCGGAUGCACCAACAACACAUGCUCCGACUACUCCCUCAACCCCUUCACCGGCACCCAGGGCUACAGCGGCCUCGGCCAGGACGUCCUGCGCGUCUCCUCCACACGCGGGGCCCAGUAUAAGCUCAAUGACUUCCCCUUCCAAUUCUCCGACCCCGUCUUGCGGGAAGCCCUAGCAGCCCCCACCGUCGGCCUCCUCGCCCUCGGCCGAACUAGGGUUUCCCUCCCGGCGCAGCUCUCAUCCGCCUUCAAAAUCAGCGAGAAGUUCGCGCUCUGCAUCCCGUCUUCAGGCGGCAAUGGGAACAUGAUCAUCGGAGACGAGGUUUACAGGAAACCGUUCCAACAAAUCUCGGAAGCAAUCCAGACCACACCCUUGCUCAGAAACCCAGUGAGCAACUCGGGUAACGAAGUGGUCGGAAAUCUCUCCAUCGCCUACUUCAUUGACGUCAAAUCCAUCAGAGUUGGAGAAACUUCUCUAGCAUUAAACAAGACACUUCUGUCGAUCAACAAGAGAACCGGGGAAGGCGGCACCAGCAUACGGACGGUGAGGGCGUAUACGAGCCUGCACGGAUCGAUCUACAGAGUUGUGGUGGACGAGUUCGUGAAGGCUGCUGCAGCUAAGAACAUCAAGAGAGUGGCGUCCGUUGCUCCGUUCGGCGCUUGCUUCGAUUCGAGAACGAUCACGAGCAGCAAGACUGGGGGCGACGUGCCGACUGUGGAUCUCGUUCUGCAGAGCAGCAGCGUUUACUGGCGGUUUUACGGGUCGAACUCGAUGGUGAGAGUCGGCGAGGGAGUGAUGUGCCUUGCGUUUGUGGAGGGCCCGCCGAAUUUGACGGGGCCGACGACGUCGAUAGUUGUGGGAGGUUAUCAGCUGGAGAAUCAUCUGCUGGAGUUCGAUGUGUCUGCGUCGAAGCUAGGGUUUAGCUCGACGCUGCUGCUGAGUGAUACGAGCUGCAACCAGUUUGGAGCUGCCUAGGUUGGACUCCAUUGUGUGUUUAUGAUCGGUUUGUGGGAUUGUGAUGAUAAGAAUAAACGUGGAAGAUAAAUGGAUUAUGAAUGUUGUUAUGCGUUUCAUUGCUAAAAUGCAUUACUUGGUUAUUGGUUAUGACUUAUGAAUGAAUAAAGUGUGCUGCUAUACCGAAUGAUUGAGUGUGUAACUGUGUG
Molecule: long non-coding RNA, 92424 nt
Filed under: Salvia miltiorrhiza (redroot sage)
Lineage: Eukaryota; Viridiplantae; Streptophyta; Magnoliopsida; Lamiales; Lamiaceae
Description: long non-coding RNA (SMIL_LNC004711)
Source: RNAcentral